RNAcentral lists this long non-coding RNA (107760 nucleotides) under Populus tremula. Its description in RNAcentral is "long non-coding RNA (PTRE_LNC001510)". The stretch from base 86549 to 86704 matches the Rfam family "MIR2912 microRNA precursor family". The record is from RNAcentral. Lineage: Eukaryota; Viridiplantae; Streptophyta; Magnoliopsida; Malpighiales; Salicaceae.
AGUCCGAAGCUGUCCUCCAGCCCAAACACUAUUUAGUGUUCAGCCCAUAUCUUGAGUUCUAGAAGUCCAAAUGACCUCAUCUUUUUUUUGUUGGAAAGCUGAGACAAUUUCCUAGAACAUUCUUGAGGAUUCUGGGCAAAUUAUGAUGUUAGCAAUGACGUCUUGUUCAGACAAGAAGAUAAGGAUUGUUAUCAAGUCAAGAUGUGGCCACCCACUCAUCAAUUAGUCAACAAAUCAAUAGUUCCAAAUUUUGGCCUAUAAAAGGAGGCACUUACCAUGUAUUGAGGCAUCUUGGUGUUCAGAUCAAGAUCAUGCUCUUGCUUUCUCUCUUUGUAUUGCUUAUGUCUUGCUUUCAUUAAUAUCAAGUUUAUGCACUUCAUUUCCUUUCCUUUGUCUAGUUAACUUCUUUCUCAUUUAUGUUCUUAUCUUGUUCAUUUAUGUUUCUUUCUUUCAUUAUGUUCAGCUAAGUUAAUUAUGUCAAGGUGAAAAGGGUACACUAAUGGUGUAAGAAUAAGUAUAAUAUAAACUUAACAUGGACCUUAACGUUGGAUACUAACAUGUUUUAUAUUUGUUAUCUUGUUCACUUUUAAUACUUUGCUUGUUAAAUGGUUAAUCUAGAUUUAUGUUGUAUAACACUUGGUACAACAAAUACUUGGCACUUUCAUAGCCCAUACUGUAUGGUAUAACCGACACCUGAGCUAUGAAAGGAACUUGAUUUGUUGUUAACAUAAGUUAUAAUCAUGAAUGCCUGCCAACAUUUACAAGUAUUAGCUUUAUUCGAAUAAGAUAACUAAUGUAAUCAUGUUAACAAUUUAUAAUCUGAUUGGAACUUCCUUUAUGUGUGGUUUCCAAUUGAGUAAUAAGAGUUUAUACUAUACUUGUUUGAAGUACCAUUAGUGGAUCCUCUAACCUUGACAUUUGUUUUUAUCGUUGUUUAAUCCUUACAUUAAUCUUUCAUCUCAAAGUUCUCAUUAAUUUCUUCAUCUUCAUCUUCUUUUAUUAUUAUUAUUAUUAUUAUUAUUAUUAUUAUUAUUAUUAUUAUUAUUUACAUUUUGUUUAUAUUAUAUAAUAUAUAUCUUUGAUCUUUUCUUAAACUCAGUAUAUAGGUUGGAAACCUGUGACCCGAUCUUUUAGAUCAUUCUCAGGUAUAAUAACGCCACGUACCGAGUAUAAUAAUAAUUAUUGUUGUUGUUGUUGUCUUGCUAUUUAUAAUUUAUACAAUUAACCUCUUUGUGGUUCGACCCCGGUCUUGCUGGGUUAUUUAUUACUUCGACACUCCUGCACUUGGGAAAAGACAUCAAGCUUUUGGUCAUGUCAGAAGGUAAAUAGGCAAUACAAACAUCAUCUUUCUAAUACAAUGCACUAAUAUCGAUGUCCAUACCGACUGACUAACAUCCUUCGGUAUUUCAUAGAGAGUUGAAAUAUAUUUAUUGGUAAUGUCACAAUCAUCGACGAUGUGGCAAAUGGAUUCCAGUCCGUCCAUAUGUUGUCGGCAAGUCAAAAUUACCGACAAAAUCAUUGACGGCAUGUGAAAAUACCAAUGGGCUGGGCAUUAAAUGCAUCUCUAACCACAUCAUUUUUCCGAUGGAAUUACUAACGGCCUGUGAAAAAUAUGGAGGUUAAUUCAAAAUUGAUGGUGCGAAAUUCAAAAUUCACCAACGGAUUUUCAAAACUUCACCAACGAAAUAGUUUUAAAUAAUAAUUUUUUUUAUUACCGUCGGUGAAUCUGUCGGUAAAACUUCACUAUAAAUUCCAGCGAACGCCCCUUCAGUUUAUUUUUUCAUCUGCUCUGUUAUUCCCCUUUCAUUUUCAAUUUUUUUCCUCUCAUUUCCUUCAAUACUUUUGUUUGUUUUGCUUGUAUUCUCUACUUGAAUCUUCAUCAAAUUAAAAGGUAUGUGUUUUUUCUAUUUCAUUUUACUUUAAGGAUUUUUUUUUCUUUGUUUUAGCUAUUUUCAUUUUUGUUAUGUUUCUUGUUUUGAUGUGUUUUUAUAAUGUAGAUAAAGUAUUGAAAUAAACACAUUACUAUGGUAAGCACAUUUCAUUCCUAAAGUCUAUAUUUGUUUUUUAUUUAGUGAAUAUAUUUUAUUGUUGUAUUGCCAUAAUAAUUGAAUAAUUUGUUGAAUUGUAAUUAUUAAUAUUGAAUUUACCUUAGAAUUAUUAAUUCAAUAUGUUGGAAUAAUUAGUAAUUUUACUCUAUUAUUGCAUGAUUUGUGUUUAAUUAUUUCCAUUAAUUUUAAUUGUUAGUCUAGAGUUUUAUUUUUAAAUUUAUUGAAUAUAUUUUAUUGUUUUAUUUCCAUAAUAAUUGAAUAAUUUGUUGUAUUCUAAUUUUUAAUGUUGAAUUUACCUUAGAAUUAGUAAUUCAUUAUGUUGGGAUAAUUAGUAAUUUUACUCUAUUAUUGCAUGAUUUGUGUUUAAUUAUUUCCAUUAAUUUAAUUGUUAGUCUAGAGUUUUUUUUUAAUUUAUUGAAUAUAUUUUAUUGUUUUAUUUCCAUAAUAAUUGAAUAAUUUGUUGAAUUGUGAUUGUUAAUGUUGAAUUUACCUUAGAAUUAGUAAUUGAAUAUGUUGGAAUAAUUAGUAAUUUUACUCUAUUAUUGCAUGAUUUGUGUUUAAUUAUUUCAAUUAAUUUUAAUUGUUAGUCUAGAGUUUUUUUUUAAUUUAUUGAAUAUAUUUUAUUGUUUUUAUUUCCAUAAUAAUUGAAUAAUUUGUUGUAUUCUAAUUGUUGAUGUUGAAUUUACCUUAGAAUUAGUAAUUGAAUAUUUUGGAAUAAUUAGUAAUUUUACUCUAUUAUUGCAUGAUUUGUGUUUAAUUAUUUUCAUUAAUUUUAAUUGUUAGUCUAGAGUUUUUUUUUAAUUUAUUAAAUAUAUUUUAUUGUUUGUAUUUCCAUAAUAAUUGAAAAUUUGUUGAAUUGUGAUUGUUAAUGUUGAAUUUACCUUGUAAUUAGUAUGGAUGUUAUUUGUAUAGAUGUUAUGUUAUAUACAAUCUUAGUAUAGAUGGGGUCAAUAUUUGAAGGUUUGAAAAGUUUGGGUAGUCUCCAAUAUAGGAGAGGUGUUGUCGCUCACGUAUGAUCGCAGCUAGUUCUUCUAGUAGUGAGUGUUGCUACCCAAUUUUUGACCCAUGUUUUGAUAUAUUUUCAAAUAAAUCCAAAAAUAGAGAAAAACAAUGAAAAUCCAAAAAAAUAUGUUUUUUAAUAUAUUCUCGUCAUUUUAGCAUUUUCAACGUCGUCUAGAAAAGAAUUUAAAUUUUUAAGGGUCUUUCGAACGCGUUCGACUUUUCACGCGUCAUUUUUUAAUAUCAUUGAUUUUCCUCAUCGAGUCGACGUUGAUAUUGCUCAUUUUCAAAAAAUACAAAAAAAUAUAGAAAAAUCAAAUUUACAAAAAAAAAGAAGUUGAGGGACCAAUUUUGAAAACUUAGCAAUAUUUCUACCUAUAAAUACUGGUUUCCUCAACACACUCAAGGGGGGGGAUUUUGCAAUUAAAGGGGAGGCAACACCAAAGAGAAAAAACCUAAAAAAGGCUUAGCUUUCUUCUCCCUCACCCGGGAGCAGCCGCCGCUCACCCCCCAUCCAAACAGAGACCAGACCCGACCAUUCCUUCCCCUGUCAUCUCACGCUUAACCCUCUCUCCCAAAACUAGAGCAGCCACCCAAACACCCCCCGGAUUUUUUUCUUCUUCCUCUUCUCCGGCCGGCUUACCAAAGGCCACAACCCGGACCCACAACACAGACGCCUCCACCACCAGCCAGCCACCACAGCCUUCCCAUCAGCAACGGCUGCUUCCCCUUCGGUUUCCUCUCCCAGCGGCGGCCGAACAGCAGCGUCGGGGCAACACUUUCAUCGCCUCACCUUCCCAUCAGCAACGGCUUCUUCUCCCUCAGCAGACGGCCAACAGCAACGGCGAAGCAGCACCGACAGACCAGCCGCCUCCCUAUCUUCCCCGAUCUCUUCCUCUCCAUCAACACCGGAGAUUCCUCCAGUAGCAACCAACACACGGCACCCACAUACCCACCUCCAGAACUGCCCCGCAGUGGCCACCGCAGUCGGCCAUCACCGGAUCUACAACCAGCGAAGGAAGAGAAACAGAUUUGCAAAACAAAAACAGAUCUAAAAAUGAAACAAACAAACUAAAAUCAACUGCCUGUGUUGUUUUCGGGUGCUUUGCAGGUCGCCGCCAGUGUUGGGAGACUGAGAAGAAGAAGUCGAUCCCGAUCCCCCCUGUCUCUGGAGUUUCUUGCGGCGGCGCGUGGAGCAGACGCGCCGCCGCUGUUUGCUGCCCCAGAAGCCUUCCGCCUGUGUUCCCGUGCACUGUUCCUGCAUAUUCUAGAAGCCUUAGGAUGUGUUAGGGGCUAUUCUGUAAUUUUAAAUGGUUUUUGAUGUAAUAUUUUUAUUUAGCAUUGAUUUUUUAUUAUUUUUAUUAUGGAUGUAAAAGAAAAGAAAAGAAAAGAAAAAAAAUAGUGAAAGUGUAUGUGUGUGUUUGUAUUUUGUUUUAUAUUGUUUUAUUUUUUAUGAUAAAAUUGCAAAUAUUAAAGAAGAAUUUAAUAUUUUGAUCGGAUCACGGUUAAGAAUUAUUAACUUAUACGUAAGUGAUAUUUCUAAUUUCCGAUGAAAAGACAAUUUUAAAACUUCUUUAACACAUCAAAUUCGCGAAGCAGCUUACCUCAGGUAGGGUGCGUUAGGGGUGCUAAUACCUUCCCUAACCACAACCAGUCCCUUACCCGCGAAUCUCUGACAAGACCAGUAUCCGGUUUCCUAGUAGCCUUCAAUAAUUACUAGGUGGCGACUCCAACGAACCAUUCAAGCAAAGCAACAACGAUAAAAAAUCGCCAGCCGAUGCCGCGUGAUUUUUUGUGCGACAGAAUGGCGACUCCACUGGGAAAGGUACUGUUUCUGACAUUAUUGGACUAAGCUCUGUGUAUUUGAUGUGUUUAAGUUUUUGUAUUUUUAUCUUUUUGUUAAUAUUCAUUUCCAUGCAUUUUAUAAAAUUGUCUCAUGCAUCACCUGUAUUUAUUUUUGAAUGCACACACAAGCUCUAGGUUAGGUGGGGAACUAACAAUCUGCCCUAAGACUAUUGGUCAGGGUUCAGAUGCGUGAAACACCCAACUCAUAUCUGAGUGCCUGCUUGGUAAUGGUGGGUAUACGUGCCUUAACUAUUCCUUGCAACGCCCCAUACUGUCUUUACGAAGAACGUCACUAGGCAGAUAUGAGACCAGAUAGAAAACCUACCCAUGUUCACAUAAUAAAUAGAACUUGUCCUUAAGUUGUAUGUGCUAUCGUUAUUUGUAUCAGAGCAAACCCUUCUUGAAGCAUCUUGAACUCAAGACUUGUGGGUGACACAAUGGUCGUCACUCCGAAAAUUUUCAUUGCAGAGUUUGGGCAAAAAACGAUUCUUGUCCAUCAUACAAGAGUUACGACCAUAUUGUCACCCUCGAAGGGCAGUUCAUCAUAUAGAUUACAUGUUCAUACAUUUGUCAUGCAUGCACCAGAAUGAAAAGUAGGUCCCCUACGAGUCUACAACACCCGACUUUGAAUGAAGAAAAAACGAAGAUGAAGAGUGCUCGUCGAAUUUUUGAAGAAGAGUUGUUUGAAGACAUGUUGACGCUCUAGCUUACUCGAGCAAAUACUGAAAAAUAACUCUAGGAAAGUUCCUUCCAACCGACCUAUCAUCUUUGUUCAAAACCUAACAACGACUUUGCCCGAAGAAAUUGAGGGAAAACAUCGGUCAAGAGCCUCAACACAAUCGUGUAUUUCUGCAAAAGCUUUGGUGGGAAGGCUGACCGAAGGGGAAUUGCACUACCGGUGCAUAAUGGAGCCUAUUCUUGUUCUGCAAAAAAAAAAAAAAAAACACAACCUCAGUUUGAUCAUGCCUGCAAAAAUUCUUGAUUUUUGUUUCAACCUAUUCCAGUUUUUGUUGGUAACUUGGCUUAAAAUUCCACAACACUUUUCUUAUCAAAUGAACCUUUCUUGUUAAUAAGAUCAUGUGUUUAUAACAUACCUUCAUUUUUGUUGUUGUUUCAUGCAAAUAACAUAUUGAGCAUAACCUUUAAGCAUGAAACCAUCACACCAAGAAUCUUUGGGUGUGUUUUCCUUUCUUUCAAAACUAUGCAUGAUCGCACAUGUUCACAAGGAUUUUUGGGAAUUCAAAGUUUAGUACAAAAAAACAGAAAUCAUGUUGAUGUUUGUCCAAAAUAAACGAGUUCUGGAAAUUCAGGUGAUUCCUUAGAAAGGUAACCAUACCACCUAGAAAAAAAAAAAAAAAAAAAACAAAAACAAAAAGAACCCAUGAAGUGACUCCAAAAGCUGAGUUUUAUUUGAAUGAAUAAUGAGAAAUCACAUUGUAUACUCGCAUGAAAGCAAGGCUUACCGAUCCUAAAUGCAUGAGUUUGAAAUGAAGAAAGGUCAUCUUUGAUAAUCUUUUCACGAGGCUAAAAUAUAUCAUUUGCAGUCCCCUUUUGAGCCUGAUAAUAUUUUUUGGAAAUAACCUUGGGGGCAAGUGUGAUGACAUAGAGAAAACCUCAAUGAUCGAAAGUGCCCAAGCAAUACUAGGGGGCAUAAAAGAAAAUUCUCAAUCAUCAAAGGUGCCCAAACAAAGCUAGGGGGCAUGAAGAAAAAUCCAAAGGAUCCAAAAGUUUUGAGCAAAAAAAAAAAACAAUAUGAUGAUGCUCAAAACCAUAUGAAGAAAACAAAAGCAAAGAGAACAAGCCCAAGCCCAACACAAGGGGGCACGAUAGACAAUUUUCGAAAGACAGUCAAAUGACAAAAGGUCAAGAAACAAGCACAAGUGAUCCUUAGUCUUCAAAUCCCUUAAACACCUUUUGAGCCUACAAAUAUCAUUUUUCUUCAUAACCAAUAGCCCAAGCCUACAUUACGUGCCUAAUCAAGCCCUUUCUGAUCAAAGGCAAGCAAUCUGGAUCGGUAGGCAAUGCUUUCUCAUGUGAACCAAAUCAUUAUUCAUGCAAAUAAAAUAAAUGCUUUGAAAAUCGGUUCUCUAUAACCCUCAAACUGAAAUUUUAACCACUUUUUACAAGCCAAAUGUCACUUCAUAUUUUUCACCAAAAGCCAAAAUAAAAAGUUUUCAUCACUUCUGAUAACCUCUCCAUAGGAAACACUUGAAUUUCUUCAGAAUGAGUUUGCUUUGAAUCGAUGUCAAAAUAAUUUCUGUGUUUGGAAUAGCUUUGGAAUUCCAAAAAUUCUGCAUGAAAACAACUCCUUGUCAAACCUUCCUUCACAUAGCCUCAUCCCCAAACCCGAAUUGAACACUUGGGGGCAUGAUCAAGCUAGGGGGCAAUAAAGAAACAUAUGAUAGGGCUGGCUCCAUGAUUCCCAUUCUAAGAAAAUAUCGAGCAAAAUUGGCAACCCUUGAGAUAAAGUGGCGGAGGACAAAGAAGUAUGAUGAUAUCAAGUCUUUCCUAGAGGUCAAAAUCACAAGAGAUGACUCGAGUAAGCAAGAGCGAAAAGCCAUCGAAGUUCACUGCCAACACUCCAACUUUUGAGAAAAGAAACACACCAUGAAGAAAUGGGGACCUAUAUUUCAAAUCAGGUAAGGAUGCAUGCAUAUCAUCUAACCUCAAAAAAAAAAAUAUUUGCACAUAUUUUUUAAUUGUUACAGGAAAAUCCUUAAUGAGGUCCAAUAAGAUGGUGGAAAAAGAAAGAAGAAAAAGGAAGAAGCAUUGUGGUGAUGAUAAUAAAGAAUCGGUUUUGAUCAUGGAAUAAAAGGACGAUGGGAUGAACCCUACCAUUAGGAAAAUCCCAAAGAAAUGAAAAGAUCAACCUUGCAAUCGGGAAGCCUCGAGUUUUCAACUCUUGCAGUCAGGAAACACCGAGUUUUCAAAUCCUAUGAUCGGGAAUUAUCAGGAAGCACCAAGUUUUCCAGCCCUUCUUCUGUCAUCCCCUCAAAGACUUCGCCAGGUAAGUCCUAUUUUUCACACUUGUCAUAUCAUAUUUUUUCCAUUGGGUAGGUCACCCAUGACAAUGAGACCGCUUUUCAUAUUUUUUCCAUCCGGGUAGGUCACCCAUGACAAUGAGACCGUUUCAUAUUUUUCCAUCUGGGUAGGUCACCCAUUACAAUGAGACCACACUUCAUAUUUUUUCCAUUUGGGUAGGUCACCCAUCAAAUAAGACUUCACUUUUUUUUUUCCAUUUGGGUAGGUCACCCAUUACAAUGAGACCACACUUCAUUAUUCUUUCCAUCGGGGUAGGUCACCCAUCAUAAUUAGACCGUUCUUCAUAUUUUUUCCAUCUGGGUAGGUCACCCAUUACAAUGAGACCGCACUUCACAUUCUUUCCAUCUAGGUAGGUCACCCAUUACAAUGAGACCGCACUUUAUAUUUUUUCCAUUGGGUAGGUCACCCAUUACAAUGAGACCGCACUUCACAUUCUUUCCAUCUGGGUAGGUCACCCAUUACAAUGAGACCACACUUCAUAUUUUUUCCAUUGGGUAGGUCACCCAUUACAAUGAGACCGCACUUCACAUUCUUUUCAUUUUGGGUAGGUCACCCAUCACAACGAGACCGUUUUUCAUAUUCUUUCCACAUGGAUAGGUCACCCAUUACAAUGAGACUACUUCAUAUUUUUUCCACUCGGGUAGGUCACCCAUCACAAUGAGGCCAUCAUUUUUUCUGGGUAGGUCACCUAUUAGAAUGAGACCAUUCUUCAUCUUUUUUUACCUGGGUAGGUCACCCAUAAUAAUGAGGCCAUUCUACCCCCUGGGUAGGUCACCCAUAAGAAUGAGACCACUCUUCCCCCUUUCCACUCGGGUAGGUCACCCAUCACAAUGAGGCCAUCAUUUUUUUUCUGGGUAGGUCACCCGUUAGAAUGAGACCAUUCUCCAUUUUUUUUUUACCUGGCUAGGUCACCCAUAAUAAUGAGGCCAUUCUUCCCCCUGGAUAGGUCACCCAUUAGAAUGAGACCACUCUUCCCCCUUUCCACUUGGGUAGGUCACCCAUCACAAUGAGGCCAUCAUUUUUUUUCUGGGUAGGUCACCCGUUAGAAUGAGACCAUUCUCCAUCUUUUUUUUACCUGGGUAGGUCACCCAUAAUAAUGAGGCCAUUCUACCCCCUGGGUAGGUCACCCAUAAGAAUGAGACCACUCUUCCCCCUUUCCACUCGGGUAAGUCACCCAUCACAAUGAGGCCAUUAUUUUUUUUUUAGGUAGGUCACCCAUUAGAAUGAGACCAUUCUCCAUCUUUUUUUUACCUGGGUAGGUCACCCAUAAUAAUGAGGCCAUUCUCCCCCCUGGGUAGGUCACCCAUAAGAAUGAGACCACUCUUCCUCUUUUCCACUUGGGUAGGUCACCCAUCGCAAUGAGACCAUUUUUCCUGGGUAGGUCACCCAUUACAAUGAGACCACUUGUUACACAUUCUUUUGUUUUGGUUAAAUGAGGUCGCCAGAUGGGAUCUCAAGUAGGUUUGGUUAAAGGGAAUCGCUAGAUGGGAUUUCAGGUUAACUGAGCUACACACAUUUUUUAGUUCUAGUUGAAUGAGGUCGCCAGAUGGGAUCUCAUGUAGCUUUGGUUAAAGGGAAUCGCCAGAUGGGAUUUCAGGUUGACCGAGCUACAACAUUCUUUGGUUUUAGUAUAGGAGAUCGCUAGAUGGCAUCUCAGGUUAACGAAAAGAGAGAGAGAGAAAAAAGAUAAAGAGAGAGAAAGAAAGAAAGAAAGACAAGAAAAAAAUAAGGUCUUAUUCAACAGUGUUAAAAAGACAAGCAAACAAGUUUUUCUUUACAAAGCUUACUAUGUAAAACAUUGAGGAGUUUUGCUUCGUAAGCAUUGUAAAGAGGGGGCAUCUGUUGCUACCCAAUUUUUGACCCAUGUUUUGAUAUAUUUUCAAAAAAAUCCAAAAAUAGAGAAAAACAAUGAAAAUCCAAAAAAAAUAUGUUUUUUAAUAUAUUCUCGUCAUUUUAGCAUUUUCAACGUCGUCUAGAAAAGAAUUUAAAUUUUUAAGGGUCUUUCGAAUGCGUUCGACUUUUCACGCGUCAUUUUUUAAAAUCAUUGAUUUUCCUCAUCGAGUUGAUGUUGAUAUUGCUCAUUUUCAAAAAAUACAAAAAAUAUAGAAAAAUCAAAUUUAUGUGCAAUUAAAGGGGGGGAAUUUAUGUUGAUAUUUAUAGGUAGCAAUAUUUCUACCUAUAAAUACUGGUUUCCUCAACACACUCAAGGGGGGGAAUUUUGCAAUUAAAGGGGAGGCAACACCAAAGAGAAAAAACCUAGAAAAGGCUUAGCUUUCUUCUCCCUCACCCGGGAGCAGCCGCCGCUCACCCCCCAUCCAAACAGAGACCAGACCCGACCAUUCCUUCCUCUGUCAUCUCACGCUCAACCCUCUCUCCCAAAACCAGAGCAACCACCCAAACACCCCCCAGAUUUUUUUCUUCUUCCUCUUCUCCGGCCGGCUUGCCAAAGGCCACAACCCGGACCCACACACAGCCUCCCCUCACAAAUAAACCUCCAGCCUUCCACCAUCUCCUUCUCACUUCCCCAUCACCCAAAAAGACCAAGCGGCCAUCUCUGCUCUCCCUCUUCUAAGCCGACAACACAGACGCCUCCACCACCAGCCAGCCACCACAACCUUCCCAUCAGCAACGGCUGCUUCCCCUUCGGUUUCCUCUCCCAGCGGCGGACGAACAGCAGCGUCGGGGCAACACUUUCAUCGCCCCACCUUCCCAUCAGCAACGGCUUCUUCUCCCUCAGCAGACGGCCAACAGCAACGGCGAAGCAGCACCGACAGACCAGCCGCCUCCCUAUCUUCCCCGAUCUCUUCCUCUCCAUCAACACCGGAGAUUCCUCCAGUAGCAACCAACACACGGCGCCCACAUACCCACCUCCAGAACUGCCCCGCAGUGGCCACCGCAGCCGGCCAUCACCGGAUCUGCAACCAGCGAAGGAAGAGAAACAGAUUUGCAAAACAAAAACAGAUCUAAAAAUGAAACAAACAAACUAAAAUCAACUGCCUGUGUUGUUUUCAGGUGCUUUGCAGGUCGCCGCCAGUGUUGGGAGACUGAGAAGAAGAAGUCGAUCCCGAUCCCCCCUGUCUCUGGAGUUUCUUGCGGCGGCGCGUGGAGUAGACGCGCCGCCGCUGUUUGCUGCCCCAGAAGCCUUCCGCCUAUGUUCCCGUGCACUGUUCCUGCAUAUUCUAGAAGCCUUAGGAUGUGUUGGGGCUAUUCUGUAAUUUUAAAUGGUUUUUGAUGUAAUAUUUUUAUUUAGCAUUGAUUUUUUAUUAUUUUUAUUGUGGAUGUAAAAGAAAAGGAAAAGAAAAGAAACAAAAAUAGUGAAAGUGUAUGGGUGUACUUGUAUUUGUUUUAUCAAUUGUUUUAUUUUUUUAUGAUAAAAUUGCAAAGAUUAAAGAAGAAUUUAAUAUUUUGAUUGGAUCACGGUCAAGAAUUAUUAACUUAUACGUAAGUUAUAUUUCUAAUAUCCGAUGAAAAGACAAAAUUUUAAAACUUCUUUAACACGUCAAAUUCGCGAAGCAGCUUACCUCAGGUAGGGUGCGUUAGGGGUGCUAAUACCUUCCCUAACCACAACCAGUCCCUUACCCGCGAAUCUCUGACAAGACCAGUGUAUCCGAUUUCCUAAUAGCCUUCAAUAAAUUACUAGGUGGGGACUCCAAACAAACUCAUGCAUGCAUAACGCAACAACGAUAAAACAAUUGCCAGCCCGAUGCGGCGUGGAUUUUCCGACGUGUGACAGUGAGGAUGACAUGUCCUUAGAUGCCUAUCAAGAAGAGGCACAUGCGCCAUCAACUGAUUUUGCCUCUUCCAGCGCGGUUUCCCAACGCAGAGGCGGCGUGCCUUCGCAGCGGAAUCAAUUCACCUACAAGUACGAGGCACAGUGGAAGGACGAUCUUUCAAUGUAAGUUUGUUAAGGUUUUAUUUUUUUUUCAAAAAAUUAUAACAUAAUUUUUGAACAACUAAUCAAUAUUCAUUAAUUUAAUUUAAUUUCAUGUUCACAAAAAUUAAGGGCGUCCAAGUAAUAUGAUCAACGUUUAAAUUGUAGAUGGAGAUUCCAUUAUUUCAAUGGAGUUACGUAUCUAGACAUCCUGAAUGGAUACCUCAAAUCGAUGCAUGGUUUGACAGAUUUUAUGUUGGUGUUAAUUUCUAAUUUCCAAAUGUAAUUUCUAAUAAAUUAUUAAUAUAAUUGUAAAUAAAUUAUUAUUUUUAUUUAAAAUUAAUUAUUUAUACACAGGACAAAUUCGACUGGUACAGUGUGCAUGACACUAUUGUGAGGAGGGUGCGGGAAAAUCACGCAACAACUAGGUAACAUCGAAAACAAUACAAGAUUUUUUUAGAAAAAAAUUUAUGUUUCAAAAUCUAAUUUCUUGUUGUGGAAGUAGGUUGCGUGAUUUUUGAUAGGAAGCACAAAAAAUGCAAAAAAGCUACGAGGGAUUUCAAACUAAUAUACAUCCCGGUAGAUAUAUGGCCGCACUAUCUUGAGCUCGUGAUGUCUGAGCGGUUCACACGAUGCUCACAGUCUGGUGCUGGCAACCGGAAUCGGCUAAUUCAUGGCUCGGUGACAAUGCACACUGGCGGCUCCGUUCCAUUUGUUGUAUUUGCGAAACGGUUGGUAAGAUUAAUUUAAAUGAAAUAUAUCAUUAAAUUAAUUUGUUGUUAAUUAAUUUGUUUCAUUAUAGGCUACGUCUCUUGGACAUGAGCCGAGCCCAAUGGAGUUGUUUGUUGAGACGCAUAUGCGGAGUCAAGAUCGUCAAAAGGGGGCACAAUAUUUCAUUGACAGUCGUGCUCAACACUUUGUGGUAUGUUUGUUCAACCAUUUUAUUUUGUAUGUUAUUAUUUUUAUUGAAUUGAAUAUGAUGAUUACUUUUUCAUUUUCAGAGAGACUUAUAAUAGCCGAUUGAGGGAGAGAUACAGGGACAAUCCUUCGACCCAUCUGGAUUUCGAUCCGGAUUUGUUUGAUGGAGGUUGGAUCAUCAAGUGGACCCGAUAAAAAUCAGGUGUACGGGCUCUCCACAUUACGGCCGAAACUUGCGGGCGGCCCGUAGUGUCUCAACCAUUGGGAGCUCCUAAUUAGUAUUGUGCAGAAUCUAAAGAGUUUGUGGCCUUGCAGCAACACAUGGCUUAGCUCACCAAAAAAUACAACCACCUAUAGGCAAGGUAUACACAACUCUCGGUGAAAUUAUGAACAACUUCGUCAAAUGGUCACGAACAUGGCAUCACAGAAUGGUGAUACAUGUGUGCCUCCUCCUUUUUGGCCGUAUAACAAUCAACCUCCUCCUUCAGCUCCACCAUUAUGUUAAUUUGUAAUGAAUAUUAUUUAACUUUAAUAGUUAAUUUAAUAUUUUUUUUGAAACACAUUCAUUUUGUAAUGAAUAUUAUUUAACUUUAUUUUUUUGUUUUUGAUGUUUAAUAAAAAAUUUAUUUGCAUAAUUGGUUUUUUUACUAUUAAUUUAUAUAAUUUUAUAUUAUAUAUUCUAAAUAUUUUUUAAAAAACAUAUUUAAAAAUAAUCAUAGAGGGUUUUACCAACGGACUGUAUCUGUCGGCAUUUGACAAAGAGCAGGAAAUGUCAAUCUUACGAAUGAAUUUACAGAUGGAAUACAUUUUUUGGCAUUUCACAGUAGUUGGGUGCAAAUUUCACAAUCAACAACGACUUGACCAAUGGAUAUCGUCUGUUGGUAUUUCACACACUCAUCGAAGGAAUACAUCCGUCGAUAUAUUUCAAGCCGGAUUUUUUUUUACGCGCAAUUUCCAUUUGUAAAACCAUUCGCAAUUGUUUUUUUUACCAAACGAUGUAGCGACUGAAUGAGGUAUUACCAAUGAAAAGAAAGCUGAAGGAAGAUUUCUGUAGGGAAUGUCGUUGGUAAAAAAAUUACCAACGAACUCGGAAUCAUAGACGGAUGGAAUAGUUCCGUCUGUAAAACUGUGAAAUCUUGUUGUGGGAAGUGGCAUAGUAAAGACAUCUGUCCUGCAGCCCAGACAUUGUUCAGUAUUCAGCCCAUAUCAUGAGUUUUAGAAGUCCAAAUGACCUCCAUUUUUUUUUUUCCUGGAAAGCUAAGUCAAUUUCCUACAACUUUAAUGUUUUCAAGUGGACCAAGUUCUGAUGAUAGAAAAUUUCAUUUUAUUCUGACAAUAAGAUAAGGAUUUUCACAAAGUCAAGAGUUGGCCACCCACUCAACAAUUAGUCAUCAUCAAUAAUUCCGAAUUUUGGCCUAUAAAAGGAGGCAUUUGCCAUGUAUUUAGGGCUUGGUUGUUCAGAUCAAGUUUGCUCUUUUCUCUCUUUAUAGUUUUUGUAAUUCUUAAGUUUUGCUUUCAUUAAUAUCUUGUUUAUGUUUUUCAUUUCCUUUCCUUUCCUUUCCUUAGUUAACUUGUAUCUUAUUUAUGUUCUUGUUCUGUUUAUUUAUGUUUCUCUUCUUCAUUAUGUUUAGCUAAGUUUAUUAUGUCAAGGUAAAAAGGUUACACUAAUGGUGUAAGAAUAAGUAUAGUGUAAACUCAACAUGAACCUUAAUGUUUAAUAUUAACAUGUCUUAUCUUUUUAUCUUACUAAUUCUUAAUACCUUGCUUGUUAAAUGGUUAAUCUAGAUUUGUGUUGUAUAACACUUGGUACAACAAAUGCUUGGCACUCUCAUAGCCCAACCGUAUGGUAUUACCUACACCUGUGCUAUGAAAGGAACUUGAUUUGUUGUUAACAUAAGUUAGCAUCAUGAAUUCCUGACAAUAUUUAAAAGUUUGGUGUUAUGUAAAUAAGAUAAUUAAUAUGAUCAUGUUAACAAUUUAUAAUGAGCUAUUAAUGACAAAUCAUCCGAUUGGAACCUCCUUCGUGUGUGGUUUCCAAAUUGAGUAAUAAGAGUUUAUACUAUACUUGUUUGAAAUACCAUUAGUGGAUCCUCUAACCUUGACAUUUUUUUUAUCAUUGUUUAAUCCUUACAUUAAUCUUCCAUCUCAAAGUUCUCAUUAAUUUCUUCUCCUCUUCUUUUUAUUAUUAUUAUUAUUAUUAUAUUAUUAUUCUUGUUAUAUUUUAUGUACGUUAAGUAUGCUCUGUGUUUGAUCAAGGAUCCUGAUAUUGUUGGUCUUGCCUUGUUCAUUCGCAUCAGAAAUCUGUUUAUAUUAUAUAAUAUAUCUCUUUGAUCUUUUCAUAAACUCAGUAUAUAGGCUGGAAACCUGUGACCCGAUCUUUUAGAUCAUUCUCAGGUAUAACAACGCCACGUACUGAGUAUUAUUAUUAUUAUUAUUAUUAUUAUUAUUAUUACUAUUAUAUUAUUAUUACUAUUACUAUUAUUGUUAUUAUUGUUGUUGUUAUUGUUGUUAUUAUUGUUGUUGUUGUUGUCUUGUUAUUUAUAAUUUAUACAAUUAACCUCUCUGUGGUUCGACCCUGGUCUUGCCGGGUUAUUUAUUACUUCGACACUCCUGCACUUGGGAGAAGACAUCAAUCUUUUGGUCGUGUCAAGUUUUUGGCGCCGUUGCCGGGGAGGUAAAUUCUUGUACAAAUUAUAGUAUUUAUUUUGUUUUCUCUUUUCACUUUUCUUGUAUCUAACUUUGUUUCUUUUUCUUUGUUUUCUUCUUCCUUUUAUUCUCUUUCUACACGUGCAUGAGUGUUUGGUCACGUACAUUAAGUGGUAGACUUUGUAGGGUAUCCUCAUCAUUUUCAGAAAAUAUGGCCGAAGAAGAUAACCAGUCACUUCAUAAUGAGAAUAAUGAGAAUAACCGUGUUAGGACACUUAGAGACCACAUGAAUCCCACAAGAACAAGUGCACCCUCAUGCAUAGUUUUCCCUCCUGAUGCAUCCCAUUUUAAUUUUAAGCCAGGCAUUAUUCAACUUUUACCUUCUUUUCAUGGCUUAGAUCUAGAAAAUCCAUACUUGCAUUUGAGAGAAUUUGAAGAAGUUUGUAACACCUAUAAUGACUUAAAUUGUAGCAUGAAUACCAUUAGAUUAAAGCUUUUUCCUUUUUCAUUAAAAGAUAAAGCUAAAACAUGGCUACAAAAUCUUAGGUCAGGAUCCAUUCGUGCUUGGGAUGAAAUGCAACAACAAUUUUUAAAGAAGUUUUUUCCAUCUCACAGAACCAACUCUUUCAAAAGACAAAUCACCACUUUCACCCAAAAACCAGAUGAAACAUUUUACCAAUGUUGGGAUAGGUAUCGAGACUUGCUUAAUACUUUGCCCGCAUCGUGAGAUCGGAAGAGCGGUUCAGCAGGAAUGCCGAGACCGAUCUCGUAUGCCGUCUUCUGCUUGCUGAGUCGGAGACACGCAGGGAUGAGAUGGCGGCCGCACUGACCCUAUAGUGAGUCGUAUUAAUUUCAAAUCAUACCAACAUGGUCAAAUAAAACGAAAGGCUCAGUCGAAAGACUGGGCCUUUCGUUUUAAUCUGAUCGGCACGUAAGAGGUUCCAACUUUCACCAUAAUGAAAUAAGAUCACUACCGGGCGUAUUUUUUGAGUUAUCGAGAUUUUCAGGAGCUAAGGAAGCUAAAAUGGAGAAAAAAAUCACUGGAUAUACCACCGUUGAUAUAUCCCAAUGGCAUCGUAAAGAACAUUUUGAGGCAUUUCAGUCAGUUGCUCAAUGCACCUAUAACCAGACCGUUCAGCUGGAUAUUACGGCCUUUUUAAAGACCGUAAAGAAAAAUAAGCACAAGUUUUAUCCGGCCUUUAUUCACAUUCUUGCCCGCCUGAUGAAUGCUCAUCCGGAAUUUCGUAUGGCAAUGAAAGACGGUGAGCUGGUGAUAUGGGAUAGUGUUCACCCUUGUUACACCGUUUUCCAUGAGCAAACUGAAACGUUUUCAUCGCUCUGGAGUGAAUACCACGACGAUUUCCGGCAGUUUCUACACAUAUAUUCGCAAGAUGUGGCGUGUUACGGUGAAAACCUGGCCUAUUUCCCUAAAGGGUUUAUUGAGAAUAUGUUUUUCGUCUCAGCCAAUCCCUGGGUGAGUUUCACCAGUUUUGAUUUAAACGUGGCCAAUAUGGACAACUUCUUCGCCCCCGUUUUCACCAUGGGCAAAUAUUAUACGCAAGGCGACAAGGUGCUGAUGCCGCUGGCGAUUCAGGUUCAUCAUGCCGUUUGUGAUGGCUUCCAUGUCGGCAGAAUGCUUAAUGAAUUACAACAAUACUGCGAUGAGUGGCAGGGCGGGGCGUAACCUACGUGACAGAAGUCAAAAGCCUCCGGUCGGAGGCUUUUGACUUUCUGCUUGAUCGGCCGCAUCGAAUAUAACUUCGUAUAAUGUAUGCUAUACGAAGUUAUUAGCGAUGAGCUCGGACUUCCAUUGUUCAUUCCACGGACAAAAACAGAGAAAGGAAACGACAGAGGCCAAAAAGCUCGCUUUUAGCACCUGUCGUUUCCUUUCUUUUCAGAGGGUAUUUUAAAUAAAAACAUUAAGUUAUGACGAAGAAGAACGGAAACGCCUUAAACCGGAAAAUUUUCAUAAAUAGCGAAAACCCGCGAGGUCGCCGCCCCGUAACCUGUCGGAUCACCGGAAAGGACCCGUAAAGUGAUAAUGAUUAUCAUCUACAUAUCACAACGCGCGUGGAGGCCAUCAAACCACGUCAAAUAAUCAAUUAUGACGCAGGUAUCGUAUUAAUUGAUCUGCAUCAACUUAACGUAAAAGCAACUUCAGACAAUACAAAUCAGCGACACUGAAUACGGGGCAACCUCAUGUCCGAGCUCGCGAGCUCGUCGACAGCGACACACUUGCAUCGGAUGCAGCCCGGUUAACGUGCCGGCACGGCCUGGGUAACCAGGUAUUUUGUCCACAUAACCGUGCGCAAAAUGUUGUGGAUAAGCAGGACACAGCAGCAAUCCACAGCAGGCAUACAACCGCACACCGAGGUUACUCCGUUCUACAGGUUACGACGACCAUGUCAAUACUUGCCCUUGACAGGCAUUGAUGGAAUCGUAGUCUCACGCUGAUAGUCUGAUCGACAAUACAAGUGGGACCGUGGUCCCAGACCGAUAAUCAGACCGACAACACGAGUGGGAUCGUGGUCCCAGACUAAUAAUCAGACCGACGAUACGAGUGGGACCGUGGUCCCAGACUAAUAAUCAGACCGACGAUACGAGUGGGACCGUGGUUCCAGACUAAUAAUCAGACCGACGAUACGAGUGGGACCGUGGUCCCAGACUAAUAAUCAGACCGACGAUACGAGUGGGACCAUGGUCCCAGACUAAUAAUCAGACCGACGAUACGAGUGGGACCGUGGUCCCAGUCUGAUUAUCAGACCGACGAUACGAGUGGGACCGUGGUCCCAGACUAAUAAUCAGACCGACGAUACGAGUGGGACCGUGGUCCCAGACUAAUAAUCAGACCGACGAUACGAGUGGGACCGUGGUCCCAGUCUGAUUAUCAGACCGACGAUACAAGUGGAACAGUGGGCCCAGAGAGAAUAUUCAGGCCAGUUAUGCUUUCUGGCCUGUAACAAAGGACAUUAAGUAAAGACAGAUAAACGUAGACUAAAACGUGGUCGCAUCAGGGUGCUGGCUUUUCAAGUUCCUUAAGAAUGGCCUCAAUUUUCUCUAUACACUCAGUUGGAACACGAGACCUGUCCAGGUUAAGCACCAUUUUAUCGCCCUUAUACAAUACUGUCGCUCCAGGAGCAAACUGAUGUCGUGAGCUUAAACUUGUUCUUGAUGCAGAUGACGUUUUAAGCACAGAAGUUAAAAGAGUGAUAACUUCUUCAGCUUCAAAUAUCACCCCAGCUUUUUUCUGCUCAUGAAGGUUAGAUGCCUGCUGCUUAAGUAAUUCCUCUUUAUCUGUAAAGGCUUUUUGAAGUGCAUCACCUGACCGGGCAGAUAGUUCACCGGGGUGAGAAAAAAGAGCAACAACUGAUUUAGGCAAUUUGGCGGUGUUGAUACAGCGGGUAAUAAUCUUACGUGAAAUAUUUUCCGCAUCAGCCAGCGCAGAAAUAUUUCCAGCAAAUUCAUUCUGCAAUCGGCUUGCAUAACGCUGACCACGUUCAUAAGCACUUGUUGGGCGAUAAUCGUUACCCAAUCUGGAUAAUGCAGCCAUCUGCUCAUCAUCCAGCUCGCCAACCAGAACACGAUAAUCACUUUCGGUAAGUGCAGCAGCUUUACGACGGCGACUCCCAUCGGCAAUUUCUAUGACACCAGAUACUCUUCGACCGAACGCCGGUGUCUGUUGACCAGUCAGUAGAAAAGAAGGGAUGAGAUCAUCCAGUGCGUCCUCAGUAAGCAGCUCUUGGUCACGUUCAUUACCUGACCAUACCCGAGAGGUCUUCUCAACACUAUCACCCCGGAGCACUUCAAGAGUAAACUUCACAUCCCGACCACAUACAGGCAAAGUAAUGGCAUUACCGCGAGCCAUUACUCCUACGCGCGCAAUUAACGAAUCCACCAUCGGGGCAGCUGGUGUCGAUAACGAAGUAUCUUCAACCGGUUGAGUAUUGAGCGUAUGUUUUGGAAUAACAGGCGCACGCUUCAUUAUCUAAUCUCCCAGCGUGGUUUAAUCAGACGAUCGAAAAUUUCAUUGCAGACAGGUUCCCAAAUAGAAAGAGCAUUUCUCCAGGCACCAGUUGAAGAGCGUUGAUCAAUGGCCUGUUCAAAAACAGUUCUCAUCCGGAUCUGACCUUUACCAACUUCAUCCGUUUCACGCACAACAUUUUUUAGAACCAUGCUUCCCCAGGCAUCCCGAAUUUGCUCCUCCAUCCACGGGGACUGAGAGCCAUUACUAUUGCUGUAUUUGGUAAGCAAAAUACGAACAUCAGGCUCGAACCCUUUAAGAUCAACGUUCUUGAGCAGAUCACGAAGCAUAUCGAAAAACUGCAGUGCGGAGGUGUAGUCAAACAACUCAGCAGGCGUGGGAACAAUCAGCACAUCAGCAGCACAUACGACAUUAAUCGUGCCGAUACCCAGGUUAGGCGCGCUGUCAAUAACUAUGACAUCAUAGUCAUGAGCAACAGUUUCAAUGGCCAGUCGGAGCAUCAGGUGUGGAUCGGUGGGCAGUUUACCUUCAUCAAAUUUGCCCAUUAACUCAGUUUCAAUACGGUGCAGAGCCAGACAGGAAGGAAUAAUGUCAAGCCCCGGCCAGCAAGUGGGCUUUAUUGCAUAAGUGACAUCGUCCUUUUCCCCAAGAUAGAAAGGCAGGAGAGUGUCUUCUGCAUGAAUAUGAAGAUCUGGAACCCAUCCGUGAUACAUUGAGGCUGUUCCCUGGGGGUCGUUACCUUCCACGAGCAAAACACGUAGCCCCUUCAGAGCCAAAUCCUGAGCAAGAUGAACAGAAACAGAGGUUUUGUAAACGCCUCCUUUAUGGGCAGCAACCCCGAUCACCGGUGGAAAUACGUCUUCAGCACGUCGCAAUCGCGUUCCAAACACAUCACGCAUAUGAUUAAUUUGUUCAAUUGUAUAACCAACACGUUGCUCAACCCGUCCUCGAAUUUCCAUAUCCGGGUGCGGUAGUCGCCCUGCUUUCUCGGCAUCUCUGAUAGCCUGAGAAGAAACCCCAACUAAAUCCGCUGCUUCACCUAUUCUCCAGCGCCGGGUUAUUUUCCUCGCUUCCGGGCUGUCAUCAUUAAACUGUGCAAUGGCGAUAGCCUUCGUCAUUUCAUGACCAGCGUUUAUGCACUGGUUAAGUGUUUCCAUGAGUUUCAUUCUGAACAUCCUUUAAUCAUUGCUUUGCGUUUUUUUAUUAAAUCUUGCAAUUUACUGCAAAGCAACAACAAAAUCGCAAAGUCAUCAAAAAACCGCAAAGUUGUUUAAAAUAAGAGCAACACUACAAAAGGAGAUAAGAAGAGCACAUACCUCAGUCACUUAUUAUCACUUGCGCUCGCCGCAGCCGUGUAACCGAGCAUAGCGAGCGAACUGGCGAGGAAGCAAAGAAGAACUGUUCUGUCAGAUAGCUCUUACGCUCAGCGCAAGAAGAAAUAUCCACCGUGGGAAAAACUCCAGGUAGAGGAACACACGCGGAUAGCCAAUUCAGAGUAAUAAACUGUGAUAAUCAACCCUCAUCAAUGAUGACGAACUAACCCCCGAUAUCAGGUCACAUGACGAAGGGAAAGAGAAGGAAAUCAACUGUGACAAACUGCCCUCAAAUUUGGCUUCCUUAAAAAUUACAGUUCAAAAAGUAUGAGAAAAUCCAUGCAGGCUGAAGGAAACAGCAAAACUGUGACAAAUUACCCUCAGUAGGUCAGAACAAAUGUGACGAACCACCCUCAAAUCUGUGACAGAUAACCCUCAGACUAUCCUGUCGUCAUGGAAGUGAUAUCGCGGAAGGAAAAUACGAUAUGAGUCGUCUGGCGGCCUUUCUUUUUCUCAAUGUAUGAGAGGCGCAUUGGAGUUCUGCUGUUGAUCUCAUUAACACAGACCUGCAGGAAGCGGCGGCGGAAGUCAGGCAUACGCUGGUAACUUUGAGGCAGCUGGUAACGCUCUAUGAUCCAGUCGAUUUCAGAGAGACGAUGCCUGAGCCAUCCGGCUUACGAUACUGACACAGGGAUUCGUAUAAACGCAUGGCAUACGGAUUGGUGAUUUCUUUUGUUUCACUAAGCCGAAACUGCGUAAACCGGUUCUGUAACCCGAUAAAGAAGGGAAUGAGAUAUGGGUUGAUAUGAACACUGUAAAGCCCUCUGGAUGGACUGUGCGCACGUUUGAUAAACCAAGGAAAAGAUUCAUAGCCUUUUUCAUCGCCGGCAUCCUCUUCAGGGCGAUAAAAAACCACUUCCUUCCCCGCGAAACUCUUCAAUGCCUGCCGUAUAUCCUUACUGGCUUCCGCAGAGGUCAAUCCGAAUAUUUCAGCAUAUUUAGCAACAUGGAUCUCGCAGAUACCGUCAUGUUCCUGUAGGGUGCCAUCAGAUUUUCUGAUCUGGUCAACGAACAGAUACAGCAUACGUUUUUGAUCCCGGGAGAGACUAUAUGCCGCCUCAGUGAGGUCGUUUGACUGGACGAUUCGCGGGCUAUUUUUACGUUUCUUGUGAUUGAUAACCGCUGUUUCCGCCAUGACAGAUCCAUGUGAAGUGUGACAAGUUUUUAGAUUGUCACACUAAAUAAAAAAGAGUCAAUAAGCAGGGAUAACUUUGUGAAAAAACAGCUUCUUCUGAGGGCAAUUUGUCACAGGGUUAAGGGCAAUUUGUCACAGACAGGACUGUCAUUUGAGGGUGAUUUGUCACACUGAAAGGGCAAUUUGUCACAACACCUUCUAUAGAACCAGCAUGGAUAAAGGCCUACAAGGCGCUCUAAAAAAGAAGAUCUAAAAACUAUAAAAAAAAUAAUUAUAAAAAUAUCCCCGUGGAUAAGUGGAUAACCCCAAGGGAAGUUUUUUCAGGCAUCGUGUGUAAGCAGAAUAUAUAAGUGCUGUUCCCUGGUGCUUCCUCGCUCACUCGACCGGGAGGGUUCGAGAAGGGGGGGCACCCCCCUUCGGCGUGCGCGGUCACGCGCACAGGGCGCAGCCCUGGUUAAAAACAAGGUUUAUAAAUAUUGGUUUAAAAGCAGGUUAAAAGACAGGUUAGCGGUGGCCGAAAAACGGGCGGAAACCCUUGCAAAUGCUGGAUUUUCUGCCUGUGGACAGCCCCUCAAAUGUCAAUAGGUGCGCCCCUCAUCUGUCAGCACUCUGCCCCUCAAGUGUCAAGGAUCGCGCCCCUCAUCUGUCAGUAGUCGCGCCCCUCAAGUGUCAAUACCGCAGGGCACUUAUCCCCAGGCUUGUCCACAUCAUCUGUGGGAAACUCGCGUAAAAUCAGGCGUUUUCGCCGAUUUGCGAGGCUGGCCAGCUCCACGUCGCCGGCCGAAAUCGAGCCUGCCCCUCAUCUGUCAACGCCGCGCCGGGUGAGUCGGCCCCUCAAGUGUCAACGUCCGCCCCUCAUCUGUCAGUGAGGGCCAAAGUUUUCCGCGAGGUAUCCACAACGCCGGCCGGCCGCGGUGUCUCGCACACGGCUUCGACGGCGUUUCUGGCGCGUUUGCAGGGCCAUAGACGGCCGCCAGCCCAGCGGCGAGGGCAACCAGCCGAGGGCUUCGCCCUGUCGCUCGACUGCGGCGAGCACUACUGGCUGUAAAAGGACAGACCACAUCAUGGUUCUGUGUUCAUUAGGUUGUUCUGUCCAUUGCUGACAUAAUCCGCUCCACUUCAACGUAACACCGCACGAAGAUUUCUAUUGUUCCUGAAGGCAUAUUCAAAUCGUUUUCGUUACCGCUUGCAGGCAUCAUGACAGAACACUACUUCCUAUAAACGCUACACAGGCUCCUGAGAUUAAUAAUGCGGAUCUCUACGAUAAUGGGAGAUUUUCCCGACUGUUUCGUUCGCUUCUCAGUGGAUAACAGCCAGCUUCUCUGUUUAACAGACAAAAACAGCAUAUCCACUCAGUUCCACAUUUCCAUAUAAAGGCCAAGGCAUUUAUUCUCAGGAUAAUUGUUUCAGCAUCGCAACCGCAUCAGACUCCGGCAUCGCAAACUGCAUCCGGUGCCGGGCAGCCACAUCCAGCGCAAAAACCUUCGUGUAGACUUCCGUUGAACUGAUGGACUUAUGUCCCAUCAGGCUUUGCAGAACUUUCAGCGGUAUACCGGCAUACAGCAUGUGCAUCGCAUAGGAAUGGCGGAACGUAUGUGGUGUGACCGGAACAGAGAACGUCACACCGUCAGCAGCAGCGGCGGCAACCGCCUCCCCAAUCCAGGUCAUGACCGUUCUGUCCGUCACUUCCCAGAUCCGCGCUUUCUCUGUCCUUCCUGUGCGACGGUUACGCCGCUCCAUGAGCUUAUCGGGUCCACUCGCGAACGCAGAAAGGCCCACCCGAAGGUGAGCCAGUGUGAUUACAUUUGCGGCCUAACUGUGGCCAGUCCAGUUACGCUGGAGUCAGUAGUAUUUAGGUGACACUAUAGAAGCGGCCGCCUAUCCCCUGUGUGCCUUGGCAGUCUCAGAAUGAUACGGCGACCACCGAGAUCUACACUCUUUCCCUACACGACGUUCCUCUACCUCCUGGUAAAAGUGUUGUUGGUUGUCGUUGGGUGUUUAAGAUCAAGACUAAUUUUGAUGGGUCUAUUGAGCGAUAAAAAGCUAGGUUGAUUGCAAAAUGAUACUCUCAACAGUAUGGUAUGGAUUUUGAGGAGACAUUUGCCCCUGUUGCAAAAAUGACUAUUAUUUGUACUCUUAUUGUUGUAGCUUAGGUUCAUCAAUGGCAUAUCGCACAACUUGAUGUUAAAAAUGCCUUCUUAAAUUGAGAUCUUCAAGAAGAAAUUUAUAUGGCACCUCCUCUUAGUGUUUCACAUGACUCUGAGUAUGUUUGUAAGCUCAAGAAAGCGUUAUAUGGUCUCAAACAAGCACCUUGGCUUGAGAAAUUUUCUGUUGUGAUCUCAUCUCUUGGAUUUGUUUCUAGUGGUCAUGAUUCUGCCCUUUUUAUUAAGUGCACUGAUUUCGAUCAUAUCAUUCUAUCUUUAUAUGUUGAUGACAUGAUUAUUACUGGUGAUGGUAUUGAUGGUAUCUCAGUUUUGAAGACAGAGCUAGCUAGACAGUUUGAAAUGAAGGAUUUGGGUUCUCUUCGAUAUUUCCUAGGUAUUGAGGUAGCUUACCCACCUAGGUUACCUUUUUUCUCAAUUGAAACAUGUUGCAGAUAUUCUUAAGCAGGCUAGACUUACUGAUAACAAGACUAUAGACAAUCACAUUAAAGUUAAUGCAAGGUACUCUUCUUCUGAUGGUUUACCUUUGGUGGAUCCUACUUUAUACCAUAUUAUUGUUGGGAGCUUGGUAUAUCUCACCAUUACUUGUCUAGAUAUUGUAUAUGUUGUUCAUGUUGUUAGUUAGUUUGUUUUCUCUCCUACUACUGUUCACUGGGCAACUAUUCCUCGUAUUUUGUAAUAUCUUCAGUGUACAGUUUUUCAGAGUCUUUUCCUUUCAUCCACCUCUUCCUUAGAGUUGCAUGCAUACUCUGAUGCUGAUCAUGGUAGUGAUCCCACAUAUCGCAAAUUUAUUACCGAGUUUUGUAUCUUUUUAAGUGAUUUUUUUAUUUCUUGUUUCUUGGAAGAGCAAGAAAUAAUCUAUUGUUUCUCAAUCAUCCACCGAAGCAGGAUAUCGUGCCAUGACAUCUACUACGAAAGAGAUUGUUUAGUUAUAUUGGUUACUUGUUGAUAUAUAAGUUUUAUUUUCUCAUCCUACUCCUAUAUAUUAUGACAACUAGAGUUCUAUUUAGAUUGCUCAUAACUCGGUUUUUCAUGAGCGAACUAAGCACAUUGAGAUUGAUUGUCAUCUUACUCGUUAUCAUCUCAAGCAUGACACCAUUACUUUUCCUUUUGUUUAUUCUUCCUUGGACAUUGCAGAUUUCUUUACCAGGACGCAUUCCAUUUCUCAUUUUCAUUUUUUAGUUGGCAAGCUCUUAAUGUUUGUAGUUGUCGCAUCGUGAGUUUGAAAGGAGAUGUUAAAUAACAUUUAUUUAGCCUUAUUUAUUAAGGGUAGAAUAGUAUUUUCAGUUUAACCUAUAUAUAAUUUUUUUAUAUUUAGGUUAACUCUAAGCACUCAUAAUAAACUGAUUAUUAAGAAUUAUAGUUUUCUUUUUUUGUUUGAUCUGAAUUAUUUUAACAAUAAUAUGUAAUUAACAUAUACAUGGUGCAUGGAUACUUACUGUUACGCUGAAUUAAAAAAUCAGAUCUAUAAGGUAUUGUAAACAAAUUAGAUUGAAAAAAACAGGUGGCUUACAACAGAACACGCUUACACUAUGCACUAGAUAGCUAGAUCUCCACUCUAUAAAUAGGCCUGGUUCGUUCUUCUUCAAACCACUCUUCCCUAGCUACACACUUCUUCGUUCUAUAUUUAUUGUUUCUGUUUCCUUCUUUCAUUUUACUUGUCAAUGGAAAGUGGGCUUAAGGCAUUGUGGGUGCUGUCCGCGGUGUUGCUGGUGUCAAACUGGCAACACUGGACUUAUGGAAAGGCCGUACCUCAAGUUCCUUGCUACUUCGUCUUUGGAGAUUCUCUCUUUGAUAACGGAAACAAUAACUACCUUGACAAAUCAGCUAAAGUUAAUUACCUUCCUUAUGGGAUAGACUUUGAUACUGGGGCUACAGGAAGGUGCAGCAAUGGUCUCAACAUAGCUGACACCAUUGGUCUGCAGUUUUCUCUCCUCUCUUAUAAUACAAAAUAUAGUGUUUUAGUUUUCUUUAACAUAUAAAAUAAAUAUGUUCUCACUAGAUAGUUGUGAUCGUUUUAUUAAAUUACAAUUAGAUAUCCUGCUAAGUCUGGUACUAAUGUUUUUGUUGCUGAAAUUUACAUAAUUUAUUAGAAGGAUGAUUAGGUUUGUUCUUUUGUUUCUUGUAUACCUUGAAACAUAAAUUUACAACGGUCUGAACAUAACCGAGUUUAGUAAUGUGGGCAGUUAUGAUCUUAAUUAUUAUUCUUUUGUUUCAGCUGAGCAAUUAGGUUUCGACAGUUACAUUACGGAUUUUGGUGUCGGAGGUUGCACUAAUUUUCUAGAUGGUGUAAAUUAUGGAUCAAAUGGAGCUGGCAUCCUUAAUUCUACUGGCUCUCUUGCGGUGAUUACUGAUCAUAUGCCUCUCAUAACUAAAACCUUGUAUUAUUCCGUAUGAAUUUUGCGUAAUCUUGUAUGCUUUGGCAACGCUACUAUUCAUAUGUUUCUUUUGUGUAUGUGAAGGGAGAACUAUUUACAAUGGAUGCUCAGUUAUUUAAUCACAAUAUCACGGUUUCACGAAUUUCCAAGAUCUUGGGAAGCGAGGAAGUUGCUAGGAAGUACUUGAGCCAAUGCAUCUAUGUGUCUGAUAUGGGUCAUAACGACUACCUCAACAAUUAUUUCAAGGAAGAGUACAACAGCAGCAAGCAAUAUACUCCUCAAAAAUUUGCUGAACUUCUUAUUAAAACUUAUGAAACUCAGCUGGAGGUUAGCCCUACUAAUGUCUCUUGUAAAACAACAAUUAAUGUUUGACACGAUUGGAAACUAACAAAGACCCCACUUCAUUCCGUUUUUUUUCCCUUGCUGCCAGAAACUGUAUUGCUCAGGAGCAAGAAAGAUAGCUGUGUUCGGACUUAUUCGGGUAGGAUGUAUGCCGCACAACAGACAAAACCAUCCCAAUGACGUAGAUGCAUCUUCUUUAUGUGUAGAAAAGUUCAACAGUGAUGUUCAAAUUUUCAACGGCAUGCUUCAAGAACUGCUAAAUAAUCUUAAUGAAAAGCAUGCUGAUGCUGUGUUUACCUACAUAAACUCUUAUGAAAUUGAUUCUGAUGAUCAGACAAAUACAGGUACGAAUCCCCUCCCUCCCUUGCUCUCUCUCUCUCACGGCUGAAGACGACUUUUUUGUGAGACCAAAAUUAUUUUUUCUUGCUUGCAGGUUUUACACAUACCCGUAAGAGCUGUUGCGAGGUAGCAUAUGGUUCAGUCCCAUGUACAUCUCUCUCCGUGCCAUGUAGCAACAGGAGUGACUAUGUGUACUGGGACGGAGCCCAUUUUACUGAAGCUAAAGCUAGGGCCUUUGGAGAAAGAGCAUAUAAAAGUCUGUCACAAAAGCAUGCUCAUCCAUAUGAUAUUAGCGAACUAGCUAAGCUGAAGCUUGAUGAUUCUGAUGCUUACAAUAUCAACCAUGCCCAGCUCUGAUGGAGAAGAUGAUUGUCCAAUAAGUUCUUAGAGAAUAAAAUAUUGUGACUGUAAGAACAAUGGAAAGACAUAUCUACUGUCUUUUCAUAGCCUUUCACAAUAUAAUUCCAAUAAAAUUUGCCUUUAGGCAUUAGCCUCAAGGAGCAAUAAUAAUUACUUAAUUCCUUAAUCAUUUGGAUAUCAUUACUUAAACUCUAUUCAUAGAAGGAUUUAUUCUUAAAGUAUGGAAGUCGAUUCGGAGAUACUCUUGCCAUUAAAAUCGAAAAAAGGAUACAUCCGUACGUUCAUAAACCAAAACAACUUUACUUCUAUAUUUAUAUCUGCGAAAUCUCAUAUGUGGACAUGAUAGGCUAAAAGAUCAUGGCCUCUGCUGCUAGUUUAUCUUUCUGUGACUCACUUCGGCCUUAUUUUAACUAAAGUCUCAACAAAUUGCUAUACUGAUAACACAAAAUCAAGGUUUCCAACUUGAUGUGAAUUCGAUCACAACAAAUUUCUAAACUGAUUGUGUGCUGCAUGACUUUGAUAUAUUUUAUGCUCUUCUUAACUCCUUUUCCUCAUGAUUUUUUUAAAAAACUAUGCUUGAUUAUACUGGUAGUGAGACGAGAGGAAUUCAAUCCUAACACAAAGAUCCGAGUGUAUAAAUUAAAACCUUUUUUUUUUAAUUUAGAACUCUUUUAGCUUUAUAUAUGAUGUUUUUACUAUUAUAUAAACAACCAAACCAAAGAGAGUUGCGAUAUUCAGUAUUGAUCAUCAAAAUAUUGAGUAAUAAAAAAUAAAAUUUGUUUUCUUAUAGUAAAGAUUAAUUUUUUUAUAUAUAAAAUUCUAUAUAGAUAUAUAUAUAUAUAUAUAUGAUUGCUAUAUUUUUUGUGUUUUUUUUAUUUGCGUCAAACUGUUACCAUUAUGGGAUAUAAUAUAUUUUGGAGGCGCAAAAUAAAACUAUAACAUGAUAAACAUGAAUGUUUAAAUAGUAAUUUACCACAAAAAAUUACUCCACUAUGAUACUAUAUAUAACGUAUCAAAAAAACAAUUAAUGAUAAUCUAAUUAAUUAAUAAAAUGGGGAAAAUAGCCAGCAAGGAAGUGGCUUCAGAUUACACAGUCUGCUAAAUCAGGAUGACAGCCGAACUUCCAUGAGACUGGGAUUAUGAUAAUUGUCACCAAGGCCAUCUUCCAUUACUUCCCAGAUUACUUCCCAGUUGGCUUUUCAUUUCCAGUUCUAACCCUAGAAUCAGGGCUCAGAUGGUUUUUGCCUAGAACGCAAAAAGCAAUCAGACUGACAGACCCCAUCUUGCUACUCUAAUUUUCAUUUGUUUGCCUUUAAUGAUGUAAAUACUUGCUAGUAUCUCAGAAGUCCAUUGUUAUAAUAUACUUACUGAAAGUUUGCGCUACGGAUGCUUAUCUCCAAAUUAAGUUCUCUCGAUUGCAAGAACUUUCACCUCAUUUGAAUCUAUAGUACUAGAUAAGGAUGAAAAAAUGUAUGAGAAGUGAGUAAAGAUGAGCAGCAGCCAGUAAGAUGGUGGCCAAGACUGCAAAUGGAAAAGCAAUCUAUGGUCAAUUUAUAUAAUCAGAAUCUCUACCUGUUAGAACAUACACCUGCAAAAAUCUUGUGACAGCAAGAGAGACACAACAGAAACAAUACUCUAGACCUAGAAAUUAAACAGGGAAUAAAAAUCAAGUAUGCCAUUCUUUAAGCUCCUCUCUCCUGUUCUCAAUUUCCUGGAGUAGCUUUGCUAGGCCAUCUGCCAGUACAUUUCUAAUAACCAUAAAAUAUAUAUGUUUUUUACACUAUAUUUUUUUAAUGUAUUUUAAAUUUAUUUAAGCUUAUUAAAAAUUAUUUUUAUAAUAUUAAUACAUAUAAGAAACUUUAUAAAUUAAAUACUAAAAAAUAAAAAUUUCAACAUUUUAUAUCUUAAUCCUUACUUCUUGUCAAGGAUAAUAUAUAAUAUAAACUCAAAUCAUAAAAUAUAAUCAUUAAGUAAAAUAUCAUCGGCAGCUGGUCCAACCUCAACACCAUUGUUCCCAGACUCUUCAAACCAAAUCACCCAAACCCGAAACCAACAAGCCAUAAACCCGACUUUAUUGGUAACCCAAUUAGCCUCCUCCACUGUUACCGAGCAAGACCCAUCUCUUUCCUAGUGUUGACUGUUGAAACGGCUAGAAAAGAAAAAAAAAACCACAAUCAAGAAAUAGAUCGGUGGAUAAAACAAAAGAAAUAAAUAAAACGAAUUGCGUUUGUUGAUUUCAUUUUCUUGCAAUUCACGAUGAGAGCCACUACUAGCAUGAGAAGAAGGAGAUGAAAGAGAAGAUCCUGAUCCACCUAAUUUUUCAAUCAGACGAUCAAACGGCACGUGAAACCACGCGUCUCCUCUGUGUCUCUAUUUCUAUCACCUUGUAGCAAUCUCCCCAAGCUAUCAUCAGCCUCAGGAAGGUUUAUUUUGGAAUCCAGAAUAUUUAUUUAUUUAUUUAUGAUUUAUGUUUAAUUACAAUGAUAUGUAAAUAUUUGUAAAUAUAUUGGUGUGAGUUAAUUACUAAAAAGAUUGGGUGUGUGUUUGUAUUUUUCUUAUAUGUUCUUGAAUCUAUUAAGUUGCCUACAUGAAUCUUUUUUAUAAAAUUUAUUUGGAUACACAAGAUCAAUAGUAAAUUCUUUGACAUAAAUAAAUUUUAAUGCUAAAUAAUAGAUAUACUAUUAGUUAAAAACUUAUCAAAAUUUUUAAAUCACAUAAUAUAGCUUAUUUUAAAUAGAAUGCAUUAGAAAUACUAAUACAUUCUCACAACCAGUUUCUUGUACUUUAAAUUUUUUAUUAUGGAUUUUCUAACAACCUCAACCAAAUAAUUAGAUGGCGAGUCCGAUGAACUCUCAACACGUAGGGCUAGGAAAUCCCUUCUCUCUCUUUUUCCAAACUGUUAAUUAGAUUAUAUUUAACAAAAGCUAUUGCCAGCACUUUUAUGAAUGAUUAUUAGAAGGGGCCGAUGCUGUCGCUUUUCUUUGGGCACCCAUUUUUUGCUAAUUCAUAAUUGGACACUAUGUUUCUUCCCUUUUUCACAGAAAAUAGACAGCAAAGUUGAUUAAUAAAUAGAUCAAUGGAACACAUAGCAAGCUAUAACACCAUGCAAAUGUAACAACAGUGAAGGCAGAAUGCAGAGCUCAAAGCCAUCUGUAGCAGGUAAACGUGGUCAGUUUUCCCCUGAUGAGAAAAUCAAAUCCAGUGUUGGCAUGGAAAAUGGCAGCCAGGUAUAUUUCGCAGGUUUAAAGGCGGCAAUUCCACUACUUCACAUGUGAAAGAGCAUCAGUUUGAGUGAGGAAAAGCAAUCUGCAGCUUACUACUCUCAUUUAUGAAGAUGUAUAUUGGAAGACUAAUAACACGUUCCUCAUGACUAAUUUGCUUUCUUCCAUGAAGGUUGAUGGCUGUCAAUUUCAUGGGCGUGUUCCUUUGGCAGGCAGUCACGCUGUGCCUCCGAAAAAGCACACUAUUGACUCGUUGAAAACCAAUCCUGUGAAACUGUUCAUUAUCUUCUUUAAUAUUGGCCCAGUCCCUCCAUUUUGCUUUUCUUACAACAAAAUCUUGAGUUUGUAUAAAGGGAAACAAGAUUAGUAUAUAUCUAUUAGGGGGAAAAAAUAGAGAGGGAGAGGGGAAAAAGGAAAAGCCUAGAGAGCCAAAGAGUAGGCUGAAGAGGAUAAUAGCUGUGCUGACAAAAUUUAUUCAACACCAACACCAUAUAAAAAAUGCAUUAGCCCUCUGAAUUGAACGUCUAUAAAUAGACAAGAAAGAGGAUAAUAGGUGGCUGACAAAAUUUCUGCACCCUCAAAAAACUUGCAGAUGCAUUAUUUAAGAAAAAAUUGAGACAAAGGUUUUUCCUUGAACACCUUCAUAUUUUUAAACCUGAAUGAAUGGCUACAACUCCCCCAACGAGAUUCUCAUACUCAACCUUCUGAAAUCCUGCAUCUGCAAUCAUCGAAGCAAAUUUCUCUUGCAUUCAUCACUUGCAAUAAGUCAUUAAGUAUACCAGACAAAGGUACACACACAAUUAAACCCAGGUUAUCAGCGAGCACAUGCAAUAUAAGCUCCUAGAUAGUCCAUUGUCCUCAUGCCUCCCUCCCCUCUCUCCUCUCUCAGCUAAGGUAAUUUAAUUCCAAUCAGUUAACUCACAGGGAUUCACACAUAGGGUUCAAAUUUAUCAGUUGCAGAUUACUGAGCAGAAAAUAUCUUUCAAAGUGCACAACUAAUGAAUCUAAUAUAAGGCUUACAUUUUCUUCAAAUGAUACUUUAUAUAGUCUAAUUAGAGGGGGGGGGGGAAAAUAUAUAUAUAUAUAGUUAGAUGCACUGUUUCAGAUAAAAAUACAUGCCGAUAACACAUUACUGGCAGUUCAAUGUAAUAAAUAUGAGUUGAUUCUUUUCUUUUUUUUAGCAAAAUGAAUUUUAUAACCUUGAGCCAUGUACAAUGAUCAUUAAAACACUCUUGCAUGCCAUAUUAAAAUCACAUUCUAUCUUGUGCAUAUUCACAUUUGGAAUAUGCAAAAAGCAAUAAUCCAUGUAACCAUGUAAGGUUGCUAUAAAAAUAUCUAGUUUCCACAUUCAAGGAUAAGGCGUUCACUUGCAUACACAAAAUACACCAGUUGUUUUAAUUUUUAUUUUAUGUCUUAUUUUCAGAAAAAGGCUCCGCUGAAGUAUGUAUUGGGAAUAUAGAAAACUUCAAUUCCUUGAUUGAGUUAUAGCAGUAUAUGUAACAUCCAGGGUUCUACAAAGGCAGCACACUAUAGUGUGGACUCAAUUUCUUAGCUUCUAAGAUACUUUGGCAAAAUUGUGGUAAUAUUUGCAAAAGUACAUAGGACAAAAUUAUGACCUGUGGAGGAAAACGACGUAUGCUCUCAACUAAGUACUGAUAAGAAUCCCGAUCACCUGCAACUAGCUCUCCCACAGCUGGAAUGACUGAGAAUGAAUAGUAAUCAUAUCUGCAAGAAAAAGGAACAUUCUUGAAACAGGAUAGAUGAUGCAGUGUUCUGAAAAAUAUGGGGAAAAAAAACAAAUUGAAGUGGAAAGAAAGCUAAGCUUCACUAAGAUUAGCUGGGACAGUAGAAGUCAUCUGCAAUCCAUAGAAUAAAGCUUGAGCAGUGAGCAUAUAUCUUUUUCUUGCUACAAACAAUCAUAAAGUCUUCCAUGUGAGUGCUUUCCACAUGCCAGAGCAUGCAAGGAUUGAAAACUAAUCAACAAAAUUUCAACCACUCAAAUUCAAAUGAAACAGCAAGAUCUUCUUAACAAUUCAAAGUUCAUGUAAUUAGUAAAAGCUAAUUUAUUUCAGGAUCUACAUGCUAUUGUUGUUUUGUUUGUAUUACAACAUCAGCAUAAUGUUAAUCUGGUUCAAUCACAGUAUUUGCCACUUUUUGUACUUCGUCUUGCAACAUCUACAGAACACUAAUCUCCGUAGCCAUGAUGUUUUGACCAUAUUUUAUUAAAGUUCAUCAUCUUCUCAAUCAACAUUAUGCUCCCAGGUAACAAUCUGUUUGCACCCUAGUGGGAUUAAUUGGUUAGGAAACAACAAUUGUAUGUAGACCAACAGCAGGUAUGUAGUGCACAGAAAAAUCAAUUAGAGACAAUAAAAUAAAUCAAUCUACUCUUUAUAAACUUUAGAUUCAUAAUCAAUACAAAUAUAAACUCCUAUAAUAAUAUGAAUAUAGAAAAAUGAAUCCAGAACUCCAACGAGAAAGGUGGGUUAUGGGAGCAUGUGACUUGUAUUAUUGAAUUCGGGUUAGAACUAAGAUGUAAUAUUUCUCUGUCAAUCUCACUUCAUCACACCAAGGCCUUUGUCUCUAUGAUUGACUAUUUUCUAUGGAAAGGAAGAGGCUGGAUAGUUAAUAUUCAAUAAAGAUGAAGAAACCAUGUUAUAGAGCCGGGUAAAUUAGUAAACACCCUAGGUAUGGUGAACUUAUCAUUACAACUCAAAACUUUGAAGAUUUGCAAAAUAUAUAUAUAUUAAGCAUGAUAUUCUAAAUGGAUUUAAAAAUACUACUUUGACAGUAACAAUAUUUUGGGCAUAAAAGAGGGUUUUUAUCUUAUUUACUUGAACAUGGAGGGGGGAUUUUGUCAAAACUUCAAACUUUUGGGUGGUGGCUAUAGUUUCACCACACCUCAUGGGAGUUAUUGUAAUUUAUCCUUUUUGAUUUAAUUUGUAAAAAAACAUUUCACCACCUAUACACUACCAGAAAGGAAAGACUAGCCACUUCUGGCAUAAUUUAUUGACUUGUCAAUUUAUUAAAAUUGAGAAAAAAUUAAACACAGGAAAAAGGAUAUUUUUUGUUGAAAUAAUGCCUAAAACUGAUACUACAAGAAAUGCUAACAUUUAUCCUUUAAUGUAUGUAAGAAGGUGUACUCACAAUUCUUUAAACACAGGAACUUCAACGUGGCUCAGUUCAAGGCAAAGAAAUCUUCCUCCGUGUUUUAAUACCCUAAUAAAAUAACAGAUGAAGAUUGCAUGAAACAUUAAUGUAUAUAACACAAGCUGGAAAAUUUCUGAAGAAAGAAAGGGGACCUUAUAACAGAAGAAUAGCCUGCUGAUCAUACAUAUCGAAAGAGAAGACAUUUACUAAUUGAAUGGAAAACACAUAACAACUAGCACAAAUACACCAUAGUUUAGACUGAAAUAAGACAUUUUGUUUUAAUAAAUUCAUAGUCAUCAUCUAAACGAUUUUCUUGUUAGCUUCAUAUCUUUUAAAAACUCUCCAUGCAGUCGUUGGGUCUCAUAAAAUUUAAACCUAAUAUUUAACUUUCUCACUACCUAAUUCCACUUCUAAUUGUCCUUAUUUCAAAUUCAACAGAAAACAUUUAAUGCAAGUACCUAAUUUGGAGCAAACAAGGUCAACUCUCUAAGUGGAAAACAAAAAUUACCUAGGAACCUCUACCCUCUCAAAAUUUAAGCUGGUAGUGGAUUCAGAUCCCCUUUACUCAGACACUGAUGAAGGUCUUAUCCACAGUAGCACCAUGAUAACUUAAGUAACUUUCUAGACAUAUUGAUCUUGAUAAUAUGCAUGUUCAGUGCUAUUUUUGCAAUUGUAACCAACAAAUGUCAUUGUUAUAUGCAUUUUCUUUGGAGAAAAUAUGUUAUAAACAUUGAUUUUAGAAGAUAAAGGCUACAUUUCCUUUAAUUCAUAACAGUCCAUCGGAUCCUCUAAUUAGAUAAGCCAUCCUUAAAAGCCUGUAACAGAGUAACCUGAUAUCGCAUCAGUAGUGGUGAAAUGAUUAUUUGUCAUGGUUUAGUUUUACAACCUUAAUGAGAGGAUUGUUAGCUUGCUAUUUAUAAUUUAUGUCAAGAGGGUCUAAUAUAAUUUGGGUGAAUAUGUCAACAGCAAGCCACAAAAUUAUGAGUAUAGGUCAUGAGCAUACCUAUACGCUUCAGCAAGAACUUUCUCUAUGUGUGUAACAUUCCUAAUUCCAAAUGCUAUUGUGUAGCCAUCCAUGGUCUUAUCUCCAAAACUCAAGGCUUCAGCAUCUCCUUCCACCCAUAUGAGGGAUUUGUCUUCUCCAAGACCUGCAAGCGUCAAUUAAAAAAAAAGGAAAGAAAACCAUCACUCAUCGAGAAAUCGACAUUAAUAAACUGUAAUUAGACCAUCCAUGAAUUUCACUCAAGUCCUAAUCAUUCCUGAUUCAUACCUCUCUCUAUAGCCCGUUUUCUGCCAACAUUUAACAUGUUUGGGUUUAUGUCACACACAUGUAUCUGUGUUUCUUCCUGUAAAUGAUCAUUAAUGGGAUCUUGAUUUGCUCUACGCUUGAUACUACUUAUACCAUCCAGAAUCCUGAAAGCAACAUCUCCUGCAAUUAAGAAUUCCAAACUCAAGAUCUUAUAACUCAUAAAAACUAUGAGAUAACAAUGAAAAAACAACAAGAAUAAGAAGAUACCAAUCAUCAAUUUUAGCUGAACAAUUUGCUAGAUAGAAGUAGAGCGUGCAUAUUUAAAAGGUGGAUGUAAAGGUUAUAUGAAGAGGGUUUUCCAAGGAUUUAAUACUAGCAAAACUGAGACCAAAGGAAGACUUGGCAUUUUGGUUUCUAGAUUUGUAUGGAUAGAAUCUGAAUCAACUUGAGAUGAAAUGACGAACUUUAAGGGCUCUGGAGACAUUAUGUAAAUUUGCAGCAGAACCAGUUAGCCACUUGCUUUUACACCAUAGUUGAACAAGAGAUUUGCGCAAGCAAGUCUUCUCACUAUUAGUAUUCUUUUGGGUGCUAUGCAAAGGAAAGAGAUGUAUGGGCUCUGGAGACAUUAUCCUUGUAAAUCAGAUGGUUGUUUUUACACAUGGCCACAUGGUGUGGCUUCACCUCCCGAUUUCUAUCCAUUAAAGCUUUUCUAAUCAAAUAAAGUGCUUUUAUUUUCUUUAUAACAUGUCAUAGUUUUAUAUCAGUACUCACCUGUUCCCCCAGCCACAUCAAGAUGCUUCAUUCCAGGAAAUGGAUUCAGCAUAGAAACCAGUCUAGAAAGCAUCAUAGAAAAGUAGCUAAUGUCACCAUGAACCCAAAGUGAAGUAUAAAACAUAACAAGCAAUCAUUAAAAAAUGCAUCCUCAACGUAUUCUGACCUGUCCUUCCAUAACCUAUGUAAUCCACCACUCAUUAAAUCAUUCAUGAGAUCAUAAUUUGAGGCAACACUGCUGAAAACAUUACCAACCAGUUGACUUUUUUCUUCUUCUCGAACAUGUUUGAAUCCUGAAAUGAUUUUUUAAGAAUGUCUAACGUGUGGUUAAGAGGGUUCGUUCAGGAUGUUCAAUUUAACGAGACAAAUCAAAAUGAAAACAAACAAUUAGUAGUUCAAAGAAGGCAGACUAAAAAAGACACACAAGAAGAAGAGGAAUCAUUAAUUACUCAAGAACCUACCAAAGCUAGUGGCAUGUGAAUGCAGUGGAGAAGUGGAAGACAGCAUGGGCAAGAAUUUGCUCCCCAGCUUCCUGCUAACCAAUUUCAGCGCCAUGUCUGCCACCCAGACCGAGCCACACACACAACAUCAAUAAAUAUAUAUAAGAAAAAAAAAAUCAAAUUCGUUCUUAGGAUCAUGGAGCCCAGUUGGAUAAUGUGUCAAAUACGCAAUGGUCAGAAUGCUCUAGCUAUAAAAUUAAAUCGCAUUUGAGAAAAUUAAACUAAGAAAAGAAAGGCAAAAUGAAAGACAGAAAAAAAUAAAAGAAAGCAAAGGGGUAAAACAAAAUCUUUGCCCUCCAGAUUUCAUAAUUAUUUCUCUCAAAUCUCUAUCCAAAUUGGGUUAAAGAAGAAAGAGGAUGAAGAGAAGACAGUAUAAAUUACGUUCAUUCAUCAUACCUUAAUUCAACAGUGAUUUCUGUACCUACUAAUUUACAAACUUCUUCUUCUAUUUCUUUGCUGAUGAUCUCUUUGGUUGUUUUUUGGGCUCAAAGUUAAAACUGUGAAGGCAGUGGUGUUUCGUUUCGUCUCGAAGAAAGUGUUUUCAGAAUUCAAAAUUAAGGUGUUAGGUGAAUUUUUAAAGUAUUGUUUUUUUUUUUUUUGAAAAUAUAUUAAAAUAAAUGUUUUUAUAUUUUUUAAUUUUAAUAUUAAGAUAUUAAAAUUAUUUAAAAAUAUUAAUUUAAUGUUAUUUCAUGCCAAACACAUUUUUGAAAGAUACCUAACCAUAAUUUUCCAUAUACUAAAGUUAUAUGUUGUUAUAAAACUCAAUCUUAUUUAACUUAAUUUAAAGUUUGAUUUAUGAGUUGAGAAGGUUUGUAAUCAAAGAUUUGAAUUAAAAAAUAUAUAUAUUUAUAACAAUUAUAUUAUAAAAUACUAUAAAAGGUAUAGAAAAAGUAUUGUAGCUUUCCCCACGUUUUUUAACUUUAUUCAUUAUUAUAAUUAUAUUAUUAUUAUUAUUAUAUUAUAAAAUAUCUUAAAAAGUACUGUAGCUAUCUUCUUCUUCUUUUUUUAUUUUUUUUUUAAUUUAGUUUGUUAAUGCUAAAUUUGUUUUAUUUAGUUAUCAGACUUUCAUGACACGGAUCUCGGGUUUAAUGAGUUUACCUGGUUUGACGAGUUAACCUGGAAUUGUUUUUCUUUUUAAUUAAUUUUUUUUAUUUAGUUUAGUUUGUUAAUGUUAAAUUUCUUUAUAUUUAAUUAUCAGAUUUUCAUAACACGUAUCCCGAACUUGACGGGUUUACUUGGUUUAACGGGCUAACCCCCAAUUAAUUCUGGGUAAACGUCAAUUUUAUUUUUUCUAUUUAGUUAUCAAACUUUCAUGACGUGGAUCCCAAGUUUGACGGGUUAACUGGUAUGAAGGGUUAAUCCAGUUAAUUUAUAUUUUUUUUCAUUAGUUUUUUUCUUCCUAUUAGUUUUUUUUCUUUGGUUUUUUUUUUUAAUUAAUCUAUUUAAUUAUCAUAUUUUUAUGACACGACCUUAGCAUACCCACAUCUAAUGCUCUUGGGUCCGGUGUUGCAGCUAGACUCACUUAAACUUAAGUCAUGUAAGUUUAAUAUUAUUAUUAAUAUUAUAAAUAUUACUCUUGGGUCAAGCGUUGCAGCUAAACCCAAGACUCUUGGGUAUAACUUUGCAAAAAGACCCAACAAUUUUAAUUUUUAAUUUUUAAUUUUUUUUUAAUAUUUUAUGUUAAAAAAAAUUAACCUACGACAUCGCGCAUGUCAUGUAAUUAGUAAAACACUAAAAGAUGUGAAUUCUUAAUUGUGCAAACAUCAUUAUUCAUCAUCUCAUAUUUUAUUGUUCAAAAUUUUAGGAAUCAAAUUUAAGAGUGAUUAAAUCAAAUGUUUAGCUCUGUUAUCUUUGGUUAUUAAAUUGUUUUUUUUUCUUUUUAAUUUGAUUCUCAUAAGUUAAGUUGUCAUGUUUUGUUUUGGAUUUAUUUUGAUGUACAUGCUCUAUCACCAAUCUUAGUACUCUACUAAGCAAUUUCAUAAUUUUCUCUCCUUAUAGCCACAAGCAAUGUCUGCCUCUUUUUUUAUAGGUCAGUUGCCUCAUAACUCCUCAGGUAUGCCACAUUCUAAAUGGGUCUUGGAUUUUGGUGCUUCCCAUCAUAUGUCUCCAGAUUCUUCAUCUUUUACCCAUGUGUCCCUUUCAUCCUUCAUUCCUGUUAUGACUGCCAAUGGCAUUCUCAUGCCCUUAGUAGGUGUUGGUUUUGUUGUCACACCUUACUUGUCUCUCCCUAAUAUUUAUUUUAUUUCAAAACUCAAAUUAAAUCUUGCUUAUAUUGGUCAAAUAUAUGAUUCUAGUGAUUAUUUAGUCAUAUUUUUUUGGUUCUUUUUAUCGUGUACAGGAUCUGCAGUGUCAAAAUAUGAUUGGAACAAGCCGCAGGGAGAAUGGACUACAUAUUUUGAAUGAGUUAAAAGUGUCAGUUGUCAUUGCUACUACUACUACUAGUAUUGAUUUCUCUUCCUUUCGUUUGAGUCAUUCAUCUUCUAGUUUUUAUUUAUGGCAUUCUUGUCUAGGUCAUGUUUCGUCUUCUCGUUUAAUAUUUUUGGCAUUCACAGGAGCUUUAGGAAAUUUAAAAACUUAUGAUAUUUCUGAUUGUAAUGGAUGUAAACUGGCAAAAUUUUCCGCUUUACCUUUUAAUCGAAGUAUUUCUAUUUCUUCUUCACCAUUUGAUUUGAUUCAUUAUGAUGUAUGGGGACCUUCUCCUAUUUCCACAAAAAGACAGUCUCGAUAUUAUGUUUCAUUUAUUGAUGAUCAUACUCAUUAUUGUUAGGUUUAUCUAAUGAAACAUCGUUUUGAUUUCUAUGAGAUAUAUACAGCCUUUUGAGCGCUUAUUAAAACUCAACAUUCUAUUAUAAUCAAAUGCUUUAGGUGUGAUUUGGGUGGAGAAUAAACUCUUAAUAAAUUUUAUCAAUUGCUUUCCUUAGAUGGAAACCAUUCACAAAACUUCAUGUACAUAUACUCGUAAGCAAAAUGAUGUUGCUGAAAGAAAACAUAGGCAUAUUGUCGAAACUGCUCGUUCUCUCUUGUUGUCUGCUUCUGUUCCUAAUGAGUUUUGGGGAGAAGUUGUCCUUACUUCUGUAAGUUCGAUUAAUACAAUCUCAUCUUCUCAUAGUUCAAGUUUGUCUCCUUUUGAAAAGUUAUAUGGGCAUGUCCCUGAUUAUACCUCCUUUAGAGUUUUUUAUUGUACUUAUUUCGUUCUUUGUCCUCAUGCAGAAUGUAGUAAGUUGUUCUCUUGUUCUGCUAUUUAUGUCUUUUUGGGUUAUGGUGAAGGUAAAAAGAGGUAUCGUUGUUUUGAUCCAAUAACUCAAAAAUUUUAUGUGUCUCGUCAUGUUGUCUUUCUCGAGCAUAUACCUUUAUUUUAUAUUCCAUCCACUACUUAUAACUUGACUAGACUUGAUAUUAUUCAUAUCAAUCCUUUUUUAAAGGAUUUUGAUAAUAUAUCAUCACAGGUUCCUAGUACCUCAAAUACCAUUUCUCAUGUUCGACCAAUUUGUACUCAUCAUCCUACAAGUACUGACACUUUACUCUCUGGCACACCUGAAUCUCCAUUCUCAUCUACAACCCCCCAAGCUUAAUAUGAGAUUGUGGAUCCACCUCUACUACUUCAAUUCAUACGCAUUCGUAUAUAAACCCCAAGUUGAAAUUAAUUAGAAAAAAAAUCAAUAUUUAUGGAGCAAGAUUAAAAUAAGUAAAAAAAAAACUAGGAAGUCAAUCUAACUAUUAAAGUGUGGGAAUGAAAAAAAUUACAAGAUAGAGGAAGUAAAGUGUAUAAAACGAGAGGAAGAAAUUCUAGGAAUUAAUAAGACAAUAGCCAAACAAAGCCAAGUCCUAAUUAGAAAGGGGUAUAAAUACAUGUGAGAGAGUAAGAUGGAGACUUUUCUUCUCCAUAAAAGCUAGCGGAAACCGUAAAGAACAACUCUUCCCCAUUUUAAUUUCAAAACAGAAAUACUUUGUAUAUUCCCCUUACCUAGCGCAAGAGUGAAAGAAGAAUAAUUGUAAGGUGAAAAAUCAAGAAUUUGAAGUAGAGAAAGAGAGAUGGAACCGGCUGAAACAAAAAAUAAAAAGAGAAGAAGGAAAAUUGAAAGGGAGGAGAAUAAUAUCACCCAAGUACUCCCUCAAAAUGCUUCCAAAUUCGUGAGGUAAGAGUAAUCCUUUACUCUUGGAACUUGUCAUCGGAGGUGUUAGGUUGUAUGAGAAGAAAGCCCCAAAUGAAGUGAUUUAGGAUGCUUGAAUUUAAUUAGGGUAAAUGAAAAAUCAAUGCAAAUUCAUACUCUAGAGCAUAAAUAGUUUAGGAACACAACAUUUUUAACUAGGAUUGAUGAAGGUUGGAGUUGUUAGGAAACCCUUACCAUUCAACCAAAAGAAAAACAAAUAUAAGGGAAUGGGGAGUCUCCAAUGGUAUUAUACUAAUAUAAUGAUGAUGAAGUGUGCAGUAACUGAAAUUAUUAUUAUUUUUUUACUUUUUUUCAUAUCUCUUGAUUAGCACUUAUAUGAUUUAUGUUGGAGCUUAAAGUUGUAUGAAUCAUGUUAUAAUGAAAAUCAAAUAUAAAAAGAAGAAGAAGAAGAAAGAUUUGAUGUCUUGAUAAGGAAUGAGCUUCAAUUGCUAGUUCCUAAUAGAGUUUAAACGUAAUGGAAUCCUAUAAUGAUGAAAAUAUGCAUAGAAAAUGUUUGAUUAGUGUUUAAAUCCAUGAAUUCAAAUCUUGGCAAUUUGAUGAUGGAAAUACCAACACAAAUUGGACAUAGAAGAUGAUAGAAAUUGCUAUAAUGUUUAUAUGAAAGAUGUAGAGGAAUGAGUUAGCUAACAUUUGGCACUGGUCUUGCCUCAAUUGGAGUUGUAUAACUCUAGAUAUGGGCAAAAUACCAUCAAGAGGUCAAACUAUCUGUAACAGGACAAUUUGGUUCUCAUAAUUAAAACUACUGUUAGAUAUAGAAGAUGAUAGAAAUUGUUGUAACAUUUUAUAUGAAAGAUGUAGAGGAAUGAGUUAGCUAACAUUUGGCACUAGUAUUGCCUCAAGUGGAGUUGUUUUACUCUAGAUAUGGGCAAAAUACCAUUAAGAGGUCAAAUUGUCCGUAACAGGACAAUUUUGGUUCUCAGAAUUAAAACUAUUGUUAGACAUAGAAGAUGAUAGAAAUUGUUGUAACGUUUUAUAAACAAGUUUUAGAGAAAUGAUUUAGCUAACAUUGGGACCUAGUCUUGCCUCAAUUGGUGUCAUAACCCAAUUUUGGGUUAUUCCCCAAAUUUCACUUUUUUUGAAAAUAAAAAAUCAAAAAAUAAAAUAAAGGCCGGCAAUGUGGAGAAAGCCGAUAAAAAAGACUGCAAAAAUCGAAGGUCAAAUUAAAUGCAAAUUCGAAGGUCAAAUUAAAUGAUUAUUGGAUGAAUUUGCAUAAAAUUUAAGUCCAAUGACACAAAAAUUGAGGGACCAAUUUGGAAACCCGAAAAAAUGUUUUGCCUAUAAAUAGCAGCUUUUAACUCAAAGUUAAGGGGGGGUCAUUUUGUAAGGGGGUAAUUUUGACAACAUUAGAAAAAAAUACAAAAAAAAACCUAAACCUAAACCCUUUUUUCAAGAGCAGCCGCUCCCCCCACGUUUUUUGUUUUUCCUCUCCGAGCAGCCGCCACCCCCUUUGGCCUGCGAUUUUUUGCUCCUGAAACAGCCCCUUUGCCUUGACAAAAGCAAGCCAGCCAGCUGCUAUUUCCCUUCCCAAAAAAUCCAAUAGGUCGCCGCUCUCCCUUCUCUUUGACAGCACAGAUUAGCCGGCCACUCAUCCCUCCCCCUGAUUUUUGCAAAACGAAACAGAGGGCACAAGACAGCCCCUGAUUCUCUUCCUCAGAACCAUUUCCAGCGGCCGGCCCUAUCUUCUCCCAAUUUUUCCAACACUGUAGCCGCAGCCCCCUACUCCUUUUUGGAAAGGAAAAAAACGGAGAACCAAAGACUUCACCCCUUAUUUUUCUCCCUCACCGAUCUGCCAUCCUCCAGCUCCCAGAACCAGAGCCCCAUUUCCAUCUUCUCUAAAAACGAACCAGAACUGGCCGCUACCCCCAUUUACUUAUCUCCCUCUCACGGACAAGCUCUCUUCCUCGGCUAACAGACCCAGCUCUCUCUCCCUUAACCUUUCCACAGCCGGUGACAGAUAAGUAAUACCAGAACCCAACGCAGUUCCUAUGCCUCUCCGCCCCCAGCUGGAAUUUCUUCACCUUCAACCCACAGACCAGCGGCUAGGCCAGCAUCACCAAACAGCCCCAUCUCCACCGAUCAGAGAACGGGCAGAGCCGUUCUCCAUUUCUGCAGACCCACGGUCUCCUUCGGAUAGCAGGUUUUUCCUCCAUAGUCCCAGCCAUUUCCAGCCACACCCAGCUCACUGCCUCCAGCAGUCUUCGUCAUCUCCUUCGGCGCCGUCUCCAGCUCCUCCACCAAACACAGCGGCGGCCCCGCCGUCUUCUUGUCCCCUCAGAGCCGACCGCCGCCUGGGGAAACGAAAAGAACAGAUCUGUAAUGAGCAGAUCCGAAAUGGGCAGAAGAAAAAAAAUUUAAAAACAGAUCUGAAACAAAAAAACUAAAAUCAACUGCUUUGUUUGUGUUUUUUUGUGUGUUUGCAGGUGACCGGACCCUCACCGCCGGCUGAAAAUUGAAGAGGAGAAGAAGCCGCUCCAGGCGCCUUUGUUUUUUCUGGUUUCCAGCAGCGGCGCGUGAACCCACGCGCCGCCAGUGACGGUGGUGCGUGGAUCCACGCGCCGGCACUGUUCAUGCAGCCCCCAGAAGUCCUUCCCUGCAAUUCCUGGAGUGUUGGGGGACUAUUUUGUAAAUUUUAAGUUAUUUAAUGUAAUUUUUAUUUAGUUUUUGAAUUUGCAUUUUUGUAAAUGUGAAUGUAAAAGAAAAAAAGAAGAAAAGAAAAUAAUAAAAAAAAAGAGUGUGUGUGUUGGUGUUCUUUUGUUAUUUUAUGUCAUUGAAUUGUAAAAAAUAAAAAAAAAUAAAAAGAAAAAUGUUUUUAAUAUUUUAAUGCACAAAUUCUAAGGAUGGAUAAAAUCAUGUUGUAUUUUCCAUGAAAAUGUAAGAACAUGUUUCUACAUAUAUUCUGGGAAUUUAUAACUGAUGUAUCGUAGCUUUAGAAGUGGGCUAAAAUUCUAUUUUAAAAAUUACAUUAAGCUCACGAAGCUUGAAUGUGGUGUGUGUAUUUUGUUUACAAAUUUUUUAUGAUAAAAUUGCAAGAACAAAGAAGGAUUUAAUAUUUUGAUCGGAUCAAAGGUGUAGAAGUACAAACUUGUACGGAAGUUGUAUUUCUAAAUUCCGAUGAAAAGACAAAAUUUUAAAACUUCUUUAACACAUCAAGUCCACGGAGCAGCUUACCUCAGGUAGGGUGCGUUAGGGGUGCUAAUACCUUCCCUAACCACAAUCAGUUCCUUACCCACGAAUCUCUUACCAUGACCAGUCCACCAGGGUUUCCUAGUAACCUCAAUUAAAUACUAGGUGGCGACUCCUAACAAACCAAUUUAAGCAAUACAACAACGAGACAUAAAAUCGUCAGCCGAUGCCGCGCGCGGGAUUUUUUCGACGUGCGACAAUUGGAAUUAUAGAACUUCAUAUAUAGGCAAACUACCAUUUAGUGGACAAGCUGUUUGUAACAUGACAGAUUUCACUACCUGACUUCAACUAAUUUUAAAAUAGCUGAACAAUAGAAUUUUGGGCAACCUCAUAUAAGAAAGUUGUACUUAAGGAUGUUAAAUUUCACUAGGAUUUGGCCCUAUAUGAAUCGAAGCUCUAGAACUCCAUUUAGAGACUAAAAAUUACAGACUGGUCAAGUUGUAAAUUAAAGGUAAGACAAAUUUACAUGUGUGUAGAAGACGAGUGAUUUUGGGCACGCUAUUGAUUCAUGUUGAAAUUAAUUCUUCCGAAUCAUGGGAGAUGUAUAUGUCAACAUUCAAAACAAACAUAUAAAAAGGUCUAGACGGAAAUAGAUGCUGAAAUUUUGUUGACAGUCAUAGAUACUGAAAGCUCGUUGAUGCAAAACUGAGUCGUGCGAACACUUCAACGUGAUAUACUAACUCCAAAGAAAUACACUUGAUAUGUAUAUGUACAUUACGAUGAGGAAAUGAACAUGCAUAGAUAGUAACAUAUGUAUAAUGAAUGAAUAUAGAUUGUCUAUAACAUUUAGCUUGAAGGAAUCAUGACCAAAGACUUCUUUGUGAAUCAAGAGGAGCGAUCGACCAGGAUUGGAUCUUCUAUUGGAGGAAGUCAAGAGGCAAGCGAAGCAGGUGCAUGGUUUCCCUCUCCUUAAUGCUUAUGCAAUUUAAAAUCUCCUUAAUGAAUGCAAUUACAAUAAUAUUAUGUUCAAAAUAAAUAAAGUAUGGUGUGUUAAUGACACAUUAGCUUCGGCUAAUGGCAUCCAUGAUAGGGAUAUCGAGAAAUGAAAUACAACAUUAGCUUCAGCUAAUGGCAUCCGUGAUAGGGAUGCCGGGAAAUUAAUUAUAAAGAUAGCUUUUGCUAAUGGCAUCCGUGAUAGGGAUGCCGGGAAAUUAAUUAUAAAGAUAGCUUUUGCUAAUGGCAUCCACGUUAAGACACCUGGAAAUGAUCAAUAAGGCUUGAUUUGUAAAGGGUAUCCAUAUUUGGAUGACCUAUAAAAUUUGAUAAGUAUAAUUGCCUAAAAAUAUAUAGGUUGGACUAUGCAAGGUUGAAGAUCUAAUAAAACCAAUUAAUCAAAGUUACUAGGUUCAUGUAAGAAGAUAAGAGAAAUAAAUUAAGAAUAUAACAAUAUGGAUUGUUACACGUGAGUCUAUAAAACUACCAGAUUUUGUUUAUUCUUGUUAUUCUUUAUCAUUUACUUUCUUUUUAGCUUUUGUUCAUUGUCUCUCUGAGCCAUCUUCCUAUAAAGAGGCAAUUCUUGAUCCUCUUUGGCAGCAAGCUAUGGAUGAGGAACUUUCUGCUUUGCAUAAGACAGAUACUUGGGAUUGGUUCCUCUACCUCUUGGUAAAAGUGUUGUUGGGUGUAUAAGAUCAAGACUAAUUCUGAUGGGUCUACUGGGCGAUAAAAAGCUAGGUUGAUUGGAAAAGGAUACUCUCAACAGUAUGGUAUGGAUUUUGAGGAGACAUUUGCCCCUGUUACAAAAAUGACUAUUAUUCGUACUCUUAUUGUUGUAGCUUCAGUUUGUUGAUGGCAUAUCUCACAACUUGAUGCUAAAAAUGCCUUCUUGAAUUGAGAUCUUUAAGAAGAAAUUUAUAUGGCGCCUCCUCCUAGUGUUUCACAUGACUCUGGGUAUGUUUGUAAGCUCAAGAAAGCGUUAUAUGGUCUCAAACAAGCACCUUGGCUUGAGAAAUUUUUUGUUGUGAUCUCAUCUCUUGGAUUUGUUUCUGGUAGUCAUGAUUCUGCUCUUUUUAUUAAGUGCACUGAUGUCGGUCAUAUCAUUCUAUCUUUAUAUGUAGAUGACAUGAUUAUUAUUGGUGAUGACAUUGACGGUGUCUCAGUUUUGAAGACAGAGCUGGCUAGAUAGUUUGUAAUGAAGGAUUUGGGUUCUCUUCGAUAUUUCCUGAUUAUUGAGGUAGCUUACUCACCUAGAGGUUAUCUUCUUUCUCAAUUGAAAUAUGUUGCAAAUAUUCUUGAGCGGGCUAGACUUACUGAUAACAAGACUAUAAACACUCUUAUUGAAGUUAAAGCAAGGUACUCUUUUUCUGAUGGUUUACCUUUGGUAGAUCCUACUUUAUACAAUAUUAUUGUUGGGAGCUUGGUAUAUCUCACCAUUACUCGUCUAGAUAUUGCAUAUGUUAUUCAUGUUGUUAGUCAGUUUGUUGUUCGAAAAAUUCUGCAUGAAAACAACUCCUUGUCAAACCUUCCUUCACAUAGCCUCAUCCCCAAACCCGAAUUGAACACUUGGGGGCAUAAUCAAGCUAGGGGGCAAUAAAGAAACAUAUGAUAGGGGUGGCUCCAUGAUUCCCAUUCUAAGAAAAUGUCGAGCAAAAUUGGCAACCCUUGAGAUAAAGGGGCGGAGGACAAAGAAGUUUGAUGAUAUCAAGUCUUUCGUAGAGGUCAAAAUCACAAGAGAUGACUCGAGUAAGCAGGAGCGAAAAAGCCAUCGAAGUUCACUGCCAACACUCCAACUUUUGAGAAAAGAAACACACCUUGAAGAAAUGGGGACCUAUAUUUCAAAUCAGGUAAGGAUGCAUGCAUAUCAUCUAACCUAAAAAAAAAAAAAUAUUUGCACAUAUUUUUGAAUUGUUAUAGGAAAAUCCUUAAUGAGGUCUAACAAGAUGGUGGAAAAAGAAAGAAGCAUUGUGGUAAUGAAAUAAAUAAUCGGUUUUGAUCAUGGAAUAAAAGGACGAUGGGAUGAACCCUACCAUUAGGAAAAUCCCAAAGAAAUGAAUAGAUCAACCUUGCAAUCGGGAAGCCUCGAGUUUUCAACUCUUGCAGUCAGGAAACACCGAGUUUUCAAAUCCUAUGAUCGGGAAUUAUCAGGAAGCACCAAGUUUUCCAGCCCUGCUUCUGUCAUCCCCUCAAAGACUUCGCCAGGUAAGUCCUAUUUUUCACACUUGUCAUAUCACAUUUUUUCCAUUUGGGUAGGUCACCCAUCACAACGAGACCGCUUUUUCAUAUUCUUUCCAUCUGGGUAGGUCACCCAUCAUAAUAAGACCGUUUUUUCAUAUUCUUUCCAUCUGGGUAGGUCACCCAUUACAAUGAGACCACACUUCAUAUUCUUUCCAUCUAGGUAGGUCACCCAUCAUAAUAAGACCGUUUUUCACAUUUUUUUUUUCCAUUUGGGUAGGUCACCCAUUACAAUGAGACCACACUUCACAUUCUUUCCAUCGGGGUAGGUCACCCAUCAUAAUAAGACCGCACUUCAUAUUUUUUCCAUCUGGGUAGGUCACCCAUUACAAUGAGACCGCACUUCAUAUUUUUUCCAUCUGGGUAGGUCACCCAUUACAAUGAGACCGCACUUCAUAUUUUUUCCAUUGGGUAGGUCACCCAUUACAAUGAGACCGCACUUCACAUUUUUUUCAUUUUGGGUAGGUCACCCAUCACAACGAGACCGUUUUUCAUAUUCUUUCCACAUGGGUAGGUCACCCAUUACAAUGAGACUACACUUCAUAUUUUUUCCACUCGGGUAGGUCACCCAUCACAAUGAGGCCAUCAUUUUUUCUGGGUAGGUCACCCAUUAGAAUGAGACCAUUCUCCAUUUUUUUUUACCUGGGUAGGUCACCCAUAAUAAUGAGGUCAUUCUUCCCCCUGGGUAGGUCACCCAUAAGAAUGAGACCACUCUUCCCCCUUUCCACUCGGGUAGGUCACCCAUCACAAUGAGGCCAUCACUUUUUUUCUGGGUAGGUCACCCGUUAGAAUGAGACCAUUCUCCAUUUUAUUUUUACCUGGCUAGGUCACCCAUAAUAAUAAGGCCAUUCUUCCCCCUGGGUAGGUCACCCAUUACAAUGAGACCACUCUUCCCCCUUUCCACUUGGGUAGGUCACCCAUCACAAUGAGGCCAUCAUUUUUUUUCUGGGUAGGUCACCCGUUAGAAUGAGACCAUUCUCCAUCUUUUUUUUACCUGGGUAGGUCACCCAUAAUAAUGAGGCCAUUCUUCCCCCUGGGUAGGUCACCCAUAAGAAUGAGACCACUCUUCCUCCUUUCCACUCGGGUAAGUCACCCAUCACAAUGAGGCCAUCAUUUUUUUUUUGGUAGGUCACCCAUUAGAAUGAGACCAUUCUCCAUCUUUUUUUUACCUGGGUAGGUCACCCAUAAUAAUGAGGCCAUUCUUCCCCCUGGGUAGGUCACCCAUAAGAAUGAGACCACUCUUCCUCUUUUCCACUUGGGUAGGUCACCCAUCGCAAUAAGACCAUUUUUCCUGGGUAGGUCACCCAUUACAAUGAGACCACUUGUUACACAUUCUUUUGUUUUGGUUAAAUGAGGUCGCCAGAUGGGAUCUCAGGUAGGUUUGGUUAAAGGGAAUCGCUAGAUGGGAUUUCAGGUUGACUGAGCUACACACAUUUUUUAGUUCCAGUUGAAUGAGGUCGCCAGAUGGGAUCUCAUGUAGCUUUGGUUAAAGGGAAUCGCCAGAUGGGAUUUCAGGUUGACCGAGCUACAACAUUCUUUGGUUUUAGUAUAGGAGAUCGCCAGAUGGCAUCUCAGGUUAACGAAAAGAGAGAGAGAAAAAAAGAUAAAGAGAGAGAAAGAAAGAAAGAAAGACAAGAAAAAAAUAAGGUCUUAUUCAACAGUGUUAAAAAGACAAGCAAACAAGUUUUUCUUUACAAAGCUUACUAUGUAAAACAUUGAGGAGUUUUGCUUCGUAAGCAUUGUAAAGAGGGGGCAUCUGUUGCUACCCAAUUUUUGACCCAUGUUUUGAUAUAUUUUCAAAUAAAUCCAAAAAUAGAGAAAAACAAUGAAAAUCCAAAAAAAUAUGUUUUUUAAUAUUCUCGUCAUUUUAGCAUUUUCAACGUCGUCUAGAAAAGAAUUUAAAUUUUUAAGGUCUUUCGAAUGCGUUCGACUUUUCACGCGUCAUUUUUUAAAAUCAUUGAUUUUCCUCAUCGAGUUGAUGUUGAUAUUGCUCAUUUUCAAAAAAUACAAAAAAUAUAGAAAAAUCAAAUUUAAAUUAAAGGGGGGGAAAUUUGAUAAAGGUAGCAAUAUUUCUACCUAUAAAUACUGGUUUCCUCAACACACUCAAGGGGGGGAAUUUUGCAAUUAAAGGGGAGGCAACACCAAAGAGAAAAAACCUAGAAAAGGCUUAGCUUUCUUCUCCCUCACCCGGGAGCAGCCGCCGCUCACCCCCCAUCCAAACAGAGACCAGACCCGACCAUUCCUUCCCCUGUCAUCUCACGCUCAACCCUCUCUCCCAAAACCAGAGCAGCCACCCAAACACCCCCCGAAUUUUGUUCUUCUUCCUCUUCUCCGAUAGGCUUGCCAACGGCCACAACCCGAAGCCACACAUAGCUUCCCCUCACAAAUAAACCUCCAGCCUUCCACCAUCUCCUUCUCACUUCCCCAUCACCCAAAAAGACCAAGCGGCCAUCUCUGCUCUCCCUCUUCUAAGCCGACAACACAGACGCCUCCACCACCAGCCAGCCACCACAGCCUUCCUAUCAGCAACGACUGCUUCCCCUUCGGUUUCCUCUCCCAGCGGCGGCCGAACAGCAGCGCCGGGGCAACACUUUCAUCACUCCUCCAAGCCAUCAACAACGCCUUCUUCUCCCUCAGCAGACGACCAACAACAACGGCGAAGCAGCACCGACAGACCAGCCGCCUCCCUAUCUUCCCCGAUCUCUUCCUCUCCAUCAACACCGGAGAUUCCUCCAGUAGCAACCAACACACGGCGCCCACAAAAUCACCUCCAGAACUGCCCCGCAGUGGCCACCGCAGCCGGCCAUCACUGGAUCUGCAACCAACGAAGGAAGAGAAACAGAUCUACAAAACAAAAACAGAUCUAAAAAUGAAACAAACAAACUAAAAUCAACUGCCUGUGUUGUUUUCAGGUGCUUUGCAGGUCGCCGCCAGUGUUGGGAGACUGAGAAGAAGAAGUCGAUCCCGAUCCCCCCUGUCUCUGGAGUUUCUUGCGGCGGCGCGUGGAGUAGACGCGCCCGCUGUUUGCUGCCCCAGAAGCCUUCCGCCUAUGUUCCCGUGCACUGUUCCUGCAUAUUCUAGAAGCCUUAGGAUGUGUUGGGGCUAUUCUGUAAUUUUAAAUGGUUUUUGAUGUAAUAUUUUUAUUUAGCAUUGAUUUUUAUUAUUUUUAUUGUGGAUGUAAAAGAAAAGGAAAAGAAAAGAAACAAAAAUAGUGAAAGUGUAUGGGUGUACUUGUAUUUGUUUUAUCAAUUGUUUUAUUUUUUUAUGAUAAAAUUGCAAAGAUUAAAGAAGAAUUUAAUAUUUUGAUUGGAUCACGGUCAAGAAUUAUUAACUUAUACGUAAGUUAUAUUCUAAUAUCCGAUAAAAGACAAAAUUUUAAAACUUCUUUAACACGUCAAAUUCGCGAAGCAGCUUACCUCAGGUAGGGUGCGUUAGGGGUGCUAAUACCUUCCCUAACCACAACCACUCCCUUACCCGCGAAUCUCUGACAAGACCAGUGUAUCCGAUUUCCUAAUAGCCUUCAAUAAAUUACUAGGUGGCGACUCCAAACAAACUCAUGCAUGCAUAACGCAACAACGAUAAAAAAUUGCCAGCCCGAUGCGGCGUGGAUUUUCCGACGUGUGACAGUGAGGAUGACAUGUCCUUAGAUGCCUAUCAAGAAGAGGCACAUGCGCCAUCAACUGAUUUUGCCUCUUCCAGCGCGGUUUCCCAACGCAGAGGCGGCGUGCCUUCGCAGCGGAAUCAAUUCACCUACAAGUACGAGGCACAGUGGAAGGACGAUCUUUCAAUGUAAGUUUGUUAAGGUUUUAUUUUUUUUUCAAAAAAUUAUAACAUAAUUUAUGAACAACUAAUCAAUAUUUCAUUAAUUUAAUUUAAUUUCAUGUUCACAAAAAUUAAGGGCGUCCAAGUAAUAUGAUCAACGUUUAAAUUGUAGAUGGAGAUUCCAUUAUUUCAAUGGAGUUACGUAUCUAGACAUCCUGAAUGGAUACCUCAAAUCGAUGCAUGGUUUGACAGAUUUUAUGUUGGUGUUAAUUUCUAAUUUCCAAUGUAUUUCUAAUAAAUUAUUAAUAUAAUUGUAAAUAAAUUAUUAUUUUUAUUUAAAAUUAAUUAUUUAUACACAGGACAAAUUCGACUGGUACAGUGUGCAUGACACUAUUGUGAGGAGGGUGCGGGAAAAUCACGCAACAACUAGGUAACAUCGAAAACAAUACAAGAUUUUUUUAGAAAAAAAUUUAUGUUUCAAAAUCUAAUUUCUUGUUGUGGAAGUAGGUUGCGUGAUUUUUGAUAGGAAGCACAAAAAAUGCAAAAAAAGCUACGAGGGAUUUCAAACUAAUAUACAUCCCGGUAGAUAUAUGGCCGAACUAUCUUGAGCUCGUGAUGUCUGAGCGGUUCACACGAUGCUCACAGUCUGGUGCUGGCAACCGGAAUCGGCUAAUUCAUGGCUCGGUGACAAUGCACACUGGCGGCUCCGUUCCAUUUGCUGUAUUUGCGAAACGGUUGGUAAGAUUAAUUUAAAUGAAAUAUAUCAUUAAAUUAAGUUGUUGUUAAUUAAUUUGUUUCAUUAUAGGCUACGUCUCUUGGACAUGAGCCGAGCCCAAUGGAGUUGUUUGUUGAGACGCAUAUGCGGAGUCAAGAUCGUCAAAAGGGGGCACAAUAUUUCAUUGACAGUCGUGCUCAACACUUUGUGGUAUGUUUGUUCAACCAUUUUAUUUUGUAUGUUAUUAUUUUUAUUGAAUUGAAUAUGAUGAUUACUUUUUCAUUUUCAGGAGACUUAUAAUAGCCGAUUGAGGGAGAGAUACAGGGACAAUCCUUCGACCCAUCUGGAUUUCGAUCCGGAUUUGUUGAUGGAGGUUGGAUCAUCUAGUGGACCCGAUAAAAAUCAGGUGUACGGGCUCUCCAACAUUACGGCCGAAAACUUGCGGGCGGCCCGUAGUGUCUCAACCAUUGGGAGCUCCUAAUUAGUAUUGUGCAGCCAAUCUAAAGAGUUUGUGGCCUUGCAGCAACACAUGGCUUAGCUCACCAAAAAAUACAACCACCUAUAGGCAAGGUAUACACAACUCUCGGUGAAAUUAUGAACAACUUCGUCAAAUGGUCACGAACAUGACAUCACAUAAUGGUGAUACAUGUGUGCCUCCUCCUUUUUGGCCGUAUAACAAUCAACCUCCUCCUUCAGCUCCACCAUUAUGUUAAUUUGUAAUGAAUAUUAUUUAACUUUAAUAGUUAAUUUAAUAUAUUUUUUAAACACAUUCAAUUUGUAAUGAAUAUUAUUUAACUUUAAUAGUUAAUUUAAUAUUUUUUUUGAAACACAUUCAUUUUGUAAUGAAUAUUAUUUAACUUUAUUUUUUUGUUUUUGAUGUUUAAUAAAAAAUUUAUCUGCAUAAUUGGUUUUUUUUACUAUUAAUUUAUAUAAUUUUAUAUUAUAUAUUCUAAAUAUUUUUUAAAAAACAUAUUUAAAAAUAAUCAUAGAGGGUUUUACCAACGGACUGUAUCGGUCGGCAUUUGACAAAGAGCAGGAAAUGUCAAUCUUACGAAUUAAUUUACAGAUGGAAUACAUUUUUUGGCAUUUCACAGUAGUUGGGUGCAAAUUUCACAAUCAACAACGACUUGACCAACGGAUAUCGUCUGUCGGUAUUUCACACACUCAUCGAAGGAAUACAUCCGUCGAUAUAUUUCAAGCGGGAUUUUUUUUACGCGUAAUUUCCAUUUGUAAAACCAUUGGCAAUUGUUUUUUUUUACCAAACGAUGUAGCGACUGAAUGAGGUAUUACCAAUGAAAAGAAAGCAAACAGAAGAUUUCUGUAGGGAAUGUCGUUGGUAAAAAAAUUACUAACGAACUUGGAAUCAUAGACGGAUGGAAUAGUUCCGUCUGUAAAACAGUGAAAUCUUGUUGUGGGAAGUGGCAUAGUAAAGACAUCUGUCCUGCAGCCCAGACACUGUUCAGUGUUCAUCCCAUAUCAUGAGUUUUAGAAGUCCAAAUGACCUCCAUUUUUUUUUUCCUGGAAAGCUAAGUCAAUUUCCUACAACUUUAAUGUUUUCAAGUGGACCCAGUUCUGAUGCUAGAAAUUUCAUUUUAUUCUGACAAUAAGAUAAGGAUUUUCACAAAGUCAAGAGUUGGCCACCCACUCAACAAUUAGUCAUCAUAUCAAUAAUUCCGAAUUUUGGCCUAUAAAAGGAGGCAUUUGCCAUGUAUUUUGGGGCUUGGUGGUUCAGAUCAAGAAGCCCUUCCUCUCUCUCUUUAUAGUUUUUGUAAUUCUUAAGUUUUGCUUUCAUUAAUAUCUUGUUUAUGUUUUUCAUUUCCUUUCCUUUCCUUAGUUAACUUGUAUCUUAUUUAUGUUCUUGUUGUUUAUUUAUGUUUCUCUUCUUCAUUAUGUUUAGCUAAGUUUAUUAUGUCAAGGUAAAAAGGUUACACUAAUGGUGUAAGAAUAAGUAUAGUGUAAACUCAACAUGAACCUUAAUGUUUAAUAUUAACAUGUCUUAUCUUUUUAUCUUACUAAUUCUUAAUACCUUGCUUGUUAAAUGGUUAAUCUAGAUUUGUGUUGUUUAACACUUGGUACAACAAAUGCUUGGCACUCUCAUAGCCCAACCGUAUGGUAUUACCUACACCUGUGCUAUGAAAGGAACUUGAUUUGUUGUUAACAUAAGUUAGCAUCAUGAAUUCCUGACAAUAUUUAAAAGUUUGGUGUUAUGUAAACAAGAUAAUUAAUAUGAUCAUGUUAACAAUUUAUAAUGAGCUAUUAAUGACAAAUCAUCCGAUUGGAACCUCCUUCGUGUGUGGUUUCCAGUUGAGUAAUAAGAGUUUAUACUAUACUUGUUUCAAAUACCAUCAGUGGAUACUCUAACCUUGACAUUUGUUUUUAUCAUUGUUUAAUCCUUACAUUAAUCUUCCAUCUCAAAGUUCUCAUUAAUUUAUUCAUCCUCUUCUUUUUAUUAUUAUUAUUAUUAUUAUUAUUAUUAUUCUUGUUAUAUUUUAUGUACGUUAAGUAUGCUCUAUGUUUGAUCAAGGAUCCUGAUAUUGUUGAUCGUGCCUUGUUCAUUCGCAUCAGAAAUCUGUUUAUAUUAUAUAAUAUAUCUCUUUGAUCUUUUCAUAAACUUAGUAUAUAGGCUGGAAACCUGUGACUCGAUCUUUUAGAUUAUUCUCAGGUAUAACAACGCCACGUACUGAGUAUUAUUAUUAUUAUUAUUAUUAUUAUUAUUACUAUUACUAUUAUUGUUAUUAUUGUUGUUGUUAUUGUUGUUAUUAUUGUUGUUGUUGUUGUCUUGUUAUUUAUAAUUUAUACAAUUAACCUCUCUGUGGUUCGACCCAAGUCUUGCCGGGUUAUUUAUUACUUCGACACUCCUACACUUAGGAGAAGACAUCAAUCUUUUGGUCGUGUCAAGUUUUUGGCGCCGUUGCUGGGGAGGUAAAUUCUUGUACAAAUUAUAGUAUUUAUUUUGUUUUCUCUUUUCACUUUUCUUGUAUCUAACUUUGUUUCUUUUUCUAUUGUUUUGUUCUUCCUUUUAUUCUCUUUCUACACGUGCAUGAGUAUUUGGUCACAUACAUUAAGUGGUAGACUUUGUAGGGUAUCCUCAUCAUUUUUCAAAAAAUAUGGCUGAAGAAGAUAACCAGUCACUUCAUAAUGAGAAUAAUGAGAAUAACCGUGUUAGGACACCUAGAGACCACAUGAAUCCCACAAGAACAAGUGCACCCUCAUGCAUAGUUUUCCCUCCUGAUGCAUCCCAUUUUAAUUUUAAGCCAGACAUUAUUCAACUUUUACCUUCUUUUCAUGGCUUAGAUCUAAAAAAUCCAUACUUGCAUUUGAGAGAAUUUGAAGAAGUUUGUAAUACAUAUAAUGACUUAAAUUGUAGCAUGAAUACCAUUAGAUUAAAGCUUUUUCCUUUUUCAUUAAAAGAUAAAGCUAAAACAUGGCUAUAAAAUCUUAGGUCAAGAUCCAUUCGUGCUUGGGAUGAAAUGCAACAACAGUUUUUAAAGAAGUUUUUUCCAUCUCACAGAACCAACUCUUUCAAAAGACAAAUCACCACUUUCACCCAAAAACCAGAUGAAACAUUUUACCAAUGUUGGGAUAGGUAUCGAGACUUGCUUAAUACUUGCCCGCAUCAUGGUUUUAAAACAUGGAGAUUGGUUUCACAAUUUUAUGAAGGAUUAACACCUAAAGAUAGGCAAAUGGUUGAAUUGAUGUGCAAUGGAACUUUUGAAGAUAAAGACCCUAAUAACGCAAUGGAGUACCUAGACUUGCUAGCUGAAAAUGCGCAAAAUUAGGACACUACAGGCACUUAUGAGGCACCAAUUAAAACCCAACCUCAUACAUCUAGUGGAGGUAUGUAUAACCUUAGGGAAGAUCAUGACCUUCAAGCCAAGUUUGCAUCUUUAGCUAGAAAAGUCGAGGCACUAGAAUUAAAUAAGAGUGGUCAAUUAAAAUCUAUUCAAGACAUUGUGUGUCAAAUCUAUAAAACAAAUGAACAUGCAACCAAUGACUGUCCAACUUUGCCUUCUUUCAAGGAAUGCCUCCAUAAACAAGCCCAUGCUUUAAACAGUUUCCAAAGGCCCAAUCAUAACCCAUACUCGCAAACAUACAAUCCUGGUUGGAGAAAUCACCCAAAUUUCAGUUGGAAGAGUGAUAACAAUAAUGCACAAACUUCACAGCCACCGUUUCAAGCACACCAUAAUUUCCAAAAUUCUCAUGGAUAUGCACCUCCUUAUGCUCCACCUCCUAGAAGAAAUCUUGAGGAAACAAUACAUGCAUUCAUUGAAAAGCAAGAGACAAUCAACACUCAACUUGCUCAAAGCAUGACAAAUUUUAAAGAUGCUCUUGAAAAAUUCACAUUUGCUCUUAGUUUUCAAGAGAAAGGUAAAUUUUCAUCUCAACCACAACAAAAUACAAAGGGGCAAUACAAUGCAAAUGCAAGUAGUUCCAAAAGCCAACACAUGGAUCAAGUCAAAUCAGUCAUCACUCUUCACAGUGGUAAGGUUAUUGAAAAACCCAUUCUUGAACCUUGUGAGAAAGAUGAUGAGUCAAUCUCUAAAGGUAAGGAAGGGGUUGAAUCUGAACAUUGUAAAGAAAAGACUGAUUCUCCGCCAACACUUCCAUUUCCUCAUGCCAUGACCAAACAAAGGAAAGUCAAUCACAAUUCUGAAAUCCUUGAAACUUUCAAACAGGUAAGGAUCAAUAUACCUUUGUUGGAUGCUAUUAAACAGGUAAGUUUCUAUGCUAAAUUUUUAAAAGAUAUAUGCACUGUGAAGAGAAAACUGAAUGUGAAAAAGAAAGCAUUUUUAGCCGAACAAGUAAGUGCUAUUCUUCAGAACAAUAAUGCUUUGAAAUAUAAAGACCCUGGUUUUCCUACAAUUUCUUGCUUUAUUGGAGAACGUAAAAUUGAAAGAGCUUUACUUGAUCUUGGAGCUAGUGUGAAUUUACUUCCAUAUUCGGUUUUUCAAAGUCUCAAUCUAGGUGAGUUAAAACCAACUUUUAUAACUCUUUUACUUAUUGAUAAAUCUGUAAAAGUACCUAGAGGAAUAGUUGAGGAUGUGUUAGUACAAGUUGAUAAAUUCAUUUACCCUGUAGAUUUUAUAGUCUUGGAUACACAACCUGUUGAAACAUGUAAUUCAAUUCAUGUCAUUUUAGGACGUCCAUCUCUUGCAACUUCUAAUGCAUUGAUUAAUUGUAGGAAUGGACUGAUGAAACUAUCAUUUGGAAACAUGACAUUGGAGAUGAAUAUUUUCAACAUUUGCAAGCAACCUAGAGAUGAUAAUGAUUUAUAGGAAAUGGACUUUAUUGAAAAAUUAGUUCAUGAUCAAUUUCAAACCACUUCUAGUGAAACUGAGGUUGAUGAACCUGGCGAGUUGCAAAUGGUUUAUUUUCAGGAAAAAGCAAAGGCAUGUAAUUGGAGACCACAAAUUGAAGAACUGCCACCACAAUCAAUUGAGUCCAUACCUUCAAGUGUUCAACCACUAAAACCUGAUUUGAAGUCGUUACCAGUCAAUCUCAAAUACUCAUUUUUGGGAGAAAAUAAAACUUUUCUGGUAAUAAUCUCUUCCAAACUUAAUGCAUAUCAAGAAGGUAAGUUAUUACAGACUCUGAAAAUGCACAAAAAUGCAUUAGGAUGGACCAUAGCUGAUAUAAAAGGAAUUAGUCCUUUGAUUUGCACAUACAGAAUUUAUUUGGAGGAAAAUUCUAAACCAUCUAGAGAAAUGCAACGAAGACUUAAUCCUAAUAUGAAAGAAGUAGUGAAAAAUGAAGUCAUUAAGCUUGUUGUAACCCAUUUCUGGGUCCCCACAUAAAAAAUAAUAAAAUACAAAAAAAUUCAAAAAAAUAUAUUAUCAAAAAAUAUAACAGUGAAAAAAUGCCGGAACGCCCUAAAAAUGCUCAAAAAUUGAUUGAGGAUUUUUAAAAAUAUAAAAAUUAUUUUUUGACAGUAUAUCAUUGACUGAUGAGAGCCCCGAUGAUAAAGAAAAUUCAAUUUGAGGAAGAAAAAUGCAAAAUCAGAAGUUUAUGGACUCAAUUAAAUUUUAUUAAAGGUUUAAUUGCAUUUAUGAAGAUUUUAAUUGCAAGAAAAAUUGAUUUUGGAGUUAAUUUGGGCUUUAAUUAGGAGAAAUUAAUUUUCUGGGGUUAAAUUAUAAUUUUUGGAAGUUAAUUUGGUCAAAUCAGGGGCUUAAUUGCAUAACUAUUGAAGUUUAAUGGCCAAUUAGGGACUUAAUUGAAGAAAUCCGAGACCAAGGACUAAAAUGCAAAACGCGCGCAAAUUGAGGGACUUCUUUGAAUCUGAUGCGUUUUGGUGCCUUUUCCUUUUAAAUGAAACGGCGCGUUUUGACCAAAACGGCGCCGUUUCAUCCACUGUUGCAAAAAAAAAAAAAAAAAAAAGAAAAGAAGAAGAAGCCCAAAACGGUGCCGUUUUGAAGGCACUGUAGGUCUUCUUCUUCCUCUGGACGCGCGAGGCAGGGGAAGAAGAAGAUUUUUCUUCUCCCUUUUCGCCUACUUUCUUUCCCCUUUUUUUGCGCAAAAAGACGCCCACCAUUGCCUAACGUUUAUCCUUUGAAACGGUAGUGGAGGGGGCGGCCAACAGUGGCCGCCCCACCAUGACGUCUCCCCUGUUUUUUGCCUAUAAAAACAGGGGAGAACCAAAGAAGAAAAAAAAGAAAACAGAAGAGAAGAAAGGAGGAGACCGAGAGAAAGGAGACUGAGGGAGAGAGAGAGGGCAAAGAAGAAGAAGAAGAAGCAGAAGCAGCAGAGAAGAAAAAUAAAAAACAGAAGAGAGAGAGAAGGGAAAUGCAGAACCACCGUGCCUCCGCCACCAUCGCCUCCGCUGCCACCAGCAGCACCGCCUCGAUGCCACCGCAGGUAAUCUCUCGCCGCCUUGUCUCCUUCUCCGUUUGCUGCCUCCCUCGUUUGCAUGCAGAACGUGAAUUAAUUCACGUUCUGCAGCUGAAGAGGGCUGGUUACUGUGCUUAGGCACAGUAACCAGCCCAUUUGGUAAUGGGCCGGGUUGGCCCAGCCCAUUGAUAUGGGCCGGACCCGGCCCAUUUCAAUUUUUUUUUUCUCAGAAGUUUUUUUACAAUUUUUUGGCACAUUUUUUUUUAUCAAUUUUGCUUAAUAUCGGUCUAUAUUUUACAUCGUAAAAAUAUAAAUUCGGUAUUAAAAUACCCGGUUUUCGUCCUGCGGUACUGUUCACACAACAUAAAAAAUCAAAAAUAUUUGUUUCGACAUUUUAUAAUUUUUCCGCGUCAUUUUUAUGUCAUUUUGAUUGAUAUCGGGCAGUAUUUUUACAUCGUAAAAAUAUAAAUCCGGUAUUAAAAUACCCGGUUUUCGGCAAAAACUUCCAAAAAUAAAAACAAAUUAAAAAAAGAUAAAAAAAAUGUUUUUGUGCAUACGGCCAAGUGUCUCAAAUCUAAAAAAUCAUAUCGUAUUUUUCAUAUGUCAAAAAACAAUAUUUUAGCAUGCAUUUUGGCUUUAAUAACCAGUUUAUUAAAGUCAAGAGAACAUUGGCCAAAAUCUCAAAAACAACAAAAUAUUUUAUUUUGUUUGAUUUUAGUAUCAGGGAUUAUGAAUUUAUACGUAAAUCGUAUUCCUGAUAUUAAAAAGAUAUUUUCUUUUUGACGACUUUGAAUAGUUAGUUUUUUACCCGAUAAAGAUAAGGAUCUCCUUACAGAGGAGGACUUUUCUUAAACCGUAAACUAACCAACAAUUCAAAAACCACAACACGAUUUUAGAUUUUAUCAGACAUUAAAACAAUGCAGCCUACCUUAGGUAGGGCGUAGUUGGGGUGCUAAUACCUUCCCUUUACGCAACUAGUCUCCGUACCCAAUCUCUAAAGACCAGUUAAGGUUUCUAGUAACCAGAAUACUAGGUGGCGACUCCCAGUCCAUAUUUUCACUUGUAGAGACAAGAAUUCCUUGUCCCUCCCUAUUUUCCAGGAAUAAAAUAUUCCGAUUUUUCCUUGAGGGUGGACGAUCGUCGCGCCGCCGCACACGUGCGACAAAGCUUCUAGUUAAUGGAAUCAUUUAUCCUAUUUCUGAAAGCAAAUGGGUAAGUCCUACCCAAGUUGUACCCAAAAAGUCAGGAGUCACUGUGAUAACAAAUGAGAAAAAUGAGUUAAUUCCAACUAGGACUAUUACUGGUUGGCGCAUGUGCAUUGACUAUAGGAAACUUAAUUCAAUGACUAGAAAAGAUCAUUUCCCUUUACCUUUCAUGGAUCAAAUCCUAGAAAGAGUUGCAGGUCAUGAAUUUUAUUGUUUCCUAGAUGGUUAUUCAGGUUACAAUCAAAUUGAAAUUGCAUUGGAAGAUCAACAGAAGACUACUUUCACAUGUCCAUUUGGUAUUUUUGCAUAUCGAAGAAUGCCUUUUAGGUUAUGUAAUGCACCAGCCACGUUUCAAAGAUGCAUUCUUAGCAUAUUCAAUGAUAUGGUUGAACGUUUUCUUGAGAUUUUUAUAGAUGAUUUUUCUGUUUUUGGUGAUUCAUUUGAUGAUUGUUUAACUAACUUAGAAAAGGUUUUGAACAGGUGUGAAGAGAAGAAUCUUGUACUGAAUUGGGAAAAAUGUCACUUUAUGGUAACCAACGACAUUGUACUUGGUCACAUUGUUUCAUCGAAAGGAAUUGAGGUUGACAAAUCUAAAAUCGAGUUAAUUGCCAACUUACCAACACCAAAAUCUGUUAAAGAUGUUAGAUCAUUCUUAGGACAUGCUGGUUUUUACAGAAGGUUCAUCAAAGAUUUUAGUGUAAUAUUUAAACCAUUGUAUAACCUUCUAACAAAGGAAAAUGUUUUUGAAUGGACUGAACAAUGUAAAAAAGCCUUUGUUAAACUUAAAAGCUUGCUUACUUCUGCUCCUGUCAUUCAACCUCCUGAUUGGUCACUUCCUUUUGAAAUAAUGUGUGAUGCUAGUGAUUAUGUCGUGGGUGCUAUCUUAGGACAAAGAAAAGAUAAGAAACCUUAUGUGAUUUACUAUGUAAGUAAAACUUUAAAUAGUGCUCAAAUGAAUUACACUACCACUAAAAAAGAAUUACUUAUAGUAGUAUUUGCAUGUGAUAAGUUCAGAUCUUAUCUUGUUGGCUCACCUGUUGUUGUUUUUAGUGAUCAUGCAGCAUUGAAAUAUCUUCUCUCUAAAAAAUAUUCUAAGGCUAGAUUGGUGCGGUGGAUUUUGUUACUUCAAGAAUUUGAUAUCACAAUCAAAGACAAGAAAGGCACCGAAAAUGUUGUUGCAGAUCAUUUGUCAAGAUUGACAACCGAUUCGAGAUCUGACAUCACACCAAUCGAUGACUACUUUCCUGAUGAAUCUUUAUUUUUUGUCUCUACAAUGCCUUGGUUUGCUGAUAUUGUUAAUUUUCUUGUUUUAGGACAAUUGCCAGCUCAUUGGAGUACCCAAGAUAAAAGAAAGUUCUUAAACGAAGUGAAGAACUUUUAUUGGGAAUCCCUCGAGCCAUGAUAAGUGAUGGUGGAACACAUUUCUGCAACAAGCCAUUUGAGUCUUUAAUGAAGAAAUAUGGAAUCACACACAAAGUUGCCACCCCUUAUCACCCUUAGACGAGUGGACAGGUAGAACUUGCUAAUAGGGAGAUCAAACAGAUCUUAGAGAAAACAGUGAACCCUAAUCGGAAAGACUGGUCUUUAAGACUUAAUGAUGCACUUUGGGCUUAUCGAACUGCAUAUAAAACAUCAUUAGGUAUGUCACCUUAUAGACUAGUCUAUGGAAAACCUUGUCACUUGCCUGUGGAAAUUGAACAUAAAGCUUAUUGGGCUAUUAAAGCUUUCAAUUCAAACAUUGAUGAUGCUAGUCAGCUGCGAAAAUUGCAAAUAAAUGAGCUUGAGGAAAUAAGAAAUGAUGCAUAUGACAAUUCAAGAAUUCAUAAAGCAAGAAUCAAAGAGUUUCAUGACAAGAAAAUACUGAGAAAAACAUUCAAUGUUGGUCAAAAAGUCUUGCUUUAUAAUUCUCGACUCCAUUUAUUUCCUGGAAAACUAAGAUCAAGAUGGAGUGGUCCUUUUAUUGUGAAACAUGUGUAUCCAUAUGGGGCCUGUGAUAUCGAAAAUCCAAAGAAUGGUAAUGUUUUCAAGGUAAAUGGCCAUCGUUUGAAAGUUUAUUUUGAUAAUUUUUCAGUUGAAAAUGACUCUAUUGAAUUGGGUGAUCCUGUAUAUAAAGAUUGAUUCUUUUUCUCACAUUGUUUUUGUGUGACUUUUGUUUUGCUAGUCUCUCACCCCGGUCAAAUGGCGGAUAACGGUACUCCGUGACUCUUUUAAGUCGGUUCUUUCAGUUUCCCAUGAUAACUGAUAUCUGUGUAUAUAUUUGUGCAAUUCUUUGCUCUUUCUCCUUUCUUUGAAUCUCUCCCCCAAUUCUUAGUUGAAAAUGGACACCACUAUUGAAAAAUUGAAAAAGUAUUUUCCCGCUCUGCCUCAGAAUGCGAUUACAAAAAUUUACCGUGCUAGGUGUGAAAGAUUGAGGUUGUUAAUGAACCAUGGAAUUCCUGAAGAUAUUCAUUGGCUAAUUGAAGCAAAGGUCCGAUUAUCAGGUGAGUCCUCCAAUUCUUUCAUUUCAUACAUGCCUGGAACAGGUAAAAGCACUUUUGCAAAGAAACGUCAUGCAAAACGACUGAAAGUCUGUCAUAGAUGUGCCAGAUGGACUUGUAAUGCGACAUGGCGUUCUUUAGGAAUGAUAUCUGUAAACCGUGAAGAUAAAAUACAAUUAAUUAAGGAUGGCCUAAGUAAGGGGUCUUUAGAUAAUCUUCUAUUGACUCUUGAGACGCACCCUAGUGGAGAUGUGCAUCGUGCAAUUUAUGAUUUAUGGCCACAAUUCCAUAAAGAACAUGCUCGACUUAGUUUUGGGAAUCUGACUAAAAAAGACCUUGUUUGCCAGUUUUUAAGAAAACUGGAUGGGAAGCCUAUCCCCGACCCAUAGAGGGCGUUUAAGCCGUUCUUGGACGUAAAACCAAGGAAAGAUGUGAGCCACAAUCACAACUACCUGUACAUACACAUGCUUUUUCAAAAUAAAUAAUAAAGAGAGAGAGAGAGAGAUGAGACUACACUGGCCUACAUAUAGGUGGUAUGAUUGCAUUUUCAAUUUCUCAUCUAUAAAUUCUUCUCUUCCUUCCCUUCAUUUCUACUCAACCCAUACAUUCAUCAAAUAUAGAAGUGUGUAGAAAUGGCAGGUUCCUCAAGUCAUCACAUAAACAAUAUUUGUGUUUUCGGUGGAUCCAGUCCUGGGAAAGAAAAAGAGUUUUUAGAAUCAGCAAAUCAUCUUGGUCAGGUACUAGCUGAGCGAAAGAUUCAUUUAGUGUAUGGAGGAGGCAGCCUUGGGUUAAUAGGGGGAGUGUCAAUAGCUGCAUUUUUAGGAGGUAGUCAAGUUUUGGGGGUUGUCCCCAAAGCUUUAGCACAAGGGGACAUCAUUGGAAAAACAAUUGGAGAGGAAUUACAGUCCCCACAAUGUCUGAUCGACUGAAUGCAAUGUUUAACCAUGUGAUGCCUUCAUUGCCUUACCAGGUGGUCUGGGCACAUUGGAAGAGAUCUUUCAUAUUUCCUCUUGGGCCCAACUGCACAUUCACCAUAAACCCAUAGGUUUGUUAAAUGUUAAUGGUUUUUAUGAUAAGUUGUUGUCUUUUCUUGAUCAUGUUGGAACAGGAAUUUCUAACAUCUUCAGCACGACAAAUCAUAAUCUCUGCUGCUACUGCUGAACAAUUGAUUGACCAACUACAAUCUUUCAUCCCUGUAAUUAAUCCCUCCAUGAGUCGCAUAAAUUGGUCAACUAAGGAAAGCCGUAAAAAGCUUAGAUUGGAUUUGAGCCUUCGUUUGUAAAAACUUUGUAUCUUUUGGUUUUAUUAUUGUGUUUUGUUGCUUCUUAUAUUUGUUUAAGUGUGUUUCAGGUUUGUUAGUGUUCGCUAUUUCAGGUGAUGUCUUCUAUACUCUAUCUUUCUACCUUAAGACAUUGAGGACAAUGUCUCAUUUUGGUUAGGGGAAAGGGUAGUAGUUGAUAUUUAAAAAAAAAACUAUGUUUUCUAUUUAAUAAACUAUUUGCAAAACUGUUGUUACUAGGAUGGCAGAGUAAAAGGAGUUCUUUUGUUAAAGUGACUCUUGAGAUGCAUCUUAGUAAACAUUCUUAACAAGGUCUAUCAGAAUACUUCUUGAAAUAUUCAGGUUUACAAACUCUCGUAUUGUUAGCACUUGAUUAUGCUCAUAUGCUUAUUUAACAAGUAUUUUUAAAUCUUCAUUUUCACACACACAUACACACUUUAACAUAUGAUUGUGGGUUGCACAUUGGAUUAUUACAUUAUUUAUGUUCUUUUGUUAAAGGUAACAACUAAGGAAAAGGGAUAGUACAUAAUUUGCAAAAAAAAUAACAAAAAAAAAUAAUGAUAAUAAAAAGGUAGAUAAUUUUGGUUUCGUAGCCUCCCUAACCUAACCAAUUAAGCCCGAAGGGGUGUUUUAACACUUAAUACCCUAAAGUCAACUGACUUGGGAGCUAUUGGCCCAACGCUUGUUACAUGGGUUAAGGAGAAAAGCUUAAGGGAAUCAAACAUUGCACUAUCUAUGUAUCAGUAUCUGCAACCCGAGUUGCUAAGCUCGUAGGGGUGUCUCAACACCUAAUGCCCUAAGACCAACUGGUCUGGGAGUCAUUAGCCUAAAGCUCGUUACAUGGGUUAAAGAUACAUUGUGUUUUAAGUUGUAUGUGUAUAUAAAUAAAAAAUAAAUAAAAAAAAAAAAAGAAAAAAUAAUCCCAACCCAAGGAAGUUAACCUUAAACAUUAGAAAAAAUUUUUUUUCUUCUAAAGCCCCAUAACUAUAUGUUGAUAUUUUGAGCACAAAAGAAAGGUUUAGUAAUAUCUUGUUUAGAGGUAUUGAGCAUAUAUAUGAAUUUAAUGAGAGUUUGUUUAUCUUGAUAGAUUAAAGUAAGUUGAAUGAUGAAUGCCUUGCUUUAUGGAAUUUGCAAAUUGUUUUUUCUAUUUUAACGCUUUGAUUACUAGGAACUAGUAAUAAGCUGGUUGGGGGGUGUGAUUAGUACUUAAAAGCGCAUGUUUAUCAAAGGUUUAUAUCAUUAUUUUGCACUUGAAGUAUCAAUAACUCCUUAACUAAAGCAUGUUUUAUAAUAACAAGUCUAAUACUAUAAGAUACCUUAAUAUAUUGUAAAUGUUCAUCUUAAAUGCAGACAUAUCACAUAAAUGAAAGGAUUGAUUGAUGAAUUCAACUACUGAAAUUUAUGAAGAUAAAGAGAGGGUGAAGCUUAGAAAAGAGAUGUUGGUGCAGUCCAAACUGGAACACUAUUCGGUAAUUGGGUCAUAUCUCGAGUUCUAGAUGUCCAAAUGAUCUCAAAGUUUUACACAAAUUCAGUAAGAAAUAGGCCUACAACUUUCAUGUGGACACCAAGAUCUAAGAAGGCCGUUUUGAAAUCCAAAUUAUAGCAACAACGGAGAAGUCCGAAUUUGUCCUGCAGCCCAGACACUGUUCAGUGUUCAGCCCAUAUCUUGAGUUUUAGAAGUCCAAAUGACCUCCAUUUUUUUUCCUGGAAAGCUAAGUCAAUUUCCUACAACUUUAAUGUUUCAAGUGGACCCAGUUCUGAUGCUAGACAUUUCAUUUUAUUCUGACAAUAAGAUAAGGAUUUUCACAAAGUCAAGAGUUGGCCACCCACUCAACAAUUAGUCAUCAAAUCAAUAAUUCCGAAUUUUGGCCUAUAAAAGGAGGCAUUUGCCAUGUAUUUAGGGGCUUGGUUGUUCAGAUCAAGAUGCUCUUUCUCUCUUUAUAUUUUUUAAUUCUUAAGUUUUGCUUUCAUUAAUUUCUUGUUUAUGCUUUUCAUUUCCUUUCCUUAGUUAACUUGUAUCUUAUUUAUGUUCUUGUUUUAUUUAUGUUUCUCUUCUUCAUUAUGUUUAGCUAAGUUUAUUAUGUCAAGGUGAAAAGGUUACACUAAUGGUGUAAGAAUAAGUAUAGUGUAAACUCAACAUGAACCUUAAUGUUUAAUAUUAACAUGUCUUAUCUUUUUAUCUUACUAAUUCUUAAUACCUUGCUUGUUAAAUGGUUAAUCUAGAUUUGUGUUGUAUAACACUUGGUACAACAAAUGCUUGGCACUCUCAUAGCCCAACCAUAUGGUAUUACCUACACAUGUGCUAUGAAAGGAACUUGAUUUGUUGUUAACAUAGGUUAGCAUCAUGAAUUCCUGACAAUAUUUAAAAGUUUGGUGUUAUGUAAACAAGAUAAUUUAUAAUAAUAUAUAAUAUAUUAUAGGGUUGGGCCGGCCCAAAUAAAUGGGCCAGGCUCAGCCCCAAAAAAGGGGCGGGCUGAGAUCGGCCCGAAAUGUCAUGGGGCCGAUCUCGGCCCAAACAAUGAAAUUGGGCCGAUCUAGCCCGAAAAACUUCUACAGUCUCGGCCAAGACCGGCCCAGACUUGUAAGGCUGGGCCAGCAUCGGGCUGGCCCAACACCUUACGACCCAGCGGGGGGGGGGAAUUAAUUUUCUUCUCCCCCGCCUCCUGCAUGCAAAACUUUGCAUGCAGGAGGCAACGCCUGCUUCGAAAGCAAAGAGGGAAGAAGAAAAUGUACCUGGCAUGGAGGAGGCGGUCGCUGGUGGUGCUGCGGUGGCGUGGCUCGUGGACGGCGGCUCCGGGCGGCGGUGCUGCGGCUGUUUCCAAGUGCUCGGUUCUCUCUCUCUCUCUCCUCCCUUCUCCCUGUUUCGGUUCUCUCUUUUUUCCUUUUGUUUUCAGUUUAGUUCCAGUAUUCCCUUCUCUCUCUCUCCUGCCUACUGUCUCUUCUCCUCCCUUCUCGGUUUUUUUUUUUUUUUGUUUCCCGGUCCUCUUUUCUCUUCGGUUUUCCUUCCUAUUUAUAGGGGGGGGAAACGGUGCCUUUUGCUAGUGCGUCUUGGGAGUAAAUCACGCAACGGCUGGUCGGCCAUUGACGCGUUCGGUGGUGGUGGUGGGGCGAGGAGAGAGAGGCGGGAAGUUUGAAAAGUUUAGUUUUUUCUUCUGUUGCAGGUUCGGGGGGGGGGGGAGAGGAAGAUGAACAGUGUCGUUCAAAAUGACACCGUUCUGGUCCUUUUUUUUUUAUAUAUAUGAAACGACGUCGUUUUGGAUAAAACGCGUCUUUUUUCACUUUGGUCCUUGGCCUCUGAUUUAUGCAAUUAAGCCCUCAAUUGAUCAAUAAACUUCCAAUUUCUUCAAUUAGACCCCUGAACCGAAUAAUUUCAGCCCCUCCAUUUACGCGCCUCUUCCAAUUUGGUCCCUGGUUUCGGAUUUUCUUAAUUAAGUCCUUAAUUGGCCAUUAAACUUCAAUAUUUAUGCAAUUAAGCCCCUGAUUUGACCCAAUAAAUUCCUAAAAAAUAUAUUUUGGCCCCAGAACUUAAAUUUCUUCUAAUUAAAGCCCAAAUUGACUUAAAAAUUAAUUUUUCUUGCAAUCAAAUCCUUUAUAAACUCAAAUAAAAAUCCAAUUAAGUCCAUAAACAUCCAAAUUUGGGUUUUUCUCCUCAAAAUUCAAAUUUUCCUUCUCAAUAGGGCUUUCUUUCUUCAAGAAUAUACUGUCAAAAAUUCAAUCCUUGUAUUUUUAAAUUCCUUGACCAAUUUCCUGACUGUUUUCCGAGCGCUUCUGCCUCCUGUUAUUUUUCUAACCUCUUUUGGCUAUUUAUUUUAUUUUUCAUGGGGACCCAAAAAUGGGUUACAACACUAUACUUGUUUGAAAUACCAUUAGUGGAUCCUCUAACCUUGACAUUUAUUUUUAUCAUUGUUUAAUCCUUACAUUAAUCUUCCAUCUCAAAGUUCUCAUUAAUUUAUUCCUCUUAUUUUUAUUAUUAUUAUUAUUACUACUACUAAUAUUAUUACUAUUAAUAUUAAUAUUAAUAUUAAUAUUAUUAUUAUUAUUAUUAUUAUUAUUAUUAUUUUUAUAUUCUUGUUAUAUUUUAUGUACGUUAAGUAUGCUCUGUGUUUGAUCAAGGAUCCUGAUAUUGUUGGCCUUGCCUUGUUCAUUCGCAUCAGAAAUCUGUUUAUAUUAUAUAAUAUAUCUCUUUGAUCUUUUCAUAAACUCAGUAUAUAGGCUGGAAACCUGUGACCCGAUCUUUUAGAUCAUUCUCAGGUAUAACAACGCCACGUACUGAAUAUUAUUAUUAUUAUUAUUAUUACUAUUAAUAUUAUUAUUACUAUUACUAUUAUUGUUAUUAUUGUUGUUGUUAUUGUUGUUGUUAUUGUUGUUAUUAUUGUUAUUGUUGUUGUUGUUGUCUUGUUAUUUAUAAUUUAUAUAAUUAACCUCUUUGUGGUUCGACCUCGGUCUUGCCGGGUUAUUUAUUACUGGAAAUCUAAUUUAUGAGCAUGAUAUGGAUGCAAAAAGAGGAAACAAAGACACCUAAAAGUACACAAAAAGUUAUAAUCAGGAGUGUGAUAAAACAGACACUCAAAUGAAGAUUUAUUUUGGAGAACAACAUUAGGCAUGCAAUUAAUAAAAUAUAUCGAUGAUUCAAAAACAUGGAUCCAAAAUCGCAAUGGUGCACUACACCGGGAUGCGAUUAACAAAAUAUAACGAUGAUUCAAAAACAUAGUUCAAAAAUCACAAUGGUGCACUACACUGGCCUAAACUUGUUAGGACAAUUUUGAUAAUAUGUUGAUGACGAUGUUCGACAGUGCCAUUUUGUUCAUGAGUAUGAGGACAGUUUAACCAAUGAUGAAUACCAAUGGACUGAAAGUGAUCCAGAUUGGGAUCUCUUGGCAGACACCUCCUCUCAUUUACCUGCAACAUCAGUGUACUCUAAAGGUGGCGAGUCAGUGAGACUUCGAGAUGAUUCAGUGUCCCGUCAAGCAGAUGUGUCCAUUCCCAAUGUAUUAGACAAACAGGGGGGAGAUAAUAUACCCCUACUACUGGAACCGGUAGUUGGAUCAAACCCAUUUUAGAUCCUCCUUUUACGGAAAAUAGUUAGAGCUGUAGCAGCAGGAAUGGCAACGGGAGCCUCAAGUACAACUUCUAGAUCAAGGGGAGUUGUCACUAUAGUACAAUGGGUGAAGGGUAUGAGAGAGAUGGGUUGUAUGACUUACCAUGGCGAAGAGGAUGUUGAUGUUGCUGGGAAUUCGCUGAGGAAAGUGGAAAGAGUUAUAAAUCAGAUGCAGGUGCUAGAGGAGCUACGAGUGGAUUGCAUGACUCAGCUAUUGGUUGAUAAUUCCCACUCUUGGUAGGAGACCAUUAGAGGGAGGAGAUCAGAGGAGGUAUUGAGAUGGAGGGACUUUUGUGAAGAGUUUGAGGAGAGGUACUAUUCUUGGGAGCAUAAAAGGGAGAAAGAACAUGAGUUUUUGGAUUUGAGGUAGGGAGAUUUGACAGUUCUAGAGUAUGAGAGGAGAUUUCAGGACUUAGCAACUUUUGCCUCCAUUUACCUUCCCACAAAGCGCCACAUGGUAAAGAGGUUCAAUGUUGGAUUGAGGUGGGAACUAAGAACAAUAUUGAUAGCUAUGCAGUUUCAGUCUGUGCGGGAAUUGGUACGGGCUACUCAGGGUAUGGAAAGGGUAAUAAGGGAUACCUCGAAACUAGUGGUUGAUGUAACCAUAUUAUUCGAUAGUUUUACCCGCAUUUAGCUAGUGUUUUGCGUAUGUUAUUUAUAUAAAAUGCCUUGAUAUUCUUUGUUUUAUAUUUUGAAGGCAUUUUUGGAUGAAAGAUGCAAAAAGGAGUAAAUUGGAGAAAAAUAAAAAGAGAAAGAUCAUGGAAAUCACAUCCUUCAAAGUCAAAUCUCGUAGUCUGCCAAUGUUGACCUUUGCCCAUUCAAAAUUCAAUAUCUGGAGCUUCAGAAGUCCAAUUGAUGCAAACUCAAUUUUGUUGGAUUCCUUACUCAAAGCUCUAUAAACGCUCCAAAUAUCAGCCAAUGUCAUAUGAGGGAGAUAGGAGUUUUCAAAGAUGACAGCUGAAUUCUGCCAGCAAGCAGGUUGCGUGAAGAUUCAGAAGCAUCCAAACUGACAUACAAGUGUUUCCAACAAUUUAGCUCCUUUAGUAAAUAUUCUAGAAGGUCAAGGAAGGCAGCCACCAACCUCAAGCCAGUCGCCUUCACACUACCACCAUCUAUUGAUGUUCACACUUGAACUUUGAUUUUCUUAGUUACAAUUUGUGUAUAAAUAGAGGGAGAGUGGAAGGAGGUGGAAGCAAGAAGUGAGGAAACACAAACUCUCCUCUCUACAAAUCAGAAAUUAUGUAUUCUUUCAUCUUUAGGAGUAGUUGUUCAAUAGAUAUGCAAGGCUAAGCUCGUUUUCUUGGUUGCAAAGACACAACAAACCUUCGGAUUUCAAGAACCGUGAGAUUUAUUCUUCCUUUUAUUUUUAGUUUAUGUUAUGAAUGAGUAUGAUUGUUUUCCUAUGCAUAUUUCCUAUGAUUGUUUAUCUUAAUUGCUAGAGCGGACUCUAAGUUAUUAUUGUGAACAAUCUAUUGCUAAGUUUGAUAUCAAAACCGGAGUUGUGGUAUAUAAACUUGCGAAGCAACUAAGCUUGAUAAUUGUAGCGGAACUACGUUAUUAAACUUAGGGAGAACAUUCGAUCAUAGCAACACAAAUUGACAACUUGGUUGUUAAGAUUAAUGAAUUUAUCUGAAUCUUAAGACUGCCAUUGGAUUAAAUCAUUAGUGCGGACACUAUGAUUGUUUGUUGGUUAGGGCUAGUUAUACGGUGGAUCCAUUAAUUAACCAAUAUCAAGAAAAGAUAAAAUUCAUAAUAUAAACUGGAGUUUCGUUUCAAGGAUCGGUUCUAAUUUCUGUUGGUGGAUAUGUGCUUGCAACCAAGGUUUGUUUUCUUGAUAUAUUUCAGUUUCAAUUGAUUUUGUUUGCUAGUUUAAUUUCUGCCAUAGUUUAAAUCAUUGCAAAUCAAACCCCCCCAUUGCAUAACGUAUAACAUAAAAAUCUGAACUAAACCUUCCUCGUGGGAUCGACCCCUUGCUUGCUCUAUACUAUCUUGUGUGUUGUGUUUGAAGCUAGGGUAAUUAAUUUGUACGACCGCGACAUCGCAACAGUGGUCAAGCAGAGUCGGGUAAUUGGAGCUAAGAGAAGAGAUUUUGAGUUUUUGACUGGGAGACCUCCUCUCCCAAAGAAAGAGAAGAGCGGGCAAUCAUCAAGACAAUUCCAGAGAAGAGGCGAGAGUUUCACCCCAAGAGGGAGCUUAGGAGGAUCUAGAUGAGUCAGUGGAAGAGGAUCUUGGGGAGGAUAGUCUAUACAGGAAGUCAAAAUUGUUGGAGGGUCUAUAGAGCAAAAUGGACUAGUAUAUCCAUUUUGUCAGAGGUGUGAGUAGCGACAGCUUGGAGAUUGCUCUGCGAUGCCAGGGAGAUGUUAUAUUUGUAAAGUGAGGGGCAUCGAUGGAAAGAGUGCCCGCAUGUAGGCAGAGGCUGUUACUAUUAUGGGGACAUGAUUCGCAAGAAGAAGGAUUGUCCUCGUAGAACUAUCGAGGGAGCCCAUGGUUAGAGGAUUAAGGUUUAAAGCCAGCAGCAAUUGGUGACAAUUAAUCGUACUAUCAGGCCUACCCAGUCAGGGACGAGUGCUACUUAUGGGAGGCCUAGAAAUCAAGAGGGGAGGACUUAGGGUCGGGUAUAUCACAUGACCUACGAGGAUAUGGGAGAUGUACCUGAUGUGGUGGCAAGUACUUUAUAGUUAGAUACGAUGCAAGUUUAUGCUUUAAUUGAGCCUAGAGCUAGUCAUUCCUUUGUACCUUAUAGAAUUGUGAAUAACUUGCAUGUGUUAUCUAGUAACUUGGGUGUAGGAGUGACGGUUAGUACACCUCUAGGGAGAAAAUACAUAUUGAUGAUAUUUAUAGAGGGGUAAAACUAUAUAUUGAAGGGUUAGAAUUAAAGGUAGAUCUUAUGCCGUUAGAGCUAUAUGAUUUUGAUGUGAUUCUGGGCAUGAAUUAGCUAAGUAAACAUAAGGCACAAGUGGAUUGUUUCACCAAGAUGGUGACAAUCCAAGGAAUAGGUGAUAAAAGAGUAGUGUUUAAAGGGGAAAUAAAAGUAAUUCCAAGUUGUGUAAUCUUUUAGUCUUGGUGGCAACAAAAUUACUGAGGAAGGGUUGUUCUACUUGGUUAGUCCUUGUAAGGGAGCUGGAAAAGGGUAGCAUAGAUUUGGCUAGUAUUUCCAAAAAAGUUGCCUAGAUGGUCCAGUUAGAGAAAUUGAAGUUUUCAUAGAAACUAUCCCAAGAGUUUCUCCUAUAGCCCAGUCUCCUUAUAGGAUGGUGAUUAGUACUUAAAAGUGCAUAUUUAUCAAGGUUUUAUAUCAUCAUUUUGCACUUAAAGUAUCAAUAACUCCUUAACUAAAGCAUGUUUUAUAAUAACAAGUCUAAUACUAUAAAAUGCCUUAAUAUAUGGUAAAUGUUCAUCUUAAAUGCAGGUCUAUCAUAUAAAUCAAAGGAUUGAUUGAUGAGUUCAAGUAUGGAAAUUGAAAGGACAAAGAGAGGGCCAAACUUCAAAAAGAGAUGUUGGUGCAGUCCAAACUGGAACACUAUUCGGUAAUUGGGUCAUAUCUCGAGUUUUAGAUGUCAAAAUGAUCUCAAAUGUUUACACAAAUUCAGUAAGACAUAGGCCUAUAACUUUGAUGUGGACACCAAGAUCUAAGAAGGCUGUUAGCAAGUCCAAAUUAUAGCAACAACGGAGAAGUCUGAAUUUGUCCUGCAGCCCGAACACUAUUCAGUGUUUGGCCCAUAUCUGGAGUUCUAGAAGUCCAAAUGACCUCCAUUUUUUUUUUCUGGAAAGCUAUGUCAAUUGCCUACAACUUUAAUGUUUUUAAGUGGUCCCAUUUCUGAUGCUAGCAAUUUCGUUUUAUUCAGACAAGAAGAUAAGGAUUUUCACAAAGUCAAGAGUUGGCCACCCACUCAAUAAUUAGUCAUCAAAUCAAUAAUUCCGAAUUUUGGCCUAUAAAAAGAUGCAUUUGCCAUGUAUUUUAGGGCUUGGUGGUUCGGAUCAAGAUCAUGCUCUUUAUUUCUCUCUUUAUAUUUUUUUUUGUAAUUCUUAAGUUUUGCUCUCAUUAAUAUCUUAUUUAUGCUUUUCAUUUCUUUUCCUUUCCUUAAUUAACUGGUAUCUUAUUUAUGUUCUUGUUUUGUUUAUUUAUGUUUCUCUUCUUUAUUAUGUUUAGCUAAGUUUAUUAUGUCAAGGUGAAAAGGUUACACUAAUGGUGUAAGAAUAAGUAUAGUGUAAAGUCAACAUGGACCUUAAUGUUUAAUAUUAACAUAUCUUAUCUUUUUAUCUUACUAAUUCUUAAUACAUUGCUUGUUAAAUGGUUAAUCUAGAUUGUGUUGUAUAACACUUGGUACAACAAAUGCUUGGCACUCUCAUAGCCCAACCGUAUGGUAUUACCUACACCUGUGCUAUGAAAGGAACUUGAUUUGUUGUUAACAUAAGUAAGCAUCAUGAAUUCCUGAAAAUAUUUAAAAGUUUGGUGUUACGUAAAUAAGAUAAUUAAUAUGAUCAUGUUAACAAUUUAUAAUGAGCUAUUAAUAACAAAUCAUCUUAUUGGAACCUCCUUCGUGUGUGGUUUCCAAAUUGAGUAAUAAGAGUUUAUAUUGUACUUGUUUGAAAUACCAUUAGUGGAUCUUUUAACCUUGACAUGUGUUUUUAUUAUUGUUUAAUUCUUACAAUAAUCUUUCAUCUCAAAGUUCUCAUUAAUUUCUUCCUCUUCUUUUAUUAUUACUACUACUACUACUACUACUAUUAUUAUUUACAUUCUUGUUAUAUUUUAUGUAUGUUAAGUAUUCUCUGUGUUUGAUCAAGGAUCCUGACAUGGUUGGUCUUGCCUUGUUCAUUCACAUCAGAAAUCUAUUUAUAUUAUAUAAUAUAUCUCUUUGAUCUUUUCAUAAACUCAGUAUAUAGGCUGGAAACCUGUAACCCGAUCUUUUAAAUAUUCUCAGGUAUAACAACGCCACGUACUGAGUAUUAUUAUUAUUAUUACUAUUAAUAUUAUUAUUACUAUUACUAUUAUUGUUAUUAUUGUUGUUGUUGUUGUUGUAUUGUUAUUUAUAAUUUAUACAAUUAACCUCUCUUUGGUUCGACCCCAGUUUUGCCGGGUUAUUUAUUACUUCGACACUCCUACACUUAGGAGAAGACAUUAAUCUUUUGGUCGUGUCAGAUGGCACCUAUGGAAUUGGCAAACUGAAGGUCCAGCUUCAAGAAUUGUUAGAUAAAGGCUUCAUCCAACCUAGUAACUCGCCCUAGGGAGCUUCGGUGUUGUUUGUAAAGAAGAAGGAUGGCACCUUUCGUUUGUGCAUUGAUUAUCGUCAAUUGAAUAAAAUGACGGUGAAGAACAGGUACCCACUCCUAUGAAUAGAUGACUUGUUUGAUCAAUUGAAGGGUGCUAGGGUGUUCUCUGAGAUAAAUUUGAGAUCUAGAUACCACCAGUUAAGAAUCAAAGAGCAAGGCAUACAAAGAUUGCAUUUCAAACCUGUUAUGGGCAUUACGAAUUUUUGGUGAUGCCUUUCGAGUUAACCAAUGCUCCUGUAACAACCCUAAUUUUUCUAUUAGUUUAUUCAUUAAUCUCUCCCCCUAUAAAGGGUAGAUGAAGCAAAAUUUUAUUUUUAUUUUUUACUCGCCGAAAUUUCUAAUGAAAUUUCGGCAGAGUCUCCUCUAUACCGAGAGAUCCCAAGUUAUCGACAAUGUACCUGCACACAUUUAGAAUCACAUCUCAUCCACAAUCACAUUCAUGUUUAGUACAAUCAACUGCAUAACUCAUUCUAGAUUAUGCUCAGGACCAUAUUCAUUCCCAAACUCCAUCUUACAUCACAUACACAAGUUAAUAAUUAAAAGAGCCAAUUUCAACACGAAAUUUCAUAUACAUAUAUAUAUACACAACACAGUUUAAUAUUCUAACAUAGUCUAGUACAUUCUAAUAUCCCAAGCAUAGGUUGGUACAUUUAAUAUUUCAGAAACAAAAUAUUAUGAAUAGAAUAUUCCAUAUAGGUUACAUGUUUACUGCAUGACAAAAUUACACCACUAAUUCCUAAGUUCCUAACUUAUACAAAAAGGGAUCAAAGGACUUUAAAUCUAUUCCUAACGUGAAUGGGAGGGACCUGCAAAAAUAUAAAUUUUCCAUAUAAUAAAAAACAAAUGAUUAAAAUACAAGGAAUUUACAGAAUAAAAUUAAACAACAUAUAUAUCUACUUAAAUCAUAUAAAAUUCUAAAUACAACCACAAACCCCUUUUAAUGGUUAUAUAAGAAUUAUUUAUUCUUCUUCUUUUUCUUCUUUUCCUGUUAACUACUUCUUCCCCCCCCCUUCAUCAAAAAGACUAUUGCUGACACCAAUGACCUCCAUUAGUGUCUUUAGUUGCCCGUCCUGGAACAACUAAUUAGUUUCAUGAAAAUGCCGACACAAAUGUAAACGUUUGUGUCAUUAACUAUUUUUAAAACUAAAAUAGUUAAUCAUUGUUCCAUAUUACCUUGGGAGGUUCUCAGGUAUGCCGAUGUCAAAAUUCUUGACAUCAUUAGCUUCCACCUCGAAAAGCUAAUCAAGUUUAUAAAUUUUGCCGAUAUCAACGUCACGUGCCGAUAUCAUUAACUAUUCUGAAACCGAAUAGUUAAUCAAGUUUAUAAGUUUUGCCGAUAUCGACGUCACGUGCCGAUAUCAUUAACUAUUCUGAAACCGAAUAGUUAAUCAAGUUUAUAACUUUUUGCCGAUAUCGACGUCACGUGCCGAUAUCAUUAACUAUUCUGAAACCGAAUAGUUAAUCAAGUUUAUAUUUUUCCUCUCACGUACCAGUAAUGCCGAUGUUAUCCAGCUUGGUUAACAUCAUUAGCCUCCCAUAUCAGGGACAAACAAAUCAAAUUCGAGAAAUAAUCAUUACCAAAAUUCCUUGUUACGAUCUAUUUCCUCCAAAAGAACCCAUAAAUUAAAUCUAGUUCUCCGUUCCAUUUUAUUUUUCAUCAUUUAACCUUUCCUUUCCCUUUUUUUUUUCCUCAUCAAUAAGCACCAAAGUUUUAUAGUUCAAAAGUUAGUUAAAAUAAUUAUUAACUAGAGGAGAUAUAGGUACCAAGUACCUACCUGUUGUGGACGCUCGACUUGCGUUCCCCUGUGGUUGUUGUACUCCUCUUGCGGUUCCUCCUGAAACCACAAACACCCAUCAUUAUUCCAUAUUAAUCCACAUAUCACAUGCAACAUCAACAUUGAAAAUAAUAUUCAUUUCUCUUUUACCAAAUCUUUUCUUUCUCAUCACUUACAUUCCCCAUUAUUAUCCUUUAACUUUUCAGCUCAUUAGUAGUCCAAGUGGACAUCAUAAAUUCAAUUUUUGAUUACAGUUUAUUCUUUUUGAAGAUCAAGACACACUUUAUGAAAGGCAAGAAAACAAAUUCUACCCUUGAUAUGGCUAAAUUUCACGUUUUAUCAACUUGGCCGAAUCUGCCAACAGGGUGGCAGCUCGACCUCUCAGUUUUUAUUUGUAUCUGGAGUUCUAGGACUCCAAAUUAGGCGAGGUCAGAUUCGUUGGAAAGCUAACACUCCUAGAUACACUUAUAUGAGGGGAACCUCCCUGAAUUUUGUAGUUUUUAGGUCCAAAAUCCCCCCAGGAAACAGGGCAACGAACCUGCCCUGUUUUGCUAAUGGAGAAGGUAUCUCCAAUUCAUCUUAAAUCCCUGCUUCCUCAUCAGUCACAGCCAUGCCUUCCCUUUAUUCAUGGCAUUCCCGUCUCAUUUUAUGUCCUCUUAAGGUCACUGGUACCAAAUUAAUAAAUUAAGCACACCAUAAGUUCUCAUUCCCUCUGCAGUAUCCAGCAGAGAAUGUGGCCAAGGGAACCAAGAGUUCCCGAUGAUGAUUUCUGUCAAAUGGAGGGUUCCUUCCAAUCCCACCGGUCAUUAGUAGAUAAGUGUAAUAAGAACAACAUAUCCAAAACUUAUCAUGAUCCAACGGUGGAGUCCGGAGAUAUGGCCACUGGAGUAUUAUUGGUUUUACUCCAAAAUCUGCAGCUCUUUCUAUCCAUUUUUCUCUUCAUCUUUUUCUUUAAGGCACUUAGAUUAAUCUAAUCCAUUUAACCUCACUCAUUUCUGCAUUUUCCCAACAUUUUAUGUUAAAGAACCCUAAUUCCCAAUUCAAGAAAGGCAUAAACUUCUAAUCAAAUUGAAGUUGAUUUCAUAGAAAUUGGAAUUAGAACUCCUUGGAUGGAAAUCUAAACUUUACUUCACAAAUUUUAGAAGAAUCUUAGCCUUCUUCUCCUUGUAUGUUGUCAGCCACUUUUCCCCCUCUUCUCUUCACAAUUCUUCACUUUUCUUCUUGUUAAUUCUUCCACUCGAUUGUGUUCCUCCACUUAAUAAUUCCAAGGCUUAUUUGGGUUUACUAAUGUUAGGUGUUUACUCCAAGUUAUGAUGAAAGAAAAAUCUAAAAUUCUCCCCCCUCCUUAUUCUUAUUAUCAGCGGGCCAUGGAUGAGAGAAGGGAAGGGUAUUUAUAGUCCCAUCUCUUUUUAAUUCCAUUUUGGCCACAUCUUUCACCUUUUUGUUUUUUUUUCAGUAUUAUUUUAUUAUUAUUAUUUUUGCUUUAUUUUAUAUUAUAACAAUUUGGAAUUAUUAUAAACCUCCCCCUCUUUGUAUACUUUAUUCUCGAGCUUCACAGCUCCGACUAUGCUUAUGGACUUGAUGAAUUGGGUGUUUCGGCCUUACCUGGACCAAUAUGUGGUUGUAUUUAUUGAUGAUAUCUUAGUGUAUUCAAACUCUCACUUGGAGCAUGAACAACUUCUAAGGGUUGUGCUACAGACCUUAAGGGAGAAACAAUUAUAUGCAAAGUUGGAUAAGUGUGAGUUUUGGCUCCAGGAAGUGGUAUUUUUGGGCCAUGUAAUAUCCACAGAAAGAAUACUUGUGGUCCAAAAAAGGUUGAGGCCGUGUUAUAAUGGGAAAGGCCUAUCAAUGUGACAGAAAUCCAGAGCUUCUUGGGCCUUGCUGGAUAUUACCGCAAGUUUAUUGAGGGGUUCUCCACCAUAACAUCACCUUUAACUAAGCUGACCCGUAAGGAGGUCAAGUCUGUUUGGUCAAAAGACUGUGAAGCAAGCUUUAGAGAACUAAAGGAGAGGCUUACUUCUACUCAUGUGAUGGCCCUCCCAUCGGGGACAAAAGGCUUUGUGGUAUAUAGUGAUGCCUCAAAAAAGGGUCUGGGAUGUGUAUUGAUGCAACACGGGCAUGUGAUUGCUUAUGCAUCAAGACAGCUAUAGUCGCAUGAGGUGAAUUACCCGAUUCAUGACCUAGAACUUAUAGCGGUGGUGUUUGUCUUAAGAGUAUGGAGACAUUAUUUUUAUAGGACACAAGUUCAAAUCUUUACAUACCAUAAAAGUUUGAAGUAUUUGAUGUCACAGAAGGAGUUGAACAUGCGGCAGAGAAGAUGGGUAGAGUUAAUAAAAAUAUUACGAUUGCGUUAUUGACUACCAUCCUGUUAAGGCUAAUAUAGUAGUUGAUGCCUUGAGUAGGAAGGGAAAAAUAGUGAUGAAUGAUAUGGAGCUUAAAGAAUAGGAAAGUAUAGUGGAAUUAAAGAGAAUGGGCUUGCAGCUAAGUUUAGGGCCCGAGGGAUCACUAUUACCUCAGUUAAAGAUUCGAUUUGUGCUUUGAGACAAGGUCUUGGUGGUCAACAGGCAGAUGGAAAAGUAAAAGAGAUCAAGGAGAGGGUAAACAAGGGUAAAGAGACAUCAUUUCAAAUGUUAUCAGAUGGGCUAAUAGCUAUGGGUAGGCGGAUUUAUUUGCUUGAGGAUAAGACUUUGAAAGAUGAAGUGUUAAGAGAAGCUCAUAAAUCUCGAUUUUCUACUCAUCCUGGGAGUAAAAGGAUGUAUAGGGAUUUAAAGGAAUACUACUGGUGGCCAAAUAUGAAGAGGGAAAUAACAAAAUUUGUGUCGAACUGUGGGAUCUGUCAACAAGUAAAGAUAGAACACUAGAAACCUGCAGGGGAAUUACAAUCAUUAUCAAUUCCAAAAUGGAAAUGGGAGAAUAUUUCUAUGGAUUUUAUGAUGGGAUUACCCAAGGGAGUGAGGGGGAAUGAUGCCAUAUGGGUGUUCGUGGAUCGACUAACAAAAUCAGCUUUAUUUUUUUCUAUGAAGAUGAUUGAGUUGGUAAAUAAGCUGGCAAAAUUGUAUGUAAAUGAAGUAAUCAGACUUCAUGGAAUGCCAGUUUCAAUUAUAACAGAUCGGGAUCCAAGGUUCACAUCGCGAUUGUGGCCGAGCUUGCAACAGGAAAUAGGGGGCAUAGUUGUAUAUGAGCAAAACAUUUCAUCCCAGAUGAAUGGUCAAUCUAAAAGGACCAUUCAAACUCUUGAGGAUCUCCUGAGGUCCUGUGUGCUGAAUUUUAGAGGGAAUUGGGAGAAUCUCGUACCAUUGGUGGAGUUUACUUAUAAUAAUAGCCAUCAAGCUACUAUUGGUAUGGUUCCAUAUGAAGCCUUGUAUGGGAGGAAAUGUCGUACCCUAAUUUGUUGGGAGGAAAUAGGAGAAAGGAAGCUUUUGGGACCUGAAAUGGUGCAACUCACAACUAACAAGGUAAGGGUGAUCAAAAAGAUGAUGAAGGAAGCCUAGGAUAGACAAAAACAUUACGCAGAUAGUCGAAGAAGGCCCUUGGAAUUCUAAGUGCAGGAUAAAGUAGUUUUGAAGGUGGCUCCUUCGAAAGGCAUCAUUCGAUUUGGAGUAAAAGGGAAAUUAGCCCCGAGAUAUAUUGGCCCUUUAGAAUUGCCUAUAUAUUUGGACAAGAUUCACAAUGUGUUCCAUUUUUCAUUGCUAUGAAAGGCCAAGAUAGACCCCUCACGGAUAUUGCCACAGGCUCCUAUGAAGAUAAAAGGGGAUCUAACCAUGAAAACUAAGCCUGUCAAGAUCUUAGAUCAAGAUGAGAAGUUGUUGAGAAAUAAGAGAGUUCCCUUGGUGAGAGUAUUAUGGAGAAGCUCUUGAAUAGAAGAAGAAACAUGGGAAAAAGAAUCCAAGAUGAAGGAGAAGUUUCCGCACUUAUUCUCCGACAUGGUAUGUAACUGGAAUUUCGAGGAUGAAAUUUUUUUUAUUAGGAAGGGAGAAUGUAAAUCCCAAGAAAAUCAAGGCUAGAUUAAAUUACAGAAAAUAAACUAAACUAAAAAGAAGUGGGGGCAAAACAAAUACACUUAAAGAAAAUGGGGUCUAAAUGCAAAUAAGAAUAUUUAUAGAGCAUAAAUACUCUUCUUUCAAAAAAAAAACAAAAAAACAAAUAAAUCUGAAACUAUCGUGAAGAAAGAAAAUGGGGAGUUUUUGUAUCCAUUUUUAUAGAUCAAGAGAGAAAUACAAAAAUUUCAAGAACCCAUCCAAGAUUAAGGGUUAUAGGUAGAAUAAACACUAGAGGGCAAGCGAUUAACAAGAAAAAAAUUGAACAAGAAAACAAGAGGGGAGGGUCAACUGUCAUUAAAAAGAAAAGGAGGGAUCGAGACCUUGAUUCGUACCGGGUAAGGUAUUCUAAACAUAGAUUUAUGAGUCAUUUUAAAGUCGAAUAUAUAUUGAUGCCUGGAUGUUAAAUUAUAGAUUUGAUUUCUAUAACUCUAGAUAUGGUUAAAAAUCUAAGGAGAGGUCAGACAGUAACAGUUCAAAAAACGAGACAGUAACAGUCCAAAUGAUUAUUGAUGAGCAAUUUUGAUUAUCUUAGAGGUAGAACUGGGUUCUUCUUUCCUCAGAGAACUUGUAGGCUCAUGUCUUAGCUUUCCAACGAGACUAAUCUUGCUUGAAUCGAAGUUUUAUAACUCCAAAUAUAGUUAAAAAUGUGAGAGAGGUCAAACGGUAACAGUUCAAAAAAUGAGACAAUAACAGUUCAAAUGAUUAUUGAUGAGCGAUUUUGACUGUCUUAGAGGAAGAACUAGGUUCUUCUUUCCUAAAGAACUUGUAGCCUCAUGUCUUAGCUUUCAAACAAGACUGAUCUCGCUUGAAUCAAAGUUCUAUAACUCCAAAUAUAGUUAAAAAUCCGAGGAGAUGUCAAAUAGUAACAGUUCAAAAAACGAGAUAGUAACAGUUCAAAUGAUUAUUGAUAAACAAUUUUGACUAUCUUAGAGGCAGAACUGGGUUCUUCUUUCCGUAAAGAACUUGUAGCCUUAUGUCUUAGCUUUCCAACGAGACUAAUCUCACUUUAAUCAAAGUUCUAUAACUCCAGAUAUAGUUAAAAAUCUAAGGAGAGGUCAGACAGUAAUAAUUCAAUGUCUAGACAAUGACAGUUCAGGAUUUAAACAGAAACAGUUCAAAUAUAAAAAAAAGAAUGAUAAUUGGGGUUGGACAAAGAAUGACAAUAUUAAUGGGUGAAAUGAGAAAAACAUAAAAUAUUAAGAAAUGACUGAAAGAAAGAGUUAUUGGUUUGAUAUGGUUAUUAUAAAACAUAUCCUUGAGUGAGGAAAAUUUAUGAGAUUGAACCUGUGAUUUGCAGGAUAGACCACAGAUGUGGUGCAUAUGCAGCAACAAGGGAGCACGAGUAGAGCUUUUAUUGCAGGUAGGUGAAUCGCACCUAUACCUUCUAGUUAAAUUCCAUGAUUAAUAUAUAUUACUGAUGUGAAAUGUGAAUUACUGAAUGUAUGUGUAUUCAAGGGGAAAGGUUGUUGUGUGAAUUGCUAAGUGAUGAAAUUAUCAUUGAGAAAGGAAAAAUGAGAAGUGUGAUUUGAGGCAUAAACUAGCAUACAUUUAGUGUAAGUUAGGAUUUCAGGUAAGGGGAUCGCCACGUUUGGACUAACAUACAUUUAGUGUAUGUUAGAAUCCCAGGUAAGGGGAUCACCAUGUUUUGGCUAGCAUACAUUUAGUGUAUGUUAUGAUCCCGGGUAAGGGAUCACCAUGUAUUGGCUAGCAUACAUUUAGUAUAUGUUAGGAUCCCGGGUAAGGGGAUCACCUUGCAUCGACUCCUACGGGGUGAUGAUGAUGAUACUAGUGAAAUUUGUAUCAGUAAUGUGUUAAACAAAAAUAAUCAUGUUUGAUCUUAUAAAGUCUAGAAUGGAGAUUAAUAGUGGAAGAUGGAACGGUUAUUAAUAUUUGAAUAAGGAAGAGAUUCUAAUGUAAACCAGAAGGGAGAAGUGAACAAAAUAUGAAUGCAUGUUACCCUGAUAAAAUUGUUAGAUAUUCGAGUUGUUAUAAUUAUGUGAUAUUCACCUUUCAAUAAUAUGUAUUUUAUUUUAGGAUCAUCGCAUGCACGACAGGAAUAGAUCAUAGAUUAUGUUCGUUUCUUGUAAUUUAGAUUCUAGGGGGUAUACCCAUGUAUUUUGUAAACAUUAAAAUGUUUGUAUAACUUAAUUUGUAUAAUUAAUGUUUAAACUUGAUUGAAUGAACUUAAUUCAGUAGUUCAUAUAACCAUAUUUCAUGACUAUGCAUUCAUAUUUUCUUGUUUAUCCAUCCAUAAUGAUAUUUUGUUAUACAAUGUAUAUCAUAAACAUUGUGGUUGAUAGGUGUGAGAUUAUUUGUGGAAAUUGAAAAUCCAGGAUGAUUGGGUCGGAAUUAAGUUAUGACAUCUGAGUUAUUAGAAGUGUGAACAGGUUACAUGUCGAUAACUUGGGACCUUUCGGCAUAUGGGGGACUCCGUCAAAAUUUUUAGUAGAUUUUAAUACGAAAACCAUGAAUAUAUAUAUAUAUAUAUAACUCUGUUUUUCGGUUGACAUGAGAUUUUUGUUUUAUCCCGGAAUGGGGGAUGUUACAAUAGAGAAGCAAAGAAGAAGAAGAAGAAGAAACGUCGGUCAGCUGCUCUCAGUUCCCUAGUUCGCAGCCGCCGCCACAAGCCACUGUCAGCCUAGCUCCCAGAGCACCUCCAUUCCAGGUAAUUCUCUCCCCGUGUCUCUGUUUCCCAUAUUCAUCUUCUUGCAUGCAAAACGUGCACUGUGCACAUUUCUGCAAGCAAGGAAAAAUAAUUGCCCAUAGUAACCGGCUAAUUAUAUGGGCAUAGUAACCAGUCCGGGUUGGAUCAUCAGCCCAGUCCACGCGGCUGGGCUGAGUCCAACCCAUUAUAAGAUAGUUUAUAUUUUAUUUUGGGCUGAUCUUGGUAUAGUUUUAUUUUGGGUCGGGUCCGGCCUAUUCAAAAAACAAUUAAAACAUAUUUAAAAAAAAAAAUUGUGAUUCCCCGCGUAAAUUUUUACGCAAUUUUGAUUAACAUUGGUAUGUAUUUUUAUACCGUAAUGAUACAAAUCGGGUAUUAAAAUACCCAGUCUUCAUAAAAAAAAAAUGUUUUCAUGCGUACAACCAGGUCUCUAAAAGUUAAAAAAAAAUUCAUAUUGUAUUUUCAUACAACAAAGAAAACUUCAAAAAAUAUGUUUUAGCAUACAUUUUGGCUUUAAUAACUAGAUUAUUAAAGUCAUGAGAACUAGGCCAAUAUUUCAAAAAACUCAAAAAAGUAUUUUGUUUUGUUUUAGUAUCUAGGAUUAUGAAUUUACAUGUAAAACAUAUUCCUAAUAUUCAAAAGGUAUUUUCUUUUGUUGACAUAGAACGGUUAGGUUUUAUCUCGAUUUGAUAAGGAUCUUUUUACCGAGAAAAAAAGGACUUUUCUUAAACCAUAGAUAGACCAACAAUUAGAACUACAAUACAACCGUACCAUAUAUCAAACAAUAAAACAAUGUAGCUUACCUUAGGUAGGGCAUAUUUAGGGUGUGAAUACCUUCCCUUUACGCAACCAGUCCCCGUACCCAAUCUCUGAGACCAGUUAGGGUUCCUAGUGACCAAAAUACUAGGUGGCGACUCCCAUUCUAUUUUUCCACUGAUAAGAGACAAGCAUUCCUUGUCUUUCUACAUUUGCCAGACAGAUAAAAUACCUAAGUGAGGGUGGAUGAUUGCCAUGAUGCCGCACAUAUGCAACACUAUUAAUUAAUCAAUGAGAUCCAUUUUGAAAAGAAAAAAAGAAUACACAAGUGAGAGAAUAAAAUCCACAACCCACAAAAAAUAAUAAAAUUAUCUUCACCUAGUAUUUCUCUCUCCUAUUUGGAUCUAUUUAUUUCUAUAAAGUGGAUCCCAAUAAGUAACUAAUAGAAUAUCACUAGUUAUAAUUUGAUCACCAUACAAUUUCUCAUUCAAUUCCUCUCAUUUUAGAAGGAAAUAACGGUAAACAAAUACUUUGCAAAAUUCCUAAAAUGUUUAUGUUAUUAUUAAUAAAAUUAAAUGUAAGCUAAUCAAUUCAAUAUUGAAAAUAUAUGUAUCUCAUUAAGAAAAAUAUAUUUAAUUCCAGAAAAUAUUUGGAAGGAAUUAGUAUUAAAAAAACAAACACUUGGCAUUUCAAAUUCCUCACCCUAAAAAUCUUGAAAAUAUCUAUAACAAGUAGUGGAUAUCACCAUUCCCUUUGAAUUCUUAUGCUUAUUCUCUUUCUUUCUCAAAUCUUAGUAGCCUAUCUCUCACUCUCUAUAGUUGGGUAGCACUUUGCACAAUUUUAUUCGAUUUCAUUAUUGAAAAUGUCGUAGCAAUGAUGGCUUUGUUGGGCUUAGAGAGCGUUUGAAAACGCGGUUGUACCCGUGUUUCUAAAAAAUUUAAAUUUUGUUUUGCUAAAAGUUAAUUUCUUUAACGUUUUAAAUCGUUUUGAUGCACUGAUCUCAAAAAUGAUUUUAAAAAAAUGAAAAAACAUCAUUUUGAUGCAUUUUGUCAUGAAAAGCACUUUGAAAAGCAACCACGACCACACUUCCAAACAGGCCUAGCUGGGAGCCCAUGGUUAUUUGGUGGUGCAUCUUUAUUAUACAAUGUAUGGCAUGUAUAUAUAUGUAUAAGAAUUAAUGUAGGGUUAUUCCAAUGUUGUUAUCCUUACGGUUACUGCCGUAUACUGCCACAUAUAUAUAAAUAAGAAAGGUUGGCUAAGACACAACCUAAGUCAUUAUAUUAUUCUGAACUUGGUAUAAGAGCCCUAACUAAGCUAAAACACCUAUUCUCCCCUUUGCAAUGGACUCCUCAUCCUAGCCACAUGUUACCUCUCCUAUCGUAGCAGCACUGUCUUCCUCAGCUUCUGUUUUGCAGUGGGCACAACUCAUAAAUGGUGUUCAUGCUCUCUUCAACCCCAACAAUGCUCUUUUGUUGCAACCCUCUUCUGAUGCGAUCUUUGCUACUACAAUUGUCUCCCUCUCCCACACUUACCAAGUCAUCUCUCUCAAAUUAACAAACACCAAUUAUCUAUAUUAGCGAAUGUAGAUGAAGUUGUAUAUUCUAGGCCAAGGAGUUUUCGGCUUUAUUGAUGGUUCUUACUCUUACCCCUCUCUACAUGUUCUUGCUACCAAUGGUGUCUCUCUUCAGGUAAACCAGCUCUUUCUUCAUUGAAAACAAUAGGACCAACUCAUUCUGAGUGCUCUAAUUUCUUUGCUAUCCAUGGAAGUUCUUCAUGUUGUUGAUGACUUCCAAUCCUUACAUUCUAUCUAGCGCACACUUAAGCAAGCUCUAGCUUUCACAUCCAAUUCUCAUAUUAUGCAACUUCAUGGCUCCCUUCAAGACCUUUGAUAAGGUGAUGAGUCGGUAACUCACUUUAUGCAAAAAUCUAAGGCCUUAUUUGAUGAGUGAGCCAAUGUUGGUUGGCCUGUUUCGCUAGAGAAUUUAACUUAUAUGUGUUUUGUGGUCUUCACGGAGAGUUUAAAUUCUUAGUAACAAGCCUUGUGACCAAGUCAAAACCUCUCUCGCAUGCAGAUCUAUUUAGUCAUCUUUUAACACGUAAAUUUAUUCACAAAUCAUUCCAUAUGUCCAUGGGGUCUGCUGCCAUCAAUGCUCCUCUAUUGCCCAUGCCAAACACACCUCCUUCAACCCUUAUCUAUCAACAUCAGUCUAUUGCACACUUUGGUCGCAAUAAGGGUUGUUUUCAUGAAUCUUGGCGUCUAAACCACUUCAGCCACAAAGGGCACAGUUCUACAACGUCCAGACCAAACUUUCGCAGCUUCCACAACUCCUCUACCAAUGAUGGCAGACAAGGCAACUAGCAUGGAAAUUUGCAGCACAGUAAAGGGCAAAAUCCAUGCUGCUAAUUAUGCCAAACAUUAGGUCAUACUGGGCCUCACUACCCUCAGCUUCAGUACCAUGGCUAUGGACAGCAACUUAGUGCAAAUAUAGCGUUGCGUAAUCCCAUAAGUACUACAAAAUGGUUUCUGAAAACUGGUGCCAAUAACCACAUCACACCCAACCUUGCAACCUUGACUACUGACACGACCAAAAGCUUGAUGUCUUUUUCCAAGUGCAGGAGUGUCGAAGUAAUAAAUAACCCGGCAAGACCGGGGUCGAACCACAGAGAGGUGAAUUGUAUAAAUUAUAAAUAACAAUACAACAACAACAACAACAACAACAACAACAAUAACAAUAAUAAUAAUUAUAAUACUCAGUACGUGGCGUUGUUAUACCUGAGAAUGAUCUAAAAGAUCGGGUCACAGGUUUCCAGCCUAUAUACUGAAUUUAUGAAAAGAUCAAAGAUAUAUAUAUUAUAUAAUAUAAACAGAAUGUAAAUAAUAAUAAUAAUAAUAAUAAUAAUAAUGAAAGCAGAAGAUGAAGAAAUUAAUGAGAACUUUGAGAUGAAAGAUUAACGUAAGGAUUAAACAAUGAUAAAAACAAAUGUCAAGGUUAGAGGAUCCACUAAUGGUACUUCAAACAAGUAUAGUAUAAACUCUUAUUACUCAAUUGGAAACCACACAUAAAGGAGGUUCCAAUCAGAUUAUAAAUUGUUAACAUGAUUACAUUAGUUAUCUUAUUCGAAUAAAGCUAAUACUUGUAAAUGUUGGCAGGCAUUCAUGAUUAUAACUUAUGUUAACAACAAAUCAAGUUCCUUUCAUAGCUCAGGUGUCGGUUAUACCAUACAGUAUGGGCUAUGAAAGUGCCAAGUAUUUGUUGUACCAAGUGUUAUACAACAUAAAUCUAGAUUAACCAUUUAACAAGCAAAGUAUUAAAAGUGAACAAGAUAACAAAUAUAAAACAUGUUAGUAUCCAACGUUAAGGUCCAUGUUAAGUUUAUAUUAUACUUAUUCUUACACCAUUAGUGUACCCUUUUCACCUUGACAUAAUUAACUUAGCUAGACAUAAUGAAAGAAAGAAACAUAAAUGAACAAGAUAAGAACAUAAAUGAGAAAGAGGUUAACUAAGUAAAGGAAAGGAAAUGAAGUGCAUAAACUUGAUAUUAAUGAAAGCAAGACAUAAGCAAUACAAAGAGAGAAAGCAAGAGCAUGAUCUUGAUCUGAAACCAAGAUGCCUCAAUACAUGGUAAGUGCCUCCUUUUAUAGGCCAAAAUUUGGAACUAUUGAUUUGUUGACUAAUUGAUGAGUGGGUGGCCACAUCUUGACUUGAUAACAAUCCUUAUCUUCUUGUCUGAACAAGACGUCAUUGCUAACAUCAUAAUUUGCCCAGAAUCCUCAGGAAUGUUCUAGGAAAUUGUCUCAGCUUUCCAACAAAAAAAAGAUGAGGUCAUUUGGACUUCUAGAACUCAAGAUAUGGGCUGAACACUAAAUAGUGUUUGGGCUGCAGGACAGCUUCGGACUUCUUCGUUGUUCCUUCAAUUUGGACUUCAAAAUGACCUUUUUAAAUCUUGGGCUCCUCAUGAAACUUGUAGGCCUUUGUCUUACCUUUCCAUCCAUAUAAAAUGGACCUAAAUCCGAGACAUAGAGCUCCAGAUAUGAUCCAAUUACCGAGCAAUGUUCCGGUUUGGACUGCACCGACAUCUCUUUUCUAAGUUUGGCCAUCUCUUUGUCUUUAACUUUCAAUACUUAAACUCAUCAAUCAAUCCUUUUAUUUAUGUGAUAGUCCUGCAUUUAAAAUGAGCAUUUACCAUAAAUUAAGGUAUCUUAUAAUAUCAAACUUGUUAUUAUAAAACAUGCUUUAGUUAAGGAGUUAUUGAUACUUUAAGUGCAAAAUGAUGAUAUAAAACCUUGAUAAACAUGCACUUUUAAGUACUAAUCGACUACUUCAUAACCAUACCUUGGUAAUGAUAAUUUGCAUGUUGAUGAUGGUAAGGGACUUCCCACAUCUCAUAUCGGUCAUACCAAAAUAUAGACACCACAUCGUUCUUUCACUUUAUCUAAAUUUCUUCAUGUUACUGCAAUCACGAAACAUUUGCUUUCUAUUUAGAAAUUUUAUCUCGAUAACAAUGUUUAUUUUGAAUUUCAUCCAUUUGUGUUUUAUGCCAAGGAUCUCAACACCAAUGGAGUACUCCUCUCAUGUUAGAGUAAAGAUGAUCUCUAUGCUUUGUCCAGGUCUUCCGUCUCGUUAGUUCCUCAAGCAUAUUGGUCUCCCUGUAUUUAUGCUUUUGCUGAUUUAUGGCAUUGUCGACUAGGUCAUCCUCCUCUUGUAUUUUUCAAUUGUUAGUCUUGAAAAAUAAGAUCAUUUGUAACAAUAAACAUCUUAAUUUUCAAUGUCAAAGUUGUCCAUCAGGAAAAUCAUCGGAUUUGUCUUUAGUGAUGUGCGGGGUCCUACUCCCCUUUUUUCUUUGGAUGGCUAUCUUUAUUUUGUUAUCUUUGUUGAUGUUAUAUGUGAUGAGAUCAAGGUGUUGCGUUCUAAUCACACUUGGUCUCUGGUUCCCUUUCAUCUUUCGAUGAAUGUUGUUGGCAACAUAUGAAUGUAUCGGAUCAAACAUCGUGUUGAUGGCAGCAUUGAGCGUUAGAAAGCCCGUCUAGUUGCUAGAGGCUUUACCCAGCACAAAGGAAUUGAUUAUUCUGAAACCUACAAUCCAGUUAUUAAACAGACCACCAUCAGAUUAAUCUUCUUCAUUGCGGUUUCACGCAAUUGGAAAAUUCAUCAGCUCAAUAUUCAUAAUGCAUUUCUCAAUGGUGCUCUUACUAAAGAGGUCUACAUGAAACAACCUCUAGGUUUUGUUGACUCUACUCUUCCAUCUCAUAUGUGCAGAUUGCACAAGUCGUUGUAUGGUUUAAAACAGGUAUCGAGGGUAUGGUACACUCGUCUGAGUGACUUUUUGCUCUCCAUUGGUUUUAUUGCCUCCAAGAUUGAAAACUCCUUAUUUAUCUUAUCUGAUGAUACUAAUAUCUUUUAUAUCCUGGUGUAUGUUGAUGAUAUUCUGCUUACGAGUAGAAACUCUACUAUGCUUCAUCACCUAAUAUAGUUACUGAGUUUUGAAAAGCUCCGUGACUUGGGCAUGGUUCACUACCUUUGGGGUAUUGAAUUUCAGUCUACAAGUAUGGGUUUGAUGUUGCGCCAGCACAAAUAUAUUCUUGACAUCCUCACUUGGACUGGUAUGACUUCCUACAAACCUGAUGAUACUCCAGUUUCUCCUUCAAAAGUUACUAUACUGCCAGAUAAUCCAUUCUCUAAUCCUACACGAUUUCUUCAAAUCAUGGGUGGUCAUUAGUACCUUACCUUCACCUGACCAGAUAUCUAAUUUGUUGUUAACAGUCUGUCAGUUUAUGUAUGCUUCUACAGAUUCUCAUUAGGCCAUCGUUAAACGCAUUCUACAUUACCUUAAAGAUAUAACAUCUUAUGGUUUUCAUAUCACUCAAGGUUUCUCUUUUGCUCUACAUGAUUUUAAAUGCAGAUUGGGUUGGUAAUAUUGAUGAUUACAAGUCUAUAGGUGGUUACCUUGUUUUUUCUUUUUUUGUCAGACGUCGAUCUCAUAGAAGUCAAGCAAGCAACGCAUAGUUGCUCACUCAUUUACUUAGGCUGAGUAUAAAGCCUUAGCGAACGGCAAUGCUAAGGUCAUCUGGCUUCAAUAUUUAUUAACAGAUCUGCAGGUUCCCUCCGUCUCUACUCCUACUAUUUGGUGUGAUAAUCUUGGUGCCUCUUAUCUCUCUGCAAAUUCUAUUUUUCAUGCUUAUACUAAACAUGUUGAGGUGGAUUAUUAUUUUUUCCGAGAUUGAGUUGUGAAGAAAGAAAUUUAUAUUUGUUUUAUCCCUUCGCAGGAUCAACUUGCGGAUGUCUUCACCAAGCCACUUUCUACUACUUUCUUUAUUGCUUUCUGUUACAAGCUUCGGGUCAAUCCUCCACCCUUAACUGGAGGAGGUACAUUAUAGAAUGUAUAGCAUGUAUAUAUAUGUAUAAGAAUUAAUGUAGAGUUAUUCCAAUGUUAUUAUCCAUAUAACGGUAUGUUUUCCAUUCUAUUAUUACAUAAGAUUGAGCUUCAUUGCAAGAUUUAAUGAGCCUUUUUUGGAUCGGUUAAUGGGUGUGCAAUGAUUGUGCAUUAAAUGCACACCCCACUUGUCAUCUCCCUACCCAAUUUCUGGUGUGGAUUUUGUGUUUCUUGCAGGGGCUUGGAGUUGUUUUCAUCUUGGAUUGGUUAUCUUUGAUGUCACGAAAAAAUAAUAACAUAGAGGAAUUUUUACAGCAUUUCAUAGUUUGGUUAACUAUUUUAUGUCUUCCUUUGAUUGACCACCAUGAUUAUAGGCAAAAAAACACAAUCUUAAAAAAUGAUAGAAAGUGAAAAGAAACCAGAUGUUAGGCUGAAUAAACAUAGCCACGUGUAUCAUAUUUUAGAUUUUAAUAAAAAAUAUCCUCUUUAGUUUGUAUUUUCCUUUAACUAUCCAGUUUGUGCAGGGCAGCUCUGUACAACAGUCGACGUUGCUCUUUGCUUUCUCUUUUAACUAUGGUGAGUCAUUUCUAGUCUUGCUCUCUUUUUAUUUAGUUGUCAGUGAAGUUUGUGUCGUAAGGUUUUGAAUUCUUUAGGGAGUUCUGAUUGUUGUUAGGUGAUUAGCUGGUGACAACUUGGCUAUUAGCUAGCUUUGAUCUAGGAUUAUAGGUUGCUCCUGUCAACUUUUAGACUGUCAUUUGUUUGCAUUGGAUGCUGUGUAGAUAAAGCAGCAAAAGAAUGAAGUUUUCUUACAAAGACAUAGCUUUGAAGCUCUUUUUAUUCUUUUUAAACUUCCUUGUAAGGAAAUACGUGUUUAUAUACUUUUCACGAAUUCAUUAUUGUUUUAUUUUUUUUAUACAACCACAUAAAAAUCAUGAACUCGUGAUUUUUUUUAUUUUUGUUUGAAACUUGCUCUUUAGAUUAGGAUAAGUUAUUAUUUAGAAAAAUAUGCUCCUAAUAAAACGACAUGUUUUUGUAAGAAAAAAAAAACAAUAAGAAAAUGAUAGUUUUUUUCCCAAGAAAUAAAAUUUUCCCUUCUCAAUUUAAAGUAUUGAGAUUGUUACGGAUAUUUAUUUUAAUUACUUUGAUUUUUUAUUGAAAAAAUGAUGUUGCCUUUUCAUAAAAAAGAAAUUAUAAAUAAGGAAUGGGGACUUCAAUUUAAAAAAAUACAUUUUCUUCUUCAAAAGCUAAAUCCUUUAAAAAAUACUUUUGUACGUGUUCAGAAUCUGGUGGUGGAAUCAGAUUCUUCAAUUCUUGUGGGAUGGCUGAGCCAUGGAAAUAUGCUCAUGAGUUCUUCUCUAUUUCAACCCUCUUUAAGCUCUUAUUUCAUGUUCAGUUUGUACCUGUUCUGCGUGAAGCUAAUGUUGCAGCUGAUGUGAGGGAAUGAGGCUCUGUAUAGAAGGAGCUGCUAUAGAAAGAAUAUGGUAUGGUUGCAUCUAUUGUUUUUAGUUUUAAUUUUGUGUUCUCUCUCUUCGUGUACUUUAUCAUCUUGUUAUGGAGUCCAAGGGCCUGUAUAACAAAAUAAUUUUUCUUUUUCUUUUUCAGUUUUGUUUUUCAAGUUCCAAUAAAAAGUCAAAGAACAUGUUCAUCUCUAAAGUUUUAAAACAUUUUUUCAACCCAGGAAACUAAAAAAUAUGUUGAUGCUAUAUUGUUUUUCAUUUCGAGAAAAAUAAACACGUAGAAAUCGUCUAGUUUUUUAUGACAUUCUUAAUUUUUUAACGUACACUAUUUUUUUAUCAUUAAUUUGAGAAACAUCACCUAAUUAAAUUGUACAUCUAAUUUUCCACUCGAACAUUUUCAAUUUUUGUUAUUCAUUCAAAGGUCCUCUCUACCUAUGAUCGAAAGUCAAUGGAACCAAAGUAAAUGGAGCAAAAGUUAAAUGGAACAUUAUUAUUAAUUCAUUUAUGAACCCUUCACAAAAAAAUAGAUGGUGCUUACAAUACUGAAAUGUUGGGUCAGUGCCUGCACUUUCAUAGCUUGGUUUCACUGAUUGUAAAAUCCUCGACCACUUUAGAAAACUCACCUUUUAUUUUUUUAUUGUUUUUUAAAAUAUUUUUUAUUUAAAAAUAUAUUAAAAUAAUAUUAUUUUUUAUAUUUAUACAUCAAAAUAAUGGUAUGAAAAUACUUAAAAAUACUAAUUUAAAAUAAAAAAUAAAAAAAAUUUAAAUUUUUAAAAACAUUUUUAAAACAUGAAAUAUGUGAUAUAUCAUACUACUCAGUAAAGUUUCUUCCAUCUGAAAACUCAGUAAUUAUCUUCAUCACACAUGAAAUCAAUGUCAGAAAACCCACGAGGUAGUCUUCCUCGUUAACCAUAAACUUACGAACUCGUGAAUCAAAUUCAAUGGAAAAAGAGAAGGAGAAGCGCCUUUUCCAUGGUUGUCUUCAGUUGGUGGAAAAUUUGGAGUAAAUGAUGUUUUCCAAGUUUAGCUUUAUUUAUAGAAAAAUGAAAAAUACUUGUUUCUUUUUUUCUAAUUUGUAAAAAGAAUGAAUUUGAACACAAACUCUAUUUUUCAUGUUUUUUUUUGUUUUUUUUUAUAAAAAUGGAGUAAUACUCCAUUAUUGAACACUGUUGAUCAAUUUCACAAGUUCAAGAAUUAUAACAAGUAAUAAAAUGAUGAGCAGAAUAAUAUCGUUCCACAAGAAUUUGCAAAAAUUACUACUAAUUACUAAAGUCUUUUAAACUAUGAUCUAUUUGAGGAAUCGAAUGAGAUAAUAUAUAAAACAAAAAUUAAUGAUUAAAAACAAACAGUCAAUUGAUUAAAUAUUAAUGAUUUCAAUUCUACUAGUUAUAAGAUUUUUGACUUACCAUAACUAUUCAUAUGUGAAGUUUCUCAAUUGAAUUAAUUACUUCUACGUUGAUAAUCAGAUUUUUCUAACUUAAACAUUAAUCUCUCUCUAGUAUCAAUGAAUUAUUUCGAUAAGCAAAUUUCAUAUACUCUACAAAAGUUCUGAACUUAUCGAAAUUUAUUAAGUACCGUAAAACCUGUAACGAUUACAAAAGUUUCUAGGAUAACUAUAUCCUAUAGAUUUCUUAAGGUAUUUCAAACAAUAGCUAAAACAAUUAUAUAUCACUUCUCAAUCUCAAAGUGAAUUCUAAAUCACGCAAAUGUUGGCCAAACAUACACAAGCAUUACACAUAUAAUUAAAUACUCAACAACGUAAUGUAAUAAUUCAAUCGAAGAAAUUGUUUACAUAUUCAUAGUAAGGUUACAUCAAAAUUCCCAGAAUAAAAGUCUACUUCAUAGUUAAAUUAAAGAGAAACAAACUUAAUACGAUGAAUAUCACUCAAAAGCAGAGAAUAGCAGUGAAAUAGGUAGGUGUCCUCCAAAUCUUCUCUAUUUUUUCCUCUAUUUUCCUUCCCUCUUUGUGCCACCUAUUCUUCUUUGUUUAGUCUAUUUUAGGGUCUCUCUAUGUAUGCACGUCUCCCUUGCAGACCCCUCCCUUUUCUUUGAUAUUGUGGCCUUUCUAUCCCUGCUGGAAUGAAGAUAGUUUUCUUUUUUUAUUUGAAUUCCUUCCUACCCAGACAUUGCGGGCCAGAUUUGAGGUAGGAAACAUACGAAUUCAAAUAUCUCUAUUUCUGGAGAAAUUGUAAAAAAUUAAAUCUUCUUUCCAACAACACUGAUCUUACAAUUUUGAACCUCUGAGACUUGAGAUAAGGCGCAUAAACCGAGACAGUAUUUGAAGUGUAGGAAGUUCAAGUCUACUUCAAUCCCUGUUUUUCGACUUGUUUUUUUGGCUUCGAAACAAGAUAUUUAAAAAUGGUAACGAACAUCUGGAACUGAGUUAUAUAGCUUCUUUUGCAGCAUAUAGUAAAUCAAUGUUCGAUUUUACUGUCGAAUUCUUCGUGCUCAGUAACCUAGUAUCUGAAAACACAUUAAUUUCCCACGAGGUUAAUAGUUCAAAAAAAAAACCAAAAUUCUAAUUAUCUUGUGCUACACUUCUAAAAUAUUUUAAAAUCAAGCAUGAAUAGUAGAAAAUAUACAUACUAAAAAUUCCUUUAUCAUACACACCCAAAACUCCUGGAGUUACAAAUCUCUAAUAAAAAAAAAAAUCAUACCAACAAAUUAGAUUUAAAAAGAUAAAAUUUCUGGUAGAGUUUUUAAAAUUCGAGUCUAGGUCUUUGUCUUUUGGAUUUUUAUAAAUGAUUGAUAAGUUUGUACCAAGAGAUUUUAGUAUGGUAUGUUUCAUGUGGGCCCCGACGCAUUGAUUGAUAAACGCCACUUAUGAUAGCCAAUGAAUAAAAUUUCUCUUAAGAAAUAAUAAUAAUAAUAUUAUCAAAUUCCAUGGCCCUUUCUCCUUUGUACUGAUCGCUUUAUUUUUGUUUUUCGAAUUAUGAUUUUGAUUGUGGUCGUAGUGUAGCGAGACGUCGACAUAGCAGCUGUAUGGAGACUGGACAGGCCCUAAAGCAAAGGAUUGAUUUUUCGCUUUUAGGACUUCAAAGCACUGCAACUAGGUUGGUGAAGAAUUGAGUUUAACUGUGUGGCCUUCCUUGGGAAAAUUAAUGUCUUCAACAUGGAAAGAGAAAUGGAAAACUGCAAGGCAAAUGGGAUAAGAAAUCAAGAAGAGCAAUGAAGCAGUGACAAACCAUUUCUUUUUACAUGUGGGUCUUCCAAUUUUUAUUUUAUUUUAUUUUCCUUUCUGUGGACAUGAGGCAAAAUUCGUACAAGAUAUUGUGAAAAUUAAGGUUCCAGAAAAGCUGAACCGCACUAUGACAUUAACAGCAGUGACAGGCCUGAAGAUGUAAAAUAGCGAGUAAUUGCCAAGAUUGAUGGAGCUUUCUAAAAAGAUGUGGAGAUAUAAAUAUGUGGCGUCAAUUCGUUUCCACGUCAUAAAUGUGAUUGAUAAACGCCACUUAUAAUUACGUGUAUAGAGCCAAUGAAUAAAAUUUCUCUUCAAAAAAAAAAAAACAAAAUAUUAAAUUCCAUAGCCGUUUUUCCUUUGUAUUGAACACCCUAUAUUAUUUUUUUUCGAACUAUGAUUUUGGUUGUGUGUUUGCAGCGUAGUACGUCGUAGCUCUGAUACAAGGAUCAGUGGCGGAGUACUAUAAUAAUUAUAACAUCUUAUAUUAUAAACCUAUUCUAUAAUACGGAGCCACAUGGGAACCAAAAGAGUUAAUUGCCUCCUUAAUUUUUUUUAAUAUUUUUUAUAUUGAAAUAUUAGUAUAAUAAUUUAGUGAAUGGUUUAUAUAAAAAAGUUAUUAUUGCAUUUCCUUUUCUUUCUUUUUCUUAUCCUAACUAUGCAAAUUUCUCUUUUGCUUUCCCAUAUGUCCAGCUCGUUCAUUUCUCUUCAAGUAAUUAACUUUUUUGGUUUUUUACUUUAUAUUUUAGAUAAAUUUCCUUCAUUUUUUUUAUUUGUUUUAUUGUUUAUUGUUUAUUGUUUAUUGUUUAUUUUUAUUUUUUUAUAAUUAGUUAUUAAAAAUAUCAGAAUUUAUAAUAAUUUAAGUUUUUUAUAUGAAUAUGUUCAAAAUAAAUAUUUAAAUUUUAUAAUUUAAUCAAUUAAAUGUUUUAUUUUCUUAUUAUAAAAAGAAUAAAUUAAUAUUCAUGCAAAACCAUUAUUAUUGGCAUCUCUUGCAUUGGUAAAGUAAUUUAUUAAAAUAUAAUAUUUUCACAUGAUUUGUUUGUAAGUAAAAUAUCAAGUAGAAACCAUGUUUUUCAAGUAUUGUUUCUCUUAUACAGACACUAUAUAUUAUUCCUCAAUUAAAUGUCUAUAAAUUAUUAAGUAUAAUUUAAUCAACAUACUUAUUAUAUACAUAUAGAUAUGUAAGUUUUAUGAAGUGAUUUUAAAAUAUGAAAACUCGAAUAGAAGAAUUACAAUGUAAUUAAGUUUUUUUUCAUUUUAAAGUAUUUUUAAAUUAAUUUUACUUAAUAUAAAUUACUAUAUAUGUUUUGAAUUGAUUUCUAACACAUAUCUACAUAAUAUAGUAUUUGUUAUUAAUUUGCCCUCUUAUUUCAAAAACUCUGGCUCCGCCACUAAUAUACUUUGUAAUUUUUUUUUCUUUUUAUCUUAGUUAAUAUCAAUAAUUAUUAAUUAAUAAAGCAUUACAGCUGUAUUACCAUGCUAAUUUGAACUAAUGAAGUUAUUUUGAUCUUAUCUUAUAAUAAUAAGAUAUUAUUUGAAUUGAUGAAGUUAUAUUUAAAGUAUUGCUAUACAAGAAAUCUGCUGGUUAAUAGAUUGAUAUUUAUAUAAAUUAAUUAAUAUCGAGUCAUUAAUUGUGAAUACAUAAUAUAACCAAGACAUAUUGAUAAUUAAUAUCUUGAAAGAAAAAAAUCAAUUUAUUAAAGAGUAAUAGUAGAUAAGGUCAAAAUGUAACAAGGUUCAUCAUUUGUAAUGGCAAAUGUUGUCACCAUGUAUGCAGACCAUUUUAUCACAUUAUAAAAUGCACUAAUGAGAGUUUAUAAUUAUAUCACAUAACAACCAUUUUAAAAAAUUCAUGUUUUUACCUGUCUCUUUUAUUUGCUUAAAUCGUACAUUAAGUUUUGGAAGAUGAAUUUUAUAUAUAAAAAUAAUAUUUUCAAAAAAAUAAAUUACUUUUUAAUAUUUAAAUAUAUAUAUAAAAAAUGAGUUGAAUUUUUUUUUUAAUGUUUAAUUAGAUAAUAAAAAUAAGCAAGAAAAUAGAAGAUUCUGGUUAUGAAUUUUUUUAAAAUUAACAAAAUAUUUUUUUGUUGUCAACUUUAUUUCAGCUAUUAUUUAUUCAUGAAAAAUAUAUUAUUUUUUGGUUUUGCAAUGAAAAAUUAAUUAGAAAUAUAAGGACAUGAGAACUCCAAAAAAAAUCUGCACACAAAAAUUCUGCACUUUUCAAUAAUAAUAAAAAAUUAAUUAUUUAACUCGUCGACCCUUCAUGCGGGCGUGAAAUCCUUUUCGCGUUAUAAAUGAUUGAUAAGUUCGUUCCAAGAGAUUUUAGUAUGGUGGGUUUCAUGUGGACCCCGACGCCUUUUAAAUGAUUCAUAAACGCCACUUAUAAUUAAGGCUCGAGAAAAGCUGAACCGCACAAUGCUGCAUGUGCCCUCUUCUUCAGGUAAAGGACAUUAACAGCAUAAAAAAAUAUCCCAUAAAAAACAUUUCCUAAACAAAGUAUAAAGGCCUAAACCAGAAGCCAAUCUGACCUUUUUUAUUGUUAAUAUAGGAGCUUGAUCAUUAUAUUAUGACUUAUUAAUUUAAAAGAAGAAUUAUUACUAUAAUCUUUAUAUUUAUUGAUGGAAUUUUUUAUUGGUAUUUGCAUUAUCAUUUUGUUGGUAAUUAAUUUACCAAUAAAAUUACCUACAAAAAUGCUAUGUUGGUGAAUCCUUCGUCGGUAAUUUUUUUCGUCGGUAAAUCCAUAAUUAAUAAAAAAAUUAUUUUGCCGAUAAAAAAAGCGUGCAAAAAAAAAAUUAACUGCUUCAUUCCGUCAGUAUUUCUCUCGAUAAGUUUGUAUGUAAUUCCAUCAAUAAUUAUUUUAAAAUAUUUUUUAAAAAAUCUAUUUUACAAAACUAUAAAAUAAUUAAAUUAAUAUAAAUGAGCACUCUAUAAUAUUCAAAACACUUGAAAAAAAAACCAACUCAAACAAAUUUGCAACAAAUAAAUAACAAGAAAAAAUAAAUUCAACUAAAAAAAUUCAUAUGAAAAAAAUAAAGUUGCAAUUGCUGAAAAUUUUAAAAUCCUAUAAAUAAAUCAACUAAAAAUUGAUCUCAUAUGGAAAAAAAAAAAUCCUACAACAACAUUCAUACAAUUAUUAAGAACAAAAAAAAAAAAAAAUAUAGUGAAAAAAAAAAAUUCUUACCUUAAUAUAGUUGCAAGUGAAGCUAAGAAGAGUAAAAAAAAUCAUAAAGUAUAUUAAUUAAAAAAAAAACUAAGAAGAAAAAAAAGUAGAAAAAAUGCAUAUUUGAGCAUGGAGGAGAAGAGAAAGAGUUGAGGAGAGAAGAGAAGAAAAAGAAAUAGAUAUUGAUGUUUCUUACAUAUGAGGAAGAAGAAGAAGAAAGGAGCCUUGUUUGUUGUGAAAUUGGGGAUUCCAAACUUUUUAUUGGGGUGUUUUACCAAUGAUUUUACCGACGAAUAAUUAAAUAUUAAUAUUUUUAAAUAUUAUGUCGGUAAUAUUUAAUUUAAUCAAAAAAUUUUAGAAACCGCUAAAUAUCACCAUGGCUUUUCAAUUCUUCGGUGAUUCCAUCUAUAAUAUUUAAUUUAAAUAUUUAAUUUAAUCAAAAGUUUUUAGAAACCCACCAAAUAACACCAACUUUUUAAUCCGUCAGUGAUUUUGUCUUUAAAAAACAGUAAUUAACAAUGCAAUUGGGGAGUGAACAAUUCCAUAGCUCUCUAGAAAAUACCAAUGAAUUUUUUCGUUGGUGAUUCCGUUUGUAAAUGACAUGAUGAACAAUGUUAACAUUUUACCAAUAGAAUUACUGACGGAAUUUAUUCCAUCGGUCAUUCCGUUGGUAAAAAAUAACACGUCAUCAUUUUUUUUAAUUAUUUUUUUCCCACUGUAAUUCCCUCAAUAGAUACUGAGGGUAUAUUUCCAUCGGUAAAAACCGUUGGAAAUUUAUUGAUGAAAAUAUUCCCUCGGUAUUUUCGUUUGUAUUUAUCGAUUUUCUAAUAGUGAAUUGAAUUGAAUGUCAUAUGUUUCUCCUGAAUUCAAUCUACACUUUAAUUAUAUAAUAAAUCUCAUUCCUUACUUGGUUAAUCAAAAGGACACUCAGGGUUUGCACACAACAAUUCCUUACUUGGUUAAUCAAAAGGACACUCAGGGUUUGCACACAACAAUAAUUAAAACUGAAACUUCUAAUAGAAAUUAGAUUUUAGCUACUAACAAAUUUGAAUUGUAGUUGCAAUGCUUUAUUUAUAACUCAUGUCAAAUAUCAGUUGCGAAUUGAAUGCCAAAUCUCUCCUUAAAAAAUUGAGAAACCAUCAUCCAAAAUAUCAUAUUAACAAACACAAUAUUUAAACCAAAAACAUAAAAAGGAAAUUCUCGAUGUGCUCGCUUGAUAUAACUUCCUUAAUAUACAAGGUCAGGGGUAUGAUGGUGCUAGUAAUAUACUAUUAAAUAAUAUUUAUUUACUCUUAUUUAUUAAGAGUAGAAUAGUACUUUCAAUUUAAACUAUAUAAUUUCUUUAUAUUUAGGUUAACUCUAACACUCAUAAUAAACUAAUUAUUGAGGAUUAUGCCUUCUUUUUCUGUUUGAUUUGAAUUAUUUUAACAUGGUAUCAGAGCUGAUUUAUAUGGAACGAGGCUUAAUCUCAAAAAUAUUUUGAGUGAUAUUUUGUCUUUUCGCUUUUGCAUAAUCUGUAUUUUCAUCUUUCUUCAACUUCUGUAAUUUUGGUAUUUAUGUUAUGUCUCUGCAAUUGUUUUGGUAUUUCGUCUUCUGUAAUUUGGUGUUUGUGUUCAAUUUUUGUAAUUUGUGUUGUUUUGGAGUAAUCAUGUAAUUUCAAGAAGAUAUUUGUUGAGUAUUUGUAAUAUAUGUUUAAUUUCUGCAAUUUAGUACUUUGUCUUUCGCUGCUUUUGCGUUCUAGUUCUUGUUUGUUAAUUAUAGCUACCGAAAGAGAUGAUUUGCUUCACUCUGUGAGUGUGAGGUUGGAUGGAAAGAAUUAUUUGUAUUAGAGUUAUGUAAUGAGAAAUUUUCUUAAAGGUAAAAAGAUGUGGGGGUAUAUUAGUGGAACUUAUAUGAUACCUAAUAAUACUGAGAAGGGGAAUGUUGUUUUGAUAGAUACAUGGGAAGCAAACAAUGAAAAGAUCAUUACUUGGAUCAACAAUUUGUUGAGCAUUCGAUAGGUACACUGUUGGCGAAGUAUGAGAUAGCAAAAAGGGUUUAGGAUCAUCUAUAAAAGUUAUUCACGCAAUCAAAUUUUACAAAAUAGUAUCAAUUAGAGAAUAACAUAUGAGCUCAUAAUCAAAACAAUAUGAGUAUUCAAGAGUUGUAUUAUGCUAUGAUAGAUCUUUGGAAUCAAUUGGCUCUUGUAGAAUUGACAGAAUUAAAGGCAUGUAGUGCCUAUAUUAAGCAUAGAGAGAAGCAAUGAUUGGUAUAGUUUUUAACAGCACUUUGCAGUGAUUUCGAAGGACUUAAAGGUUCAAUUCUGCAUCAUUCUCCACUGCCUUCUAUUGACUCUAUUGUCAGUGAGUUAUUAUUGGCUGAAGAAAUACUUCUUCAGUCUUAUUCUAAAAAGGAAAUUCUUUCUACUUCAAAUCCUUAUGUACUAGCAAUACCCUCUAAUCCAUUCUUUAAUCAUCAGAAUAAGCCUUACAUAAGGAUUGGCUUUGAUGAGUGCAGUUUUUAUAAGCAAAAAGGUCAUUUGAAGGCUUAGUGUCCCAAGUUGAAACAACAGAAUCAAGCUUGGAAGCAUGGCAACCAGUCACAAUCUAAUGCUCAUAAACCACUUCAGGGUUAUAAACCACCACACCACAAUACUACAGUAGUAGCUUCAUCAAGCUCUAUCACCAUUCUUACUACUUGCUAAGCAAUUUCAUAAUUUUCUCUCCUUACAACCAUAAGCAAUGUUUGCUUCUUCUUUUAUAGGUCAGUUGCCCCAUAACUCCUUAAGUAUACAUUCUGAAUGGGUCUUAGAUUUUAGUGCUUCCCAUCAUAUGUCUCCAGAUUCUUCAUCUUUUACCCAUGUGUCCCUUUCAUCCUUCAUUCCUGUUAUGACUGUCGAUGGCAUUCUCCUACCUUUAGUAGGUGUUGGUUUUGUUGUCACACCUUACUUGUCUCUCCCUAAUAUUUAUUUUAUUUUAAAACUCAAAUUAAAUCUUGCUUAUAUUGGUCAAACAUAUGAUUCUGGUGAUUAUUUAGUCAUAUUUUCUGGUUCUUUUUAUUGUGUACAAGUCAUAGGGAGAAUGGACUACAUAUUUUGGAUGAGUUAAAAAUGUCAGUUGUCGUUGUUACUGCUACUACUACUAUUGAUUUCUCUUCCUUUCGUUUGAGUCCUUCAUCUUCUAGUUUUUAUUUAUGGCAUUCUUAUCUAGGUCAUGUUUCGUCUUCUCAUUUAAUAUUUUUAGCAUUCAUAUGAGCUUUAGAAAAUUUAAAAACUUAUGAUAUUUCUGAAUGUAGUGGAUGUAAACUAGCAAAAUUUUCCGCUUUACCUUUUAAUCGAAGUAUUUCUAUUUCUUCUUCACCAUUUGAUUUUAUUCAUUAUGAUGUAUAGGGACCCUCUCCUACUGCCACAAAAGGACAGUCUUGAUAUUAUGUUUUAUUUAUUGAUGAUCAUACUCAUUAUUGUUGGGUUUAUCUAAUGAAACAUCGUUCUGAAUUCUAUGAGAUAUAUACAGCCUUUCGAGCUUUUAUGAAAACUCAACAUUCUAUUGUAAUCAAAUCAUUUAGGUGUGAUUUGGGUGGAGAAUAAACUUUUAAUAAAUUUUGUCAAUUGCUUACCUUAGAUGGAAACCAUUCACCAAACUUCUUGUACAUAUAUUCUUAAGCAAAAUGGUGUUGCUGAAAAAAAACAUAGGCACAUUGUCGAAAUUGCUUGUUCUCUCUUGUUGUCUUCUUCUGUUCCUAAUGAGUUUUGGGGAGAAGUUGUCCUUACUUCUGUAAGUUUGAUUAAUACAAUCUCAUCUUCUCAUAGUUUAGGUUUAUCUCCUUUUAAAAAGUUAUAUGGGCAUGUCCCUGAUUAUUCCUCCUUUAGAGUUUUUUGUUGUACUUAUUUCGUUCUUCGUCCCCAUGCAGAACGCAGUAAGUUGUUCUCUUAUUCUACUAUUUGUGUCUUUUUGGGUUAUGGUGAAGGUAAAAGGGGUAUCGUUGUUUUGAUCCAAUAACUCAAAAAUUUUAUAUGUCUCGUCAUGUUGUCUUUCUCGAGCAUAUACCUUUAUUUUAUAUUCCAUCCACUACUCAUAACUUGACUAGACCUGAUAUUAUUCAUAUCAAUCCUUUUUUUGAGGAUUUUGAUAAUAUAUCAUCACAGGUUCCUAGUACCUUAAAUACCAUUUCUCAUGUUCAACUAAUUUGUACUCAUCAUCCUACAGGUACUGACACUUUACUCUCUAGCAAACCUGAAUCUCUAUUUUCAUCUACAACCCCCCAAGCUUCGUCUGAGAUUAUGGAUCCACCUCUACUACUUCAAUUCAUACACAUUCGUAUGUAAACCCCAAGUUGAAAUUAAUUAGAAAAAAAAAUCAAUAUUUAUGAAGCAAGGUUAAAAUAAGUAAAAAAAUAAAUUAGGAAGUCAAUCUAACAAUUAAAGUGUGGGAAUGAAAAAAACAAAUACAAGAUAGAGGAAUUAAAGUGUAUAAAAAGAGAGGAAGAAAUUCUAGGAAUUAAUAAGACAAUAGCCAAACAACGCCAAAUCGCAAUUAGGAAGGAGUAUAAAUACAUGUGAGAGAGUAAGAUGGACACUUUUCUUCUCCAUAAAAGCUAGCGGAAACCAUAAAGAACAACUCUUCCCCAUUUUAAUUUCAAAACAGAAAUACUUUGCAUAUUCCCUUUUACCUAGCGCAAGAGUGAAAGAAGAAUAAUUGUAAGGUGAAAAAUCAAGAAUUUGAAGUAGAGAAAGAGAGAUGGAACCGGCUGAAACCAAAAAUAAAAAGAGAAGAAGGAAAGUUCAAAGGGAGGAGAAUAAUAUCACCUAAGUACUCCCUCAAAACUCUUCCAAAUUCAUGUGGUAAGAGUAAUCCUUUACUCUUGGAACUUGUCAUGGGAGGUGUUAGGUUGUAUGAGAAGAAAGCCCCGAUUUAGGAUGCUUGAAUUUAAUUAGGGUAAAUGAAAAAUCAAUGCAAAUACAUACUCUAGAGCAUAAAUAGUCUAAGAACACAACAUUUUUAACUAGGAUUAAUGAAGGUUGGAGUUGUUAGGAAACCCCUACCAUUCAACCAAAAGAACAAAAAUAAGAGAAAAGGGAGUCUCCAAUGGCAUUAUACUAAUAUAAUGAUGUUGAAGUGUGUAGUAACUAAAACUAUUAUUUUUUUACUUUUUUUCAUAUCUCUUGAUUUGCACUUAUAUGAUUUAUGUUGGUGCUUAAAGUUGUAUGAACCAUGUUAUCAUGAAAAUCAAAUAAAAAAGAAGAAGAAGAAGAAGAAAGAUUUGAUGUCUUGAUAAGGAAUGAACUUCAAUUGCUAGUUCCUAAUAGAGUUUAUAUGUAAUGGAAUACUAUAAUGAUGAAAAUAUGCAUAGAAAAUGUUUGAUUAGUGUUUGAAUCCAUGAAUUCAAAUCUGGGCAAUUUGAUAAUGGAAAUACCAACACAAAUUGGACAUAGAAGAUGAUAGAAAUUGCUAUAAUGUUUUAUAUGAAAGAUGUAAAGGAAUGAGUUUGCUAACAUUUGGCACUGGUCUUGCCUCAAUUGGAGUUUUAUAACUCUAGAUAUGGGCAAAAUACCAUCAAGAGGUCAAAUUGUCUGUAACAGGACAAUUUGGUUCUCAUAAUUAAAACUACUGUUAGAUAUAGAAGAUGAUAGAAAUUGCUGUAAUGUUUUAUAUGAAAGAUGUAGAGGAAUGAUUAGGUAACAUUUAGCACUAGUAUUGCCUCAAAUGGAGUUGUAUAACUCUAGAUAUGGGCAAAAUACCAUUAAAAGGUCAAACUAUCCGUAACAGGGCAGUUUUGGUUCUCAGAAUUAAAACUAUUGUUAGACAUAGAAGAUGAUAGAAAUUGUUGUAACGUUUUAUAAACAAGUUGUAGAGAAAUGAGUUAGAUAACAUUAGGACCUGGUCUUGCCUCAAUUGGAAUUAUAGAACUUCAUAUAUAGGCAAACUACCAUUUAGUGGACAAGUUGUUUGUAACAUGAUAGAUUUCACUACCUGACUUCUAACUAAUUUUAGAAUAGCUGAACAAUAGAAUUUUAGGCAACCUUAUAGAAGAAAGUUGUACUUAAGGAUGUUAAAUUUCACUAGGAUUUGGCCCCAUAUGAAUCGAAGCUCUAGAAUUCCAUUUAGAGACUAAAAAUUACAGACUUGCCAUGUUGCAAAUUACAGACAAGACAAAUUUACAUGUGUGUAGAAGACAAGUGAUUUUGGGCACACUGAUGAUUCAUGUUGAAAUUAAUUCUUCUGAAUCAUGGGAGAUGUAUAUGUCAACAUUAAAAAAAAACAUAUAAAAAGGUCUAGACGGAAAUAGAUGGUGAAAUUUUGUUGACGCAAACCCAAGUCAUAGAUACUGAAAGCUCGUUGAUGCAAAACUAAGUCAUGCGAACACUUGAAUGUGAUAUACUAACUCCAAAGAAAUGCACUUGAUAUGUAUAUGUACAUUAUGAUGAGGAAAUGAACAUGCAUAAAAAGUAGCAUAUGUAUAAUGAAUGAAUAUGGAUUGCCUAUAACAUUUAGCUUGAAGGAAUCAUAACCAAAGACUUCUUUGUGAAAUAGGAGGAGCGAUUGACCAGGAUUAGAUCUUCUAUUGGAGGAAGUCAAGAGACAAGCGAAGCAGGUGCAUGGUUUCCCUCUCCUUAAUGCUUAUGCAAUUUAAAAUCUCCUUGAUGAAUGUAAUUACAAUAAUAUUAUGUUCAAAAUAAAUAAAGUAUGGUAUAGGGAUGCCGGGAAAUGAAAUACAACAUUAGCUUCGGCUAAUGGCAUCCGUGAUAGGGAUGCAGGGAAAUGAAUUACAAGAUUAGAUUCGGCUAAUGGCAUCUAUGAUAGGAUUGUUGAGAAAUGAAUUAUAAAAGUAGCUUCUGCUAAUGGCGACCAUGUUGGGACACCUGGAAAUGAUCGAUAAGGCUUGAUUCGUAAAAGGUAUCCAUGUUGGAUUAUGCAAGGUUGAAGAUCUAAUAAAACCAAUUAAACAAAGUUACUAGGUUCAUGUAAGAAGAUAAGAGAAAUAAAUUAAGAAUAUAACAAUAUGGAUUGUUACACGUAAGAGCCAGAUUUUGCUUAUUCUUGUUAUUCUUUAUCAUUUACUUUCUUUUUAGUUUUUUUUUUCAUUGUCUCUCUGAGCCCUCUUCCUAUAAAGAGGCAAUUCUUGAUCCUCUUUGGCAGCAAGCUAUGGAUGAGGAACUUUCUGCUUUGCAUAAGACAGAUACUUGGGAUUCGGUUCCUCUACCUCCUGGUAAAAAUUUUAUUGGUUGUCGUUGGGUGUAUAAAAUCAAGACUAAUUCUAAUGGGUUUAUUAAGCGAUAAAAAGCUAGGUUGAUUGGAAAAGGAUACUCUCAAUAGUAUGGUAUGGAUUUUGAGGAGACAUUUACCCCUAUUGCAAAAAUGACUAUUAUUCGUACUCUUAUUGUUGUAGCUUAAGUUUGUCAAUGGAAUAUCUCACAACUUGAUGUUAAAAAUGCCUUCUUGAAUUGAGAUCUUCAAGAAGAAAUUUAUAUGGUGCCUCCUCCUAGUGUUUUAUAUGACUCUAGGUAUGUUUGUAAGCUCAAGAAAGCGUUAUAUGGUCUCAAAUAAGCACCUUGGCUUGAGAAAUUUUCUAUUGUGAUCUCAUCUCUUGGAUUUGUUUCUGGUAAUCAUGAUUCUGCUCUUUUUAUUAAGUGCAUUGAUGUCGGUCAUAUCAUUCUAUCUUUAUAUGUUGAUGACAUCAUUAUUAUUGGUGAUGACAUUGAUGGUAUCUCAGUUUUGAAGACAGAGCUAGCUAGACAGUUUCAAAUAAAGGAUUUGGGUUCUCUACGAUAUUUCCUGGGUAUUGAGGUAGUUUACUCACCUAGAGGUUACCUUCUUUCUCAAUUGAAAUAUGUUGCAGAUAUUCAUGAGCGGGCUAGACUUACAUAUAACAAGACUAUAAACACUCCUAUUAAAGUUAAAGCAAGGUACUCUUCUUUUGAUGGUUGACCUUUGAUAGAUCCUACUUUAUACCAUAUUAUUGUUCGGAGCUCGGUAUAUCUCACCAUUACUCGUCUAGAUAAUGCAUAUGUUAUUCAUGUUGUUAGUCAGUUUGUUGUUUCUCCUACUAUUGGUCACUGGGCAGCUAUUCUUCGUAUUUUGCAAUAUCUUCAAUGUAUAGUUUUUUAUGACAACCAGAAUUCUAUUUAGAUUGUUCACAACUCGGUUUUUCAUGAGCAAACUAAGCACAUUGAAAACGAUUGUUAUCUUACUCAUCAUCAUCUCAAGCAUGGCACCAUUACUUUGCCUUUUGUUUCUUCUUCCUUGCAGAUUAUAGAUUGCUUUACCAAGACACAUUUCAUUUCUCGUUUUUGUUUUUUAGUUGGCAAACUCUCGAUACUUGUAAUUAUCACAUCGUGAGUUUAAGAGUAGAUGUUAAAUAAUAUUUAUAUAGUCUUAUUUAUUAAGGGUACAAUAGUAUUUUCAAUUUAACAUAUAUAUAAUUUCUUUGUAUUUAGGUUAACUCUAAGCACUCAUAAUAAACUGAUUAUUGAGAAUUCUAGUCUCAUUUUUCUAUAUGAUCUGAAUUAUUUUAACAAUAAUAUUUAUUUAACAUAUACAUGGUGUAUAGAACAAACUACAAGAUCUAUUUCUUAAAAAUUGCCCUAAUACAUAUUAUGUCGAUUAUUUUGCCCACUCAUCUAACUCCAUCAAUAAGUGGAAAGAGAUGCAAAGCUAAUUUUAAGAGCCUUUUUAUAAAAUAAAACUAGAAAUAACACUAACUAGCUUGGCUAGAAUAGUCUAAAAUCUAGAGGAGUGCAUAAAAGCUAUGGCCUUUCAAGACUUUGUCAACAGAGCAAGAAUGUACUAAAUCAAUUUUGAAAGUGACACAUUGGAACUUAAAAAAAAAAAUUAAAUAAGUAUUUAGAUAUUUAUAUUAUUUUAGAUGAUGUUACUCGAGAUGAAAAUAUUUUUGGAAAAUAAACAAACAAAAAAAACUAUUCAGAGGAAUAUACCUAGUGAACUAUUUAAACAAAGUGUGAUCGCGUAUUCAAUUACUGAUCUUGGUUCUGAACAGAAGUUUGAAAAAGUAAAACAACAACAACUUAUAUUGUUCAUAGAACUCAAAAAGAAAAAAUCGUUCAAAAUUAUUGCAUUACGAAUGCUAAACAAGGCUAGUAGAAGCAAAAAUGAUUAAGUGAGUAGAGAGAAUAUAUAUAUAUAAGGAGAAAGGAAACUUCCAAGAAACCACACAAUUCUAAGAAAUACUAUAAGUGACAAGAUUUAAGGAUACUUAAUGUUACGUUGAAUUAAAAUAUCAGAUCUGUAAACUAAUUAGAUUGAAAAAAACAGGUGGCUUACAAAAGAACACGCUUACAAGAUGCACUGGAUAGCUAGAUCUCCACUCUAUAAAUAGGCCUGGUUCGUUCUACUUCAAACCACUCUUCCCUAGCUACGCACUUCUUCCUUCUAUAUCUAUUGUUUCUGUUUCCUUCUUUCAUUUUACUUGUCAAUGGAAAGUGGGCUUAAGGCAUUGUGGAUGCUGUCUGCGGUGUUGCUGGUAUCAAACUGGCAACACUGGACUUAUGGAAAACGCGUACCUCAGGUUCCUUGCUACUUUGUCUUUGGAGAUUCUCUCUUUGAUAACGGAAACAAUAAUUACCUUGACAAAUCAGCUAAAGUUAAUUACCUUCCUUAUGGGAUAGACUUUGACACUGGGGCUACAGGAAGGUGCAGCAAUGGUCUCAACAUAGCUGACACCAUUGGUCUGCAGUUUUCUCUCCUCUCUUAUAAUACAAAAUAUAGUGCUUUAGUUUUCUUUAACAUAAAAAAUAAAUAUGUUCUCACUAGAUAGUUGUGAUCGUUUUAUUAAAUUACAAUUAGAAAUCUUGCUAAGUCUGGUACUAAUGUUUUUGUUGCUGAAAUUUACAUAAUUUAUUAGAAGAAGGAUGAUUAGGUUUGUUCUUUUGUUUCUUGUAUACCUAGAAACAUAAAUUUACAACGGUCUGAACAUAACCGAGUUUAGUAAUGUGGGCAGUUAUGAUCUUAAUUAUUAUUCUUUUGUUUCAGCUGACCAAUUAGGUUUCGACAGUUACAUUACGGACUUUGGUGUCGGAGGUUCCACUAAUUUUCUAGAUGGUGUAAAUUAUGGAUCAAAUGGAGCUGGCAUCCUUGAUUCUACUGGCUCUCUUGCGGUGAUUACUGAUCAUAUGCCUCUCAUAACUAAAACCUUGUAUUAUUCCGUAUGAAUUUUGCGUAAUCUUGUAUGCUUUGGCAACGCUAACUAUUGAUAUGUUUCUUUUGCGUAUGUGAAGGGAGAACUAUUUACGAUGAAUGAUCAGUUAUUUAAUCACAAUAAUAUCACGGUUUCACGAAUUUCCAAAAUCUUGGGAAGCGAGGAAGUUGCUAGGAAGUACUUGAGCCAAUGCAUCUAUGUGUCUGAUAUGGGCCAUAACGACUACCUCAACAAUUAUUUCUCGGACGACUACAAUAGCAGCCAGUUAUAUACUCCUGAAGAAUUUGCUCAACUUCUCAUUGAAACUUAUGAAACUCAGCUGGAGGUUAGUCCUACUUAAUGUCUCUUGUAAAACAACAAUUAAUGUUUGACGCGAUUGGAAACUAACAAAGACCCUUGCUGCCAGAAACUGUAUUGCUCAGGAGCAAGAAAGAUAGCUGUGUUAGGACUUAUUCGGGUAGGAUGUAUGCCGCACAACAUACAAAACCAUCCCAAAGACGUAGAUGCAUCUUCUUCAUGUGUAGAAAAGUUCAACAGUGAUGUUCAAAUUUUCAACUACAAGCUUCCAACACUGCUACAUAAACUUAAUGAAAAGCAUGCUGAUGCUGUGUUUACCUACAUAAACUCUUAUGAAAUUGAUUCUGAUGAUCAGACAAAUGCAGGUAUGAAUCCCCUCCCUCCCUUGCUCUCUCUCUCUCACGGCUGAAGACGACUUUUUUGUGAGACCAAAAUUAUUUUUUCUUGCUUGCAGG